This 115380-nucleotide long non-coding RNA is filed under the name Lynx pardinus (Iberian lynx). The stretch from base 2494 to 2578 matches the Rfam family "tRNA". The record is from RNAcentral. Lineage: Eukaryota; Metazoa; Chordata; Mammalia; Carnivora; Felidae.
CGGGGGAGUAGGGGAAUCUCUUCCUCCGCGAGUGGUCCUUGAAGAGGAAGACCCCCACCCCAAAUGUGUGGCCAAGUAAGGAUUUCGUCCCCCGACGGUUGCGGAAACUUGUGGAGCUGGGUGUGCGCCUGUGAGGGAGAACAAAGUAGGCGGGGUCACUGGAAAGCAUGUUCUGAAAACUCAGUUUAGUGCCGUUGAGCAGAUGGAAUUGAGGAGAACGCCCUUCUUCAUUUCACCCUAACCUUGAAAUUAGUGAAUCGACCCUAGGCUUUAGGAGUUGUGCUAGAAUAUAUGUAGCACCUUAAUUACAACACCAUGCCUAAAGACUUAAGUGUCUUUGGUGUGGUGGGCACAAUACUAUAGAAAAUUGAACUUCUAGUUCUUUCCCAGUUUAUGCCGGGUUCUUAUCCCAGAGGAACAUAUACCGUAUCUCUGGAAGUCGCCAUAGGGACAGGGUUGUGCCUUUUUAUGGAAUUUGGAGUAUCUCCUUUCAAAGGACCAUUUAAAUUAGACCUGGGCUUGACCUAAAUUAAAAGAUACAUCUACAGCUGUCAUUUUUCGGCUUUGUUUGAACUCUGCCCAUUUUAUUCCACAGGGAUGUGGGAAAACCUAGCUAGGGCUUAAGCAAUUGGAGGUUAAGUAGAGGAGCUGGUGGUGUGAGGGUGUGCGGAGGCUGGGCAUACUUUUCCGUUCCUCGCGGUGCUCCGUGUGUAGGCGUGGCUAAAGCAGCCUGAUCCAGAGCCCUCUUCAGGCUCUGUUUGGGUAGACUGACAGGCUUCCUGUCGGAGAGCAAGAAUUAACAGGGUGAUGUGAAACACCAGAUGAAAACAAACCAUUGAAAGAAUUCAAACCGUUAAAAGGCAGUGUAAAAAAUUUACUUUAAAAAAAUUGAUAACGGUUGUUGUUUCCAUCAGAUUGUAAAACCUUAUUGUGUUUUAUAGGGAUUCCCCAGAAAAAUUGAUAGGCAGUUAAACAGUUUUUCCACCCUUUUAAAUUGGAUAGGGCUGUGAUUUUCCCGAAAGAUCCAAGUGGGAGUUUUUCAUCAUCACCCCCCCACCCCCCACCUGAAUUAAUCCCUUCCCCAGCCUAAAGGUACAUUGCCUUUUGAUUCAGACCUUCAAGAAUUGAAUGUAUGUAAAAUGAAUUACAGAACUAAUUCUCCUUCCACAGAGUAUAGGUUAAGUGGAAACAUCUGUAUUAACUGUUGGUUACAUCACAGGAGAGCAUUUUUAAAAUUGACUUAAUUCCAACCCACUAGAAUUUGCUAGCUGUUAAGACAUGAUUAACAUUUAUUAAUUCAGUUUACUAAAGUGUAAAUUAUCUUAAAUUCAUUGAAUAGAGAAAUUAAGGCAAUCACUGAAAAUAAUUUCGUAUUUGAAUUAUUCUUUUCUUAUGUUUACUUUACUUUAAUAGGGAAGGACUGACCACAUAUCUAAAUCUAAAACCUUAAUUAUCUGGGGGAGGGGGUGGGGAAUGAGGGGGAGAGAUUUGACCAGAACAAGGAGAACCUGUGUCUCAAUACUUUUCUGGUGAAAGUGGGUAAAUCCCUGCCCACAUGUCAUCUUGGCCUCUUGUUACUCAGGACUUCUGAUGACACACAGAAGGUGGUGGAAGAUCAAGGGUGAUUUUCACUGUAGUUUUCAAAUGUCUGACCUGCAGCACCUUACCAGUAACUGAUUUUUUUUUUCCUCUGUUGCAGUAGGAAUAUUUUUCUCAUACCCGAUUUAGUAGGUAACAUAAUAUUUCACUGUGUAAUAUUAUUAAGAUAUCAGGAAUAUGUUAUCACUUAUUAUUAGUGAAUUAUUGUUUGUUUAUAUUUUUCCCCUUUUGAGCUUUUCAAAUAAGGAAGGAAGCGAUAACCAUGUACAAAGUAAUACAGUAAUCUAGUACUGUGUCUCUUCAUUGUGUAGUACCAUUAUGCUUACCUGAAUCAGAUGGGCAAGCUGAUAAGGGUAAUUGGUUUAGGGGAGGGGGACUCUGAUAAAAGUUGCUCUUUGGGAAGUUUUCCAGUUUAUAGAUAUUUUCUGUAUCAUUCAGAGUAAAUAAUUAGCAAAUAAUUAUUGAAGGCUAAUUAAGUGUAAAAUGCUGUCGAGGAUUUAAAAAUUGAACUGCAUAGUCUUUUAUUUAAAGGAAUUUUGUCUCUAAAUCUGGCAAAUGGACCAAUGCACUCAAAGCAAAGCAAUUGAGAAUUAGUAAAUGCUAAUUUGGGUGGUGGUGGUGGUGAUCAGCUCAAAAAUUCAAAGAAAGAAGUCUGGAGUCAGUGGAACUUGAAUCCCUCUAUAGGGCUGAGUAGAUUCUAGAUAAGAAGACCUGGUAUAGAUGGGGAGAGGCCAACUAAAAAUUAUCUUAAUGGUAAUUCUAGUUGAACACAUUCAUAUUAUGAGUGAGGAAACUGAGAUUUUGUUUAUUAAAAAAGCACCCUAUUAAAACCUGGAAAGGUAGGUCUGAAUUGGCUUUUCUAGUCACUAUAUACACUAAGUAGCUCUUUGGGGCGCCUGGGUGGCUCAAUCGGUUGAGCCUCCGACUUCCGCUCAGGUCAUGAUCUCACGGUCUGUGAGUUCGAGCCCCACAUCAGGCUCUGUGCUGACAGCUCAGAGCCUGAAGCCUGCUUCAGAUUCUGUGUCUCCCUCUCUCUCUGCCCCUCCCCUGCUCAUGGUCUGUGUCUCUCUCUGUCAAAAAUAAAUAAACAUUAAAAAAAAAUACACUACGUACCUCUUUGGAAUUAAUAACUGAGAAGAAAUAAAUAUUAUAUGAUAAUUUAGUGCAAAGAAAAGGCAAAAAGAAGUAAACUGAUAUAAGGCCUGCUUCAUUUGUUAUAUUUAGCGUACAAAAUGGAAAAAGUUCAGGGUGCCUGGGUGGCUCAGUCGGUUAAGUUUCUGACUUUGGCUCAGGUCAUGAUCUUGCAAUUCAUGAGUUUGAGCCCCUCGUUGGGUUCUGCGCUGACAGCUCAGAGCCUGGAGCCUGGAGCCUGCUUCGGAUUCUGUGUCUCCCUCUCUCUCUACCUCUUGCCUGCUCACACUCUGUCACUUUCUAUCUCAAAGAUAAACAUUAAAAAAAAUUUUUUUUUUCAAAAUGAAAAUAGGACUGUGAACAUCAAAGUCUUUGCUCGUCUUGAAAUGCCAGGCCAUGCCUCUUUCCUGAUCGCCAUGUAUUUAAUGACCAUUUCUUACUUCUCUAUUGGAGCUGAGAUCACCAGUUCAGAUGCCUUCAGGUGUUAUUAGGUUCACAAGAUAAAUGAAGUGGACCAGACAGUGCCACAGGGACUGAAGGUGCUGGACUGUGGUGAGCUAGGGGUGUUGAAAGAGUUUAGCAGUUUCCUAGUCCAGCUGAUUUUUGUAGGGUGAACAUGAAGGGGCCCAGUGUUGUCCAGUUUUUAAAGAAAACUUGAAAAUCUCAGAUUUUUAUGUGAGCUUUCUGAUUUCUACUUGUUGGCACCUACCUGAAAUUUUCCAUAAACAUUUUGUGAAUAUUUAAAAAAACUCUUUGGGCCUCAGGUAACCCACAGCUAUCUGGUUUUCAACCUUUGCUUUAAUGAUUUCCAGUGCACAAGGCCAUUCUUUCUUAUACCUGUCUUGGUAGUUUUGUGAGUGUUUCUUUAAGGUACCUAUAAAACAAUUCCUACUAAUGUCUUAAUAUAAUGCAUGGGCUCCUGUUAGGAAAAGACAACAUAUAACCUUAUAGAAAUACAGCAGAGGAGCUCUCUGGAAGAAGAAUUUCCAGGUGGAAAUUCUUCCCCUUGGAAUUCUCUCUCCUUGAUGCCUCAUGUCCCCAUUAUGUUUGACCUUUUACCAUUACACUGCUCUCCUUUCAAGGACUUCCCUAAUUCUGUGCAAAAAGUCUCUUCCUAUCCUUAGACACAAGUGAAGUAGGAGCUCUAUGGUUUUAAAAGAAAUUCACUAAAUAUUCAUGGAGAAAGUGAAAUACCUACAGGAGAGACAUAAAUAUUUGUUGCCUAAACACAGAUUUUAAGCUAAACAAUUAUUAUAUCACAUGUGAUUAUUUUCUACUCCACUCCAUUUAAGUGUAAGAAAUGUCACAUUGUGUUGCUUAUCGUCAUCAUCAUCAUUGCUAAAUCUGGCUCUAAGCGCCCCCCCCCCCCCCAUCUCACUGUGUGGUAGAACAAUAAAUCCACAGGUGUUACAAAGGUCCCAGAAUAUAUGGGGAAGACUAUCUGGUCUAUGUCUAUCACUGCUGACGUAAUUCAUGAGAAGCUCAAAAAUUUCCCUUCAGGAAGGGUUUAUUGGGUAUGAUCUAGAUGGAAGGAACCAGAUGACCUGAAUUGAAACUGGGCUUAUGUAGCAAACAUACUGGUUUUACUUAGAUUGUGUAUUUGUUUGGCAGUUGGGUUGAGGGUGGCACUGAUGGAAAUUAUAGAAAGGGAGACUGAAACUCUAACUGCUGCUUGGCACAAAAUAUAUAUGAUGAUGGUCCGUUUGAUUUUCUGGAAGGUAUGCGCAUCUGGGAACCUUGCUGAGACUGGCAACUUUGGGGGACCAAGUCUAACCUUCUCCAGGUGUGGUCUUUCUAGAGGAGCUGAAAGGGGACUUGGGGUGUAGUCUUCCUGGAAUUGGCAGCCUUUGCCCUUCCUCAUCCUGGGGGAAGCUAUUUAAACUCUAGACUUCUACCUCUACACUCUCUUAGUCUCUAAAGUCUUUUCCUUUUCUUAGGACAGUAGGGUUCUUCUCAAAAGUUGUGAUGUGGGAGUGACGAAAGUACCCCUCACCACACUUUUAUCCUCCCCUCCAGUUCAGAUCCCUUCUUCUUGGUGGAGCUGAGUAGAGAAGGCUAGGUGGGCAGAGCUGUCACUCAAUCUUCCAGAUAUACCAAAGACAAAACUCUGAGAGGGCGAUGAUCGGUAUUCACUAAUACUUCUUUGGACUGCUUUCCCUCUUUGUUGCUUGCCUUCUCCUACUUGAAAAGCAGUCUCAAGGAAGUUGUAUGUUCUUUGGAAGCAAAAGACUCAGAGUUAAUUCUCCUGCACACGAGGAAAGUUCUCCCCUCCCAUACUGAUUGAGAAACAUGUCCUGUCCAUAGAAUUGCACACUAUAGUGACCAAAGUGUCCCUUUCUUGCACACAAGAGUUGUUUUUAUGGCUUUUCAGUGCAAUUCAAGAUGCCCUGAAAGGUGUCAAAUAAGUUCUGAAAAGGGGAAGGGUGAUAGAGUGACCUCACAAUUCUUAUUGUUUCCAUGUUGUUUUGUACUAAAAAGGAACACAAAUGUAUAUCUGAAUAAACUGAGGAAGUAGGAAGACCAGAGGAGACAAAACACCUCUUCACCUUUUCACUUUUAAACAUGCUAAUAGUGAGCCAGAUGCCAUCAACAUGAAGAACAAUAUUGAUAAUUAAUAAUAGCUUAUUUUUUUAAGAGUUUGAUUUUAAGUAAUGUCUACACCCAAAACUCAAACUCACAACCCUGACAUCAAGAGUCAUAUGCUUCACCAACUGAGCCAGUCAGGCCCUUCUAUAAUAGCUUAUUCUUGAUGGAACUUUACAGCUUAAAAACAACAAAGUUCCAUUGUGUUUUUGAAUUCUCUCCCUAUUCUGUGAGGUAGCCAUUGUUUUAUAUAUUCAUUUUACCUUUGAGGUACCUGAGACUCAGAGACACUGUUGGUUUUGUUGUUGGUCUUGAAAGUAAAACUAAGUUGAAGAGGGCAUCUUUUGGGAUGAGCACUGGGUAUUGUAUGGAAACCAAUUUGACAAUAAAUUUCAUAUAUUAAAAAAAAAAAAAGAAAGUAAAACUAGUCAUUUGAGUCACCUACCCCCCCCCACACAAACAUCAAAUAUCAUAUUAAAUAGUAAGAUGGCAAAUAAAGUGAUCAAUUCAUCUUAGGUUCAUUAUAAUUAGCAUAUUGACUUUACUGAGAUUUAUGAAAACUAAUUCUAUUUUUUUGUUCAGCAUAGAUAAUUUGUGAUAUAUUAGAACCUCAGUAUAAUAAAUAUGCAUAGUAUGUGGACACCCAUUUGAAAAUGCUCAUAUUAUAAUUUUAAAUUAUAAAGGUUUACAGUUGUUAUAUCUUUGUUUUUAUUGAAUGUUGCUCCUAUCUAUGAUUUAUUUGAUAAUGAGUCUUUGUUGAAAAGCACAAUCCCCAAAAAUAUCACUGUUCCCAUGGGAAAGUGAUACUUUAUGCCCUGGUUUCUAGAACAUGUUAUGGUGAAAAGCACAGAAUAAAUAUAUCACACAUAUAAAUUCAGAAGGCUUUUUGUUUCUACUUAAAGAAUUAGAAUUGCAGGCUGCCUUGAUUCCAUUUUGUUUUUUUUUUAAUUUUUUUUUUCAACUUUUAUUUAUUUUUGGGACAGAGAGAGACAGAGCAUGAACAGGGGAGGGGCAGAGAGAGAGGGAGACACAGAAUCGGAAACAGGCUCCAGGCUCUGAGCCAUCAGCCCAGAGCCUGACGCGGGGCUCGAACUCACAGACCGCGAGAUCGUGACCUGGCUGAAGUCGGACGCUUAACCGACUGCGCCACCCAGGCGCCCCGAUUCCAUUUUGUUUUUAAUCAAGUAUCAUAUUUAUCAUCUUUGAUCUUUUGAUCUGUUAUGGCCUACUAUUUUGGGAGCUUUUGCCAUUGCUUUGGAUUUUGGAAAUUUAAGAGUCGACAUGACCCUUACAGGAUAAAAUAUUUACAAAAUUAGAAACAAAGCAGGGCAAAGUAUGAAGAUGAGUGUUAUUAGAUGAGAAGUACCAUAAAGGCACUGAUUCAGUGGUAUAGGAAGUUCUGGAUUGCUAGAACAUAUUCAGCUUAGGUGUUGGUGUUGGGUGUUGGGAAAAGCUUCAUGGGAAAGUUAGCUUUGGAACGUCAGAGAUUUGUAGUUGUGAUAAUGAGAUUAUUGAAACAUUCCUUUUUUUUUUUUUUUUAAAGAUACUGGCUCCUGUUUUCUUUUUAAUUUUUUUUUUUUUUAACAUUUAUUUAUUGUUGAGAGACAGAGACAGAGUGUGAGCAGGGAAGGGACAGAGAGAGAGGGAGACACAGAAUCUGAAGCAAGUUCCAGGCUCUGGGCUGUCAGCACAGAGCCCAUUGUGGGGCUCGAACUGACAAACCGUGAGAUCAUGCCCGGAGCUGAAGUCAGACGCUUAACCAACUGAGCCACCCAGGUGCCCCUGAAACAUUCCGAAUUUAGGGGUCUUAAGAAUACUGGUUUGCUAUCACGAGGUGUUUUGGUGAAAGACUGUAAUCUGGUUUAACUGAUAUACAGGGCAUAUGAAAGCCGUUGUGACAGAUGCAGAUAGAAAGAUGUGUUGAUGACAGAUUGUGAAGAGAGUUUUCAUUAUUGAAUUAAGUACUAUGGACUUUUAUCUGUGAGCAAUGCAGAACCAUUGGCAUCUUCUGACCGGAUCGUGAUAUACUCGAAUCCAUAGGUUAGGACUAUCCAGAUGAUAGCAGUAUGAUUAAUGAAUUGGAAUGGGGAAAUACUGGAAAAAGGAAGCUAAAUUAGAAAGGCAAAAGGUAAUGAGGCCUAUGCUAGGAUAUUGAUAAUGGGAACAGAGACGAGAAGAAGGAUAUGAAAGACUUUCUGAAGGCAGAGUUGACUGAUUUGACAGCUUUAUUUGGGCAUGAGAGGUGAGUGAGCAUGAGGAACCAAAAAUAAGUAGUAGCUUCAAGUUUGUUUGCUAGAAGAUAGUAUUGAUUUGAAAAGAAAUAAGGAAAUCAGAAGAGGGAGCUGAUUUAGGUUAGAGGUGGUGGUACAAUAUAUGAGUGAAAAUGUUCAGACAUUUGGAAUUGUGGGCCUUAGGCCUCGGAGUCAAUCCCACUGAAAUAAUAGUAAGAGUCAUAGAACUGGACAAGUCUUCUGAGGGAAGUUUUGAGGAAAGAGGAGGAGAAGAAAAAGAACAGGGGAGUGUACCCAAACUACACCUACUACAAGGGCUGUACACCUCUUUCACAUUGAGAACCAUGGCUAUGGUGGGCCACUGUUACUGACAGGAGUAUUUAAUACCUACGAUAUGUAUGUAUCCCUGUAUAUAGUUCCAAGAUUUUCCCAGUAGUACCAUCAUUCUCAGUCAUUUACAUUCAAAUGUAUUUUGGAGUGGGGAAAAAAAAAAAGAGGGUAGGAAAUUAACAGGUGCUUCUCAGGCAUUGCGCUUAUUUAGGAUACACCCAUGAGAAUGUGUUGACCUUGGACACUUUAUCCAUUAGAUAUAUUAUGACAGAAAGUAAGUGUUGUAGGCAGUAAUGGGGUAGCCUGAAGGCACAUUGGUCUGAAAUGUACAGGGAACAUGAGAUGAUUGGGGAGAGAAUAAGCAGGGCGACCAAUGAUCAGAGGUGGCUGUAUAUAUCAUUUGGAAGGUGAAACAGUACUAUCAGUCGAAUAAUGACAGUGUGAAGCUGAAGUGAUAAUUUGCAAAAAGAAUUUAGUAAGAGGUCAUUGCUGUUGGUAGUAGCCGCAUACUUACUGAAUAAAUUUCGCUGGGUGUACAUUGUACUUAAAGUGAUAAUGCCCCCUUUAAGUUGUCGGAGCAAAUUAUUUUAAUGAUAACUUAUUAACAGAAAUGUUUUUGUUUUGUGUUUGUGAUCUUGAAAGCAAGGCCAUUAAAAUUAAUAAGAUAAGUUGCUCUCUGUUUUUGAUUCUGUCCUUCUAACCUUUACCUUGAAUAAAUCACUUCUCUUAUGUGUAAAAUGAUUUAGGUGAUUUAAAUAUGCUGGGUAUUUGAAUUGUGAUUUAUCUUCAGGAUUUCUCAAUUGAGCCAACAUUAAAAAAUGUAAAAGGUAUAAGGUAUGAUAUGAUUUACCUGCCAAAGAGUUUUAGCCUCUAACAGGGAUAUUCACAUUUCUUAAAAACAACAACUGUCCAGAAUGUUAAUGAUUUGUUAUAACUCUGACUCCUGGUGAAAAUACUGGUACUACAGUCAGUGGAUUGUAUCAAACUUCAAUAGUAUAGAAAGCUAAGCAGCAUGAUGUAACUUUGUUAAAUGUUGACAAAUUGUACAUGGAAGAAGAGGUCUGUCCUAUGUAAUUUUCACUUGGUCAGUAUCUUUGCUUCAUUUUUAGGGUCCUGAACCUUUAAAAAAAAGUUUUUAUUUUGUGAUUUAAAAAUUAACCUUUUUUGGGUGCGCCUGGGUGGCUCAGUCAGUUGAGCAUCUGGCUUCGGCUCAGGUCAUGAUCUCACAGUUUGUGAGUUCGAGCCCCGCGUUGGGCUCUGUGCUGACAGCUCAGAGCCUGGAGCCUGUUUCGGAUUCUGUGUCUCCCUCUCUCUCUGCUCCUCCCCUGCUCAUGCUCUGUCUCUCUCUCUCUCUCUCUCUCUCUCUCUCUCAAAAAUACAUAAAUAAAUAUUAAAAAAAUUAAAAAAAUUAACCUUUUUUGUUUUACAUACUCUCUCUAAACAUAUAGGUUUCAACAGAUAGAUGUUAUUUUCUAAUAUUUGCCAAAAAAGAAACAUGCCAUUGGAAACUUACUUUAAAAAUAGAAAAUUUGAGGGUUUUUUUGGUUUGCAAUGACAGAUAUCUCUGAAAGUUUACUGUAAAGUAUUCAAGUGUUAGUUCAGAAUAAACUCUUUAAAAUUUAUUUUUAAUUUACAUAUGGUAAAAUUUACUUUUUUUAAUACAUUUGACAAGCAGGGCAGUUCUGUCACCCCCAGAAAACUCCCUCGUGCUGUUCCUUUGUAGUCAGACUUUUCUUCUUGACUCUUGUGACAACCACUGAUGUGUUCUCUAUCCCUAUGGUUUUGCUUCUCUAGAAUGUUGUAUGAAUGGACUCAUACAGAUGUAGCCGUUUCAGUGUAACUUUUUGCACUUAGCAUAAUACAUUUGAGAUUUAUCCAUGUUGUUGCAUGUAUCUGUAGUUUGUUCCUUUUUAUUUACUAAUCAGUAUUUCAUUGUAUGCAUAUUCCACAGUUUUUAGCCACUAGUUGAAGAACAUUUAUUUGCAUCGUAUUCAGUUUUUGGUGAUUUGGAAUAGAGCCACUAUAAACAUUCACAAAUGAUUUUUAUGUCAACAUAAGUCUUACUUCUCUUGGGCAAAUACCUAAGAGUGGAAUUAACUGCAUAUAGUAAGUGUAUAUUUACCUUUUAAGAAACUGCCAAACUGUUUUCCAAAGUGGCAGUACUGUUUUGCAUUUGAGUUCAGGUUUCUCUGCAUACUAACCAGCACUUGGUAUUGUUAGUCUUUUGGUUUUAAUUUUAGUCAUUCUACAGGGUCCAUAUUAGUAUCACGUCGUGGUUUAACUUGAAUUCCCCUAAUGACUAAUGAUGUAGAGCAUCUUUUCAUGUGCUUAUUUACCAUCCUCAUAUCUUCUUUGCUGAAUUGUCUUUUCAAAUAUUUAGUCCAUUUUUAAAAUCAGGUUGUUUGUUUUCAUAUUGUUGAGGUCUGAAGAUUCUUUAUAUAAUCUGGAUAUAAGUUCUUUGGCAGACAGGUGAUUUGCAAAUGUUUUGCUCCGGUCUGUGGCAUAUUUUAAAUUCUUUUAAAGCGUCUUAAGCAGGGGGACCUGGGUGGCUCAGUCAGUUAAGCAUCUGACUCUGGAUUUCUGCUCAGGUCAUGAUCUCACAGUUUGUGAGUUCGAGCCCUGUGUAGGGCUCUGCACUGAAAGCGCGAAGCCUGCUUGGGAUUCUCUUUCCCUCCCUCUUUGCCCCUUCCCCGCUCAUGUAUAAGCAUUUUCUCUCUCAAAAUAAAUAAACUUAAAAAAAAAAAAGUGUCUUAUGCAAAGCAAAAUGUGUCUUUAUAGGGCAAUUUUUUUUUUUUUUAAUUUUGAUGAAGUCCAGUUUAUAAGUUUUUUAUGGGUAGUGCUUUUGGUGUUAUAUCUAAGAACUCUGCCUAGCUAAAAGUCACAAAAUUUUUUGCAUCUAUUUUCCCUAAUGUGUUAUAGUUUUACAUUUACACUGAAGUCUGUAGCCCAUUUUGAGUUAAUCUUUGUGUAAGAUGUGAGGUAUAUGUCUAGGUCCUUUUUUUUUUUUGCGUAUAGAUUUGUACAAAGUAGAUGAUCUUUUCUCUAUUGAACUGCCUUUGCAUCUAUGUCAAAAUUAAUUGAUCAUAGUAUUUAUGAUAUGGUUAUAUUUCUGGGCUCUCUAUUCUUUAUUGAUCUAUGUGUCUAUCCUUUUGCUAAAUACCACACAAUGUCCUUAUCAUAGCUUUAUAGUAGAAUUAGCUUUCAACCAUCUCUGGCAGAAAGAAACAAGUUCUCUGCAGCACACUAGUCAAAUUCCUUUUCAAUUUUCUUCCAAACAAAUAGAUUAUUCCUACUAUCUUCAUUCAGUUUACAUAUUCAUUAUAAAUUCAGCGUGGGCUGUGGUCAUACUUCUUAUAUCCCUUUCCUAGAUAGAGAAAAAGCUGUGGACUAUGGUAUUCAAUUAUAGCAUUCUCUGCAUCACCAUCAAACUGCAAAUUUUUAAAAAGAACCAUUUUCUAUGCUGCUCAUCUACAGAAGUUCCCCUGAUGGGCUUCCCCUCCUCUUACAAACCCACCACCCAGCCUGAGCUGCCUGGACACCCUAACCCCCAUUGACAGCCAGCUUCCUGUCUGGUGGAGUGGCGGUUGGUAGAAACCAGCUGUCAUGAUUCAUCCCAUUUAAGAUUUCUGCCUUUUGAGAAGUGACAUUAAUAGAGCCAGGCUGAAUGAUGUCUGAUUGAGAGAAUUUUAUGAAAGAGGUUUGAUUUCUGGUGCCUCAGCAAUUGAACUUUUUAUUUUUUAACAGGUACCUUCCAGUUUCCAGAGUAUGUAUGAGCUCAGUUAGAUAGAUAAAUGUUUUCAUCAAGUGUUUGAACCAGCUGUCAGUUCUUCCUGAAAAACAAACAGGCAUGGAAACUUCUGUAAAAAAGUUCUUGCAUUACCAAUUCUUUAAUAGUUACAUAAGCUUUUAGACUUCUGAUAUUCUCCAAAAGGCAAAAAAUUCUCUGCCCAAGGUCUUGUUACAUUUUGGAUUUGGUGAAAGAAUUCUCAGGUGCCUAAGGGAUAACCUCACAUACCAUGAGGACAUGGCUUUUCUCUUGGAAUGCUGAAGCCAAUUUCAUGCCUUCACAUUUUUGGGGGGUCAUUUUGUCAGUUCUUAAGAACUUCAUCUUAAGAUGAACUUAAGAAUAUUAUUUAAAAGCAGAAUAUUUGUUAGGAGGUUGAAGAAAUUUGCAACCAUAGGGACAAGUUUUUGUGCUAGUUGAUCAGUAAAUACACUGAAAAGAACAAUAAAAGAAAAAUAAAUGGCAAAAUACUGAUAAGGGAAAAGUGCACUAGCUUUUAUGAGUUACCUAAAAUUAACAUUAUCCUCACUUUUGGGAAUAUGAGAGAACAUGAUAAUGAAAGAGAAAGACAGUGAUUAAUUUGGGGAGGUAACAAUUCUGGUACCAGUUGUGUGCAGGGAGUGGGAAAGAGAGCCUGUUACUGCAGCCUUGUACAGGGUGCUCAGAUUUCUGUAGCAGUGCUGUAUUGCAUCUAUACUAUAUGCUGAAUCAUGCACCUAAAUAUGAAAAGUCAAAUUGUGGCUGGAAUUUUUCUAGUACUAACAAGUACUGGUUUUCUAUAGCCAGUCAAAGUUAUGCUAGAAGUAGAACAUUUUAUAACAUUUGGUAGUAACAAGUGAUUUUUAGCUUUGGAUCGGUGAUACCCUAGGGCAGAAGUUAUCAAACUUUAGUGUACUAAAGAAUCCCCUGGGGAACUUGUUAAAACUUAAGGUCCCUGGGCUCUAGCCCUCAAAGGUUUGAUUUAGUAGGUCUGGGGAGUGGUCAAGAAUCUGCAUUUUAACAACAACCUCACUCCAUUUGGUACUCUGAGUCAUCUCUCAAGAAGUUGCAAAAUUCCCCUAGGGAAAAGUAUUGUCCCUCAACUGAAUUUUUAAAAUACUAUUUCACUUAGCAUAGUAGGUGUUGUGAAACUUAAUGACUGAGUGUCAGAGUUCCAAAGAGGUUAGCACUAACUAGUUUAGAUUCCCCAGGUGUGAACUAAGAUAUAACAUGCAAUGAACAGUGUACACAGACUUAAGUUAGAUUUCUUUCAAUUAGAAAUUAUUAGUUACACAAUUUCCAUUUCCAGGUCAUCUGUGCCUCCACAGAUAGUAUUAGAUAAGGGAGGUAGACCAGGAAUAGAUACCUAGGGAAUUUCACAAGCUUCUUUAUAAUCAUUUAUUGCUUACUGUGCCCUUAAUGAUGUUAGUCAGGAUCCCAUUAAAUUAACUGUGAAUAUACUAAUUGGUCCCUUGACGUUAGCUAGGGGGUAUCAAAUUCUGUGGCUCCACCCCAUUCUGGUCAUAUAGGAGACAAUGUAGAAAUUGUUGCCUGUGUAAGGGUUCUUUUCUUUCUGGGGACAAGGCAUCUGUGGGCCAAGAGAGAUUUCUUAAAACAUAGCAGGCAUCCCUAGAGAAUCUUCCUCUAAUUCAGACAGGCACCUAUGACCUACUUUUAAAAGUAAUUUGAAAAUCCCAUCAAACAUAAGCAAUCAAAAUUCAGAUUCUCUAUCAGUAUUCUGUAGACCUAGCAUGGCAUCAUUUCCAUCUGUCCAUACUAAUGGCUUAAAUAUAUUUUGGACAGGGCUUUCUUCUGUCUUUGUAGCUAAAACAGAGCAUUUCUAGUUUGUGGAUUCAAAGCAAGUAUACAAACAAAUACAAUAUGGUGUAAAUUGUUUUUUUCUGUACAUGAGAAGGGAAUCAAAUUUGCUAACUUGGUAUUGCAGUUGCAGAAUUAAAACACCUAAGCCAGAGCUUAUUUCUCCUUAUUUGAAGCCUGGAGUUUGGGUUUAUAAAUGUAACUAGCUUCUGUGAACCUUUUUUAACUUUUCAAACCAAAACUGACAAGACAAAGUGUUUCACAGAAACUUCCAGAGUUGGAAGGUACUUUAAAGAACAUCCAGUCCCAUCUCUUACCUAAUUUUUGAAACUUAUGUUGCUUGUACUUUAACUCUCACACUAAAUUGUUAGUUUCUUAAGGGGAAGUUUCCUACUCAUAUGCAUUUCUAAUCACCCUGAGAUUGUUCAGCUUCUUGAGGAGGAAGGCUUCAUUUUGCACAGUUGGCCUAAAUAAAUAUUUGUGAAUUUGAUCAAUAAAUUGGCAGAUGGGUUUUUUUCAUUCCCUAUUUUCCUAUUGCACAGGUUUGGCUGCCACAUUUGUUCAGUUUCGAUCCUUGCCCUGUCUCUUGCCAGGUGUAUGACCUUUGACAAGUUACUUAACCUCUCUGUACUUUAGUUUUCUGUAAAAUGGCCUUCGAUAAAUGAUAGCAUGUUCCUGAUCACUACCAGCAGAACUUGCUGUCUGAAUUUUAAUCAUUUCAGGGUAUGUUCUGUCUAGAAAAUAUAGUGGGAAUACAGAAGUUACCUGAAAGCUGUUGAAAGUAUGAAAAAUUAAGAGUUACAAUUAUUUAGUAUGUACAUACUGGAUACACUUUAUUAGGAUAAAUUCCUCAUGAUUGUAAGUCAAGUCACAACUGUAAUAAGGAGUUUUUAGGCUGCUUCAACUCACCUUCCUACAACAUAAUAUGGAAAUCACUGGUUUAAAAAACAAACUUCAUGAUUCAGUUAACAAAGUCAAGAUAUGUAGGCUCAUGUAGAGCAGAGGAGCAAAUUAAUUGGGUGUUUAGAAUCUGAUAUGUUGUAAUGAAUUGGGUUAUCAGGUGGUGACUUAAUUAGGCUAUUGAAUGAAUUAACACCCCUGAAAUGUGGGAAAUUCGCACUUAGCUUUCUCACUUCUGUCAGGGGGCUGGUGGCAGUAUCCAAAAGAUCAAGAUACAUUUCUGAAAAAAAAUCCAGGUGGUUCAUAUUACAGAAUAGCAAGUAUCAGAGGCAUUAGGGCCCUAUCAUGUAAUGGUGAUAAUGUCCCCUAUAAUAUUCACUAUGGACAAACUGGGAAAAUACAGAGAAAUAGAAAUAAGAAGAAAAUUAGAAGAAAAUUAAAACCACCGGUAAUCUCAUGCCCUAAGACAACAAUUACUGAGAACUUUAUAUUGAGGAGGGCACCUGUUAGGAUGAGCACUGGGUGUUGUAUGGAAACCAGUUUGACAAUAAAUUUUAUAUUAAAAAAAAAACUUUAUAUACCAGCUAUUCCUAGCCACAAUUGUAUUUAUUUAUGAGAUUCAAACUGGGAUCAUUCUACAAAUGAAAUUUUGUAUUUAUCCCAUUAAACAAACUCACUGAGAGCAUCUUUCCAGAAAAAAAUACUCUUUAAAUUUUGCUUUCUCUUUAGUUAUAUAUGAGAUAUACUCAAUAAUAUUAUUAGUUCAAGAUAAAAGAUUUAAGUAAAAGGAAGAUUGAUACUGCCCAGAGUAGAGAAAGAAGAAAAUGAAGAGUAACGUGUUUUAUUACUGAAUAUGACUUUUUUAUUCAUUAAUAUAUUAUUUAUGUAAAUAGUGCUUCAGAGGAAAGUGGUUUAAGUUCACUAGUGACCUUUUAGGGAGUGGCUCAAUAAGUAAUAAUUCUAUGAAUGGAUUAAGGGAGAGCUUAACAUAUAGCAACUAUAAAUAUAGUCCUUAAAUCCUUAAAUCAUUUCUCUUUCUCUCUCCCUAAAGAGAGAAAGCCCCACUUUUUUUUCCCCUAUUCUGCCACUUAGGAACUUUAAUUUUUAAAAGCAUAGGAAGGUUACAGUUGGUCAUAUCUUUGAUUUUAAAAUGUAGAAAAUAUGGAAGCAUACCUGGGUAAUAGUAUAAAUACAAAGAAUUAGGAGAUAUGUGCUUACAUUCUCGGCAUUGGCUUAUUUCCAUGGUGGAAAGUCUCCUUUAAAGAGAGAGACAGGAAAACAUGUUGGUGAGGGAUUCCUGGAGCCAUCUUACAAUAAAGGCUGUUUUGGUACCCAUUAGAGUUCACCACUGGGCCCACGCAUCUGCCAUGCAGAUGCUGGCAGUUCAUCUUUUGAUUCCCAAUGACCUCUGCAGUACUGACUACAUGAUUUUCCAGGCCUAAUGCAAAGUGAAAAUAUAUGGAGUCCCUCCUUCAAAAGACAAUAAAAUUAAAAUAUAAAGCUUUUUCCUUUCUUCCACUGUCUUUUUCUCUAUCUGUAAUGAUGUUUUUAUUUGUUAUUUAAUGUUUCAUGUCCUUAGGCAUGGGGAUACUCACCCAGAAAAUGCAGAUUCUCACAGAGUCCCAUUCUGUACCUAAGCAGACAUGCCACCCACUCACUUCUUGGAUUCCCCCCUCCACCAGCCACUGGACUGGCCUAUGUCCUGGCGAGAGGUAGGGAAGUCAUGCCAAGUAUCUCCUCUUCCCCUAGGCAUACCACCUGUGGGAACCCAUGGUGGAUGGGGGACCUCUGAAGGUAGUACAAUCUCCAUGCUGGAACAUGCUGGGUACCUGGAUCAGCAGUAGAUGAGAGACUUAUCUUCCACUUAUAAGAUGAUCACCCCAUGGUGCUGUCAGUCUGGGAUGUGGAUGACUGUCAUUAAAACUCCCUGAGUUGUCUCAGGGAGCAAGAGGGCCCAUCUGUUUGUGCCCAGAGGGACUGGAGACCAGCAGCAUUACUGGAUGAGGACCUGGAGGAGUAGGGUCCUGAAGUGCCAGGGCAGCUGAGAACCCAUCCCUAUAAGGUGGGGAAGUAUGAUGGUUGGUAAGCUGAGGCUCCAAGCUCCCAGUGCAUGCUCUUUAGCCUCUUAGGACUUCACUUAGAAAAUUCAAACUCAUAGAUAAAAUUAUUAUUAAAAAGAAAUUAUUUUGAGAGAGAGAGAGAGAGAGAAAGCCCACAAGUUGGGGAGGGGGAGAGAGAAGGAGAGACAGAAUCCCAAGCAGCCUCCUCACCAUCAGUGCAGAGCUUGGCUCAAACUCAUGAACUGUGAGAUCAUGACCUGAGCCGAGAUCAAGAGUUUGACACUUAACUGACUGUGCCACCCAGGCACCCCUCAAAGAUAAAAUUAUUAAGUAUUUCAAGGCAGAGUAUUAACCUCAUGUUGGAGGAAGGUCGUCUAAGCUAAUACCCUAUGUGGCUGAAAUGGCUGCAUACCAAUGAAGCAAACAGACCGUGAGCUUCUGGAAUAACCUUUCUGACACUACUUGAAUAUCACUUUUAUUUCUUAUAUAUCAAUGCUUCUAAACUUUAAUGUGCAUGUGAAUAAUAUGCGAGGUUCUUGUUAAAAUGUGGAUCCUAAUUUAGCAGGUCUGGGGCCUGAGAUUCUACAUUUCAGACAAGUUCCCAGUGGAUGCCAUAGCUGGUCUAGGAACCACCUUUCUACACCUGCCUCCCUUAAAAAUAUUUUAUUUGGAAAUUAUUAUAGACUUACAAGAAGUUACAAAAAUUGUAGACUCCUGUAUACUAUUCUCUUAACUCCCAAUGGUGACAUCUUAUAUGUAACACAAAUACAGUAUGUGAUAUGACUAUAAUAUAAUAUCAAAACUAGGAAAUUGACAUUGGUACUGUAAGAUAACAAAAACAAUAUAAUUUAGUAACAAGUUUGAUGUCUUUUUUCAAAGGAAAACCAUUCAUGGAUUGAAGGAAUACAGUGUCUCACAAACAGUGGAACAUUGUUCCUGAGAGAUUUGGGGUAAGAGUGAGUUUUAUAGAAUGUUACAAGAGGCAAAUGGAAGCAGGGCAUGGUUGGCUAGGAUGUUGGGGAUUUCCUUGUAAGUCAAACAGUUUCUAUUUUCUAGAGUAAGGUAAGCUAGCUAAAGCAGAGUCUCUGGAGGAUUGUCAUUAGUGUAUGUUAAGUUUCCUUGACAGGUGUUUCCUGUGAGAGUAGGCUGACUUAGGUGUACAUUCGUGACAUAGACUGGGUCACUGGGGUCUCCUCCCUUUUGUUGGUCCUGAUAUACAAAUUUAUUUUAUCAGUACAGUAUUGUUAAUUAGACUAUCGACCUGGUUCCACUUUUAUCAUUUUUUUAUUUGCAUAUAUAUUUGUGUGUGUCUGUGUGUGUCUGUGUCUGUACAGUUAUAGGUAAUAUCAUUCCAUGUAUAAAUUUUUGUAACUACCACUGUGAUCAGGAUAUGGAACUGAUGAAGAAGAAUUAUUUUGUGGCCUCCCCCCACUUCCCUGAAGAUGGCUAUAAUACAUUGGGAAUUCUCAAUAAUUCAUACAAUAACAAUGCCUAUUCUUUUCUCAUAGUGAGAGUUGUCCCCAGAAUCCAGCAAACCAUGAGGUUGGCAGUUCUAAGUGCGCUGAAGCACUAAGGUGAGGUGAAGUUUUGGGGGCAAAAAUGUUGGUCAUUGGAGGGAAGUAUAACAUUCCUUGUCCUAGUGCCUUGCACUCAUCCUGGAGGGUGCCUUGUAUAAACAAAGUCAAAUGCAAAUUUUGGAGAAUCAUUUUACUUAAAAGAGACAUAAGGAAAAUGGGAACCAGGUAUACCCAGGAGAUCUCUAGGAUUCAGUGUGGGAAUUGGUAAAUAUUAAUUGAUAAUGACAAAGUAAGAUGUUCAUCAUUAUACUGUUCAGUGAACUUGGUAAUUGCUUUAUCUGUGCAUUAGACAGACUUCAAACUUCACACAUCUUUAUGAUAAUAAGCCUACUUCAUAAUGCCACUGAAAAUAAGACUUGUUAACUAUCACAUGCCUUGUAAAUGGAAAAAUAUAUCAGAUUUUGGUAAAUAUGACUCAUAAUUAUCAACUUCUCUUUUUAUUUUGGUGGUAUUGCCUGGUGGUUAAAGACAUUAUUCUUAUCAACUGUGUGACCUUGGCCAAGUGACUUAACAUUUCUAUGGCCCAGUUUUCUUAUGUCUAAGUUGGAGAUGAGUGUAGGACCUAUCACGUAGGGUUGUUGCACAGGUAAAGCACAUGCGACAGUGCCUUGCAGAGUGUAAACACUCAGUAUCAAUUAAUGGUAUUAUUAUUAUUAGGACUAGGUCAGCCUUGAAUACCUUCUACUAACAAUUGCCUAAGAUUUUGCUUCUUUAUAUCCAAACCACUGACCUCAACAACUUUUUUAUAUUGAACGUGUGUAGAUUUUUAAGGUUAGAGUUUCUUUUAGAUAUAACCACUCACUGUACAGACGAAAGUUAAACCUAUAGGCUCUGGGUUCAAGUUCCAGCACUUACUAAUUGCAGACUAAUUGUGGGGCUUAGGCAAGGAACUUCCCUAAACCAUAGUCUCCUUAUCUAUAAACAGGGAGAGUGUAACAGUAUUUACCCCAUAAACUUGUUGUAAAGAUUAAAUGAAAUAAUCUAUAUAAAGUGCUUGGCAUGUAAUUAGCAGGUUAUUGAUAUUUGCUGUUAUUUUUUUAUUGAUAUCUGGUUUUCCCAGUAAGUGUACAUGGCCCAGAGUUCCAGAGUUAUUGGGAGAGAUGAUGUUAAACCAAAUAUAAAAGAGCUUCUCUCCAGCCAAGUGAUUGGUCACACCUUGAGGACAUAGAAACUGGAGCUCCUAACAGUAUAGAUACCCAUGUGUUACAGAGACCAAGAACUAUCCCCUGAUAUCUAUCCCUUUCUUUUUUUUUAAUAAUUGAACUCUGCCCCUUGCCAGAUUUAGGAGGUCACGUGGCCAGUAGAGCCAGAAACCACACUUCCCAAGCCUGCAUGUUUUUUUGCCAAUGGAAUGGGUACAGCUUCUGUACUUCCUGACCAGUUACUCCCUAGUUCCUUGUGUCCCCCUUUCCUCUGCUGAGAAUGUGAUAGUGCAUGGACAAGGUAGAGGACCAGCCUCUACCAUGGAAGCAAGGCCGCACCCUGAGAUUGAUGGAGCAACAAGAUUAAUUUGAUUCUCUGGACAACUUUAUGGAGUAGACCUGCCUAUGUCACAUUGGCCUGCCUGUGUAGUAUAGGGCUGUUAAAUGAGAAAGAAGUAAAUUUCUGUCUUGUUGGUGCUACUGUAUAUUGGAGUCUCCUGGUUAUAGCACUUUAGACUAUAUCUUAACUCAUUUAUCAUGACCAUCUCUAAAGAUGUUGAAUGAUGGAAAAUAGGCAUUUUAAUAAGAUCCCCCAGUAACUGUGAUGCCAGCAAUCCAGGGACUAGCCUUUGAAAAACACACACUAAUGUGCUCUAAAGAUGUCACCAUGUCUCUAAGCAAAAUAUAAGUUUUGGAAAGGGGUCUAGAAUUUAGAAGAUAGGAAUAGCCCUUGUUAAAAUUUUAUUGUACUUGAACUGAAAUUUGUUCAAGAAUUCUGAAUUAAUAUUCCACCUCAUUUUAUAUUAGCAGUAGGAUUACUUUUUAAGUUAAAAAAUAGAUUUAUUAAGUUGAAUACCUAAGUUGUUCUUUACAUAUUAUUUGUAAUGACCAGAAGAGAAAAUACUUUGGUAUUUCAGGCUAUUUGUUGAUUGUAUAGCAUGGAUACAAGGAAGAGGUAAUUCUAUAUAUGUUGACUGAGGUACCCAAGAUGUAUCAAGCUAAAAAUAAACAAAUAAAUAUUGCAAAAAAAAAAGCACCAGACAUAAAGAAUACAUGUGGUUUGACUCCAUUUAUUAAAAAUCUGAAAAUAAGAAACGUUAUGCUGCUUACUAUUGUGUGCUUAGGCAGUAAAAUUAAAAAGAAAAACAAGAAUUAAAUACUCUGAAAGUCAGGAGAGUGGAAACCUUUGAGAGGGAGAGUGAAAGAGGGUGGUAAUCAGGAGGAGUCUAGAGGAGAGCUUCCAAGGGGCUGGAAGUGUUUUACUUUUCUUGUAAUUAAUUAGUUAAUUAAUUAAUUAAUUUGAGAGAGUUCGAGUGCUUGCAAGGUGGAGAGAGGGACAGAGGGGGAGAGAGAGAAUCUUAAGCAGGCUCCACAUUCAGCACAGAGCCCAAUCCUGGGUUCAGUCCCAUGACUCUGGGAUCAUGACUUGAGCUAAAAUCAAGAGUUGGCCUCUCAACCGACUGAGCCAUCCAGGCACCCCGGUUUUUACUUUUUAAUCUGGGUGGUGGUUGCAAGGGGGUUCACUUUGUUAUUUUGCACAUUUAUCUAUGUGUAUAUUAGAUUUCACAAUAAAAACCUUUUAAAGCAUAUUUCAUAACUACAUUAGGCAUAUAUAUAUUCUCUAUAUCUUCAUUUACAUAUGUUGUGUGUGUGUGUGUGUGCACGUAUUCCUGUGUACUCAUAUAAAUUUCACAAAGGAUACACGUACACACAAAAGAAAGAGCUAUGGGUAAUUGUUAUUACCUUUGGGUAGUGGGAAUGUGGGGUAGGGAACAUUUUACUUUGCAUUUUACAAUUUGCAUUUUAUUUUCUUAUAUUUUCUUCAUAAUCAUUUGUUACUUUUAAAAAAAUAAUCCCUCAAAUACUGUAUGUGAACAUAGAUCAUUUUAUUUUACAUGCCACUGUAUUAUUGGCAUUUUGUUUAUGAUCAUGUUACUUUAAAAAUUCUUUCUCCAAAUUUGCAUAUGUAUACAUAUGUGUACAUUGCAUACACAUAGUAAUACAUGCUUGGAGAAUUACGGCAUGAUACUUGUAAAACUCUUCACAGUGGUUACCUCUGAGGAGUGCACCUGGGGAUAAUUAAGAGAAGGGAGACCUUUCACCUUUUACUUUAUAUAAUUCUGGUUCAUUUGAACAUUUUCUUUUACAGUGAGCAUGUGCUACUUUUAAAUUCAUAGCACACAUAAUAAAAAAAGUAAAAUCUUAAAAAGAAAAAAAUGGGGGCAGGGGACACCUGGCUGGUACGGUUGGUAGAGCAUGGGACUCUUGAUCUCAGGGUCAUGAGUUCAAGCCCCACAUUGGGGGUAGAGAUUACAUAAAAAAUUAAACUAAAAAAAAUAAAAUAAAAUCUUAAAUUUAUAGCACACACCAAAGGUGAUAUAUAGCAUAUUCCAGCGUAUUUUGUUUUUUAGGCAUGGAGGGAUAGAAAAAGGUCUACUUAAAAAUGUGUCCAAUUUGGGGAGAAGUCUCAUCUUCAGGAAAAGAUAUCCUAGAAUACAAGCCUACAUCCCUGCCCAUCACACAUAUGCUAGAGCCUCUGAUAAUGGGCUAAUUUGAUGGAAUCUUUGAAAUUAAAUCACAAAGACAGGAUUCCUUAAAGGCAAACAUGGCUCCUGGCCUGUGGAAAGUAUUAGUUAUUUGUAGAAUUUUUUGGAGAACAGUAUCAUUUAAACGAUAUUUCAUCCACUAAGGUUUCACUACUUAUUGAUGCUUUUUUUUUUUUUUUUUAUAACAUGUUAGGUGUUUUUUAGUGAGAGGAUUAAGAGGUGCAGAACAUGAUUGAUGAGAUGCAACUGGGUGAUUUCUGGAAAAAAACUAUUAGUGUUUUAGGCCAGUUAGUAUUUUAGUCAGCUUUUUAAAAGCAUAGGAUACAGGAGUGCCUGAGUGGCUCAGUCGGUUAAGUGUCUGAUUCUUGACCUUAUCUCUAGGUCUUGAUCGUAGGAUCUUGAGUUCAGGCCCUGCAUUGGGCUCUGCGCUGGGUAUGGAGCCUACUUAAAAAAAAAAAAAAAAUAAAAGCAUAGAAUACUUUUAAAUUGUUAAUUUUAAUUGUUAAAUUAAUUUUAAACUUAAUUGUUAACAAUUUUAAAUUGUUAAUUAACAGUGAUACUUAUCCUAAUUGUUAUAAAGCUCAGGGCAAAUGACCUAAAAUUCAAUAGGAAUGACUUAACCAACAAAAAUUCACUCAAAGACUAAAUGUAUUAUAGAGAAACAACACUCGUAUUAAUCAAAGCUCUGAUACUGAACUUCAUGAGUAACCUUAUCUAGAUAGAUUCAACAGUUUGUUGCUGAUAAUUAGAUAAUGCCACGAAUGAUAAUCAAUAAUAAUGUUUUGUUGGUAAAAGAGGCAAUCAAAUACAGAGAUGCAGAAGUGAGCUACUCACUGAAAUAGAGCUUCUUUGGAAUAAUGUCCAACAGUGGUAUAAAACUGCUGACUAAAACAGUAGCAACCAAUUAACAUGUGGCUAUGGAACACUUGAAGUGUGGCUAGUCUCAGUUAAGAUGUUGUGUGUCAAAUGCACACCAGAUUUGAAGAGUUAGUUUAAAAAUGGAUUAUAAACUGUUAAUAAUAAUAUUAGAAUGUUGAUAGUGUCUUAAUAUUGAUUACAUGUUGAAAUGUUAAUAAUUUGGAUCUAUUGGGAUGAACAAAAAUUAUUAAAUUUAGUUUCACCUGUUUGUUAUUUUUUAAUGUGGUUAUUAAAAUUUUUUAGUUGUCAAUGUGGCUCCCAUUUAUAGCUCACUUUUGUUAGACGGUGCUGGUGUACAAGGUUUGAAUUAUAAAUGAACCGAGAAUCAGCAUUUUCACUUCCCUUACGUUCCAGAUAGGGAUACUAAUUCCAGAGAGGAAACACAAAGGCACCAACAUGAUUGGGCAGAAGCGAGGAAUAGAGCUUCCAUCUUUUGAUUCUCUGUCUCCCUACACAGUUGGCUCCUAAUGGAAAAUUUGAGGACAGGGAAUCAAACUCAGGACACCUACACAUUAGAGAUCAUGUUUCUUUAACAUGUGAAGAGCUAGACAAUGAUUAACAAACAAAAAACAAAACAAAACAAAACAUUUCUAAGGACUUGGAUUGAGAAUAGAGGUUAGAAGACUAACAUUCAAUUUUACACAUCUUUGUGUUACUUUUAAGACUUGGGCAUGUGUUACUAUUAAGAAAGAAAGAAAAAAGGCUCGGAUGGAGGGUGAAGCAGACAGAUAAGGUUCAAAAGAAACCAUAGUUUGAAAUUCAAGUUUGGAGAUAUUUGAAGUGGCUUUUUCUACCAUUAUCUUUGUUCACAUCUCUAGAUGCCGUUGUUUAAUUCUUUGUGUUCUCUUUGGGGUGGUUUACUUUUUACAUUACUAAAGCGAAAUCAACUGUUAGAAACUAAUUUUUGAAUUUGCAGCUGUAGCUUGAAAAACCUAUGUUUUCCCUACUUUUAUAAGCACAGGCCGGUGAGAAUGAUUGGUGAUUUUGUUUCAAGAGAAUUCAAGCUCUCCCUUCUAAAGGGCACUUGCCAACAGACUAGAUGUUUCAGUUUGAAGCCAUUUGCUACAAUCAUCCUUGAGAUUUUUGCUCACGGCAUCCAGAGCUAUUAUUUCUAAAGACAGAUUCUUAGAACACAAGUUUAUUUAGCUUCAGAACAUACACAGCCUCCUUACUGGAGCAGCUGUACUGAGUUUCUGAAUGGAAGGAUGAUUUCCACAGUGUAUUUUAUAGCCACACACCAUUCCCGAGCAUAAUCUAAAAUACAGAUUAUGUUUAUUUAUACUCCUUUAUUGUAGGAGAGAAAGACAUACUUGGCUAGUCUGAGGGGUAAUGUUUACAGCAGCAUUUUCUAUUUUUAUGGCAGUUCCUUCAGGCCCCUGCAUUGUUGACUUUCUUUCUAAACCCCAGAACUUGAUUUAGUGGUCUCCUAGCCCGAGACCAGGAUAAAUGCAGGUUGCCUGUGCUUAACAGGACUCUUGGAGUAUGUAUGGGUAUGGGACAAAUUCCUGUUUAACUUUUUGUCAAUAUUCUCAUUUCCUCUUCUUAUUUCAUUACUUUCAAGCCUUUUAACCCCUGAAACAAAAGAUAAUCCUGUCCUGGAGACUGAUGGCCUCUUUUUUACCCACUUUUCUGAGGCAAGUGCAAGAAUUCUAAAGGAACUUUGUUUUUUCACUGUUGAAAUGUUUUUGUUUUAAAGUAUAACAUAUUUAUUUUUUUAACUUAAAAAAAUUAAUUAAUUGGUGACCCAUCUCUUUUGAUAACUAUACCAAGUUCUUUAUUUCAGAUGUCUUUUCUAUUUGUAUUGUACACUAAUUUCUUUGUUUUAAUUAAAACAUUAUUAAAAAUUUUUGAGUACAGUUGACACACACUGUUACAUUAGUUUCAGGUGUACAACAUGGUGAUUCAGCAUCUCUAGACAUUAUGCUCUGCUCACUGCAAGUGUAGCUGCUGUCUGUCACCAUACACUGUUAUAGUACCUUUGCCUGUAUUCCCUCUGCUGUACCUUUUAUUUCUGUGACUUAUUCAUUCCAUGACUGGAAGUCUGUAUCUCCUGAUCCACUUUACCCAUUUUGCCCAUCUCCCCUUUCCGCUGGUAACUGUCAGUUUGAAGGGACUUUUUUUGUUUGAUUUUUUGCAAGUUAUUUACCAAACGCAUUCUCGGAUAUCUGAACCCAUCUAGAAGCUGAGUAGUCUCAUUCUCUUGAAUUCCAAACUCUGCAUUCAUUCAUUUCGUAGUUAAUUUUAGGCACCUACUAUGUGACAGGGUAGGGUUAUAUCUGUUAGAAAUAACCUUGGCACAGUGAAAAUACUGGACAGAAGCCCUUGGACCACUCCUCAGGACCUUUGGAGUGGGAGAAAGGGGGUGGAGAGGAAAAAGUCGAUGAGCUGGGAUUUCUGAGUAUUCUCACCUCCAGAAAUAGUCAAAUAGCACCUGCAAGCUUUCUCUGCCUCUGGAUUGCUGCAUGGGGCUUUAAAUCACUGGGCUGAGCUCUCUUGACCUUUGCUCACUUGUUGUCUCCACAGCUCCAGAAGCUGGGGCAUUUACAUAUAACCCUUACCUGGGCCCUGGUCUCAGCUCUAUCAAAACACCAGCUAUUUGACUAGCCAGCAGUUGCUGCUGUUGGUCAUUUACCUUAAUGUGCAAAAAAGACAGGGCCUCUUUUUAGCAUUAAGUGUUAACCAUGCUUAAGAGAAGAAGUAGAGGUAGAGCUUCAUUGCAGCUCCCUUUUAGAAAUGGUUGUCCAAUAAUAGGGGUCCUCAGUCACACCAGUGGUAUUACACAGUGACAGUUUCAGUGAUAUGUAUGUACCUGGGUCCUGUCCUAGACCAAUUAAAUAAAUUAUGGGAAUGGGACCUGAGGGUGAGUAUUUUUGAAAAGCUCACCAGCUAAUACACAGCCGAUAUUAAAAACCACUGGUAUUGAAACUGUCAGGCCUUGAAAGGGACAGAUGUGGGUGUAAAAUCCAGAAUUUACAACUUACUAGUUGUAACUCUAUGAGGCUCUCUGAGCCUCAGUUUCCUCAUCUGUAAAAUGAGGAUCAAAUUGUACCUUCCUUACAGGUAGCUAUGUAGCACAUAGAAGAUACUCAAUGAGUAGUGGUUACUGAAUAAGGCUAUCAGUAUUCUGUCUGAUAUGAUAGCCAUUAGCCAUAUGUAACUAUUUAAAUUAAAAUUAGACAAAGUUAAAAACUUGCCCCUAAGUCCCAUUAGCCACAUUUCAAGGGCUCAACAGCCAUGUAUGGCUAGUGGCUGUCAUACUGGGUAGCAGAAAUGUCAAACAUCUCCCUCAUUGCAGAAAGUUCUUUAGAUUGGAAAACACUCAUUUAUAACAUCUGCUUCAGUAAGACCUAACUUUAUUUAGAGAAAUGUCAUUUUAAACUCUUAUGGAAAACCUUCUACAUUUGUUUCUGUUAGGUAAACAGCAGGCCUUUUGGCUCGAGCAGAGAAGUGAAGGAAAUCCAGGAACCACCUCUUCUAUGGAGACUUUUUUCAUGUUCCUAUAUACCUGUAAAUGAGUUUACCUCAGGUAAACAAACAAGUGGGAACAUCCAAUCGAUUGUUCAAAUAAUGAUGUCUCCUCCCCUCCCCACCCCACUAGUUCGGAGGCCACGCUCACCAACCAUUUAGUCCACUUUUGAAGUAGAACAUUAACUUUUCCCUGCCCUGUUUUUUAGUACUACAGGCACUAUCAGCGAAGCUGAAACUGGCGUGUGUGUGUGUGUGUGUGUGUGCGUGCGCGCGCGCGCGUGUGUGUGUGUGUGUGUGUGUGUGUGUGUGUGUUGGAAAGUGGAAGAGGAAGGGGCAGUAGCCGGGAGAAAGAACUGGCAUUGGGAAGGGAAUAUCUGUCAGUGGGAAAAGAAAGGCCAUAGAUAGGAUGUAUUUUAUGAUUUUAUUAUCAGAAAUGUUUAUUUCAGGUAUUUUGAUAUCUCUUCUAUUCUAAAAAUUCUUUAGUGUCAUUUUUAUUUACCUACAGUAGGUAAGAGCACAGGCUCCGAAAUCAAACCUCCUGUGUCCAAACCAUACUCCAUUAUGAACUAGCUGAAUGACCUUGCACAGAUUACUUAACCUUUCUAAGUCUGUUUUUCCAUCUGCAAAAUGAAGAUAAAAUAUUAGUAUCUACACCUCAUAGUAUUAUUGCAAGAAUUAAAUGACAGAAUAUAUGGAAAGUCUUUGGUAUAGGACAUAACCCCAGAUAAGUGCUUAAUGAAUUAAAAAAAUUAUUUAGAGAAAGAAUAUUUUAUUGUCAAUAAACAAAUGAUGUGAUACUUUUAACUACAACAAGUAUAGGCUAAAUAUAUUCCUCAUAAGAGUGUUAAAUCUGUUUUAAAAUUUAUCCAUUUGUCAUAUCUUCUAGAACACGUAGGCCUCUUUUACAGUUUCUGUGUUACAUAAAUGUUCCACGUGUGCUACUGUACUUGUUUGGUUAAGCAUAGGCCUAGCAGCUUGGGAAGUGUCAAAGUCUGAAGAACAAAUGUAUUGUUGAUUCGAGCUACUAUGUUAAAAAUUGCUAGGGGCGCCUGGGUGGCCCAGUCCCUUGAGCUUCUGACUUCAGCUAGGGUCACUUGAUCUCAGGGCUCUUUGCAGCCUCAGGCUCUUUGCUGAUGGCUUGGAGCCUGGAGCCUGCUUCACAUUCUGUGUCUCCCUCAAGCUCUGCCCCUCCCCCACUUGUGCUCUGUCUCUUUCUGUCUCUCAAAAAUAAAUAAAUGUAAAAAAAAAAAAAUGCUAAUAUAACUAAGCAGUCUUAAAAACAAUGAAGGUCCUGGUUCUCAAUGGAAAAGGACCACAACCUACCACUUAAAUUCACUUUAUAUUUGUUUUGUCUUCCUGCAAUGAUGUUUUUAUUGGCAAAGUUACUUUAUUAUUUUUUUUUUUAAUUUAAAAACAUGGCAUGUCUUCGGGUAUUUUAUUAUUUAGAUGUUUCACACCCUUUUGUUUUGUUAUGCGGUGUGACAGUGUGACAAACCUAAAAACUAACUCCCCAGUGAGUGGAAAGUGCUAUCGUUUAUUUUUAGUAAGAAAGCUGUAUUGGUUCAUAUAGCUGCUUUCCCAGCUGAAAUAACACAGCAGAUUGGUGCUGUUUGAACACUGUUAAUUGCUAAAAGUUCUUAAACUAGUAAAUAGGCCUGAUUAGCUGGAAUCCAAACAGCAACCCAAACAGACCAGACCACUUUUGAUAAGAUAAACACUCUACUAACCUUAAACAUUCCCUCCUGAUUAUCUUCCUGUGGUAUGAAAUGUUAAACUAAAAAUAUUUUUAUUUUUCCUAUUUAGAGAGACAUCAGGGAAAAAUUGUUUGCGAUAUUUAAAACCAAGUUAAAGGUCAUUAUGUCCAGUGUAUGAUUUAGUAGAUAAUUAUCAGCAAUGCUGUUACUAAAUCAUUACCCUAGGAGAGUUGAACAGUAAAGGUGGACUAGUUUGUAACAGAAAGUCCUGAUAUAGAAGAUCACAUUGUACUUUGUCAUUUCUGUUUGGGCAACUACAAACAAACAGUAGUAACUGCAACAAGAGAACAAGGAGCUUUUAAUAAAUAAAAUGUAAUAGAAGUUCAUUAGGCAUCUUAAAUCUCAUAACUGGAAAGUUUUCUAGAAUAAAACUCCACUUUUGCUCAGCAUUUGAAAUAUUCAUUGGAAAUACAACUCUAAAAUUCCUUUCACCUUCCAGGUUCUAGAGCAUUCAUAUUAAAAUUAAGUUUGCUUGAGGCAUUUUAUUUAAUAUUUUUUUUAAAUAUUUAUUUAUGUUUAAGAGGCAGAGAGGCAGAGUACAAUUGGGGAAGGGCAGAGAGAGAGAGAGAGAGAGGGAGAUACAAAAUCCAAAGUAGGCUCCAGGCUCUGAGGUAUCAGUACAGAGCCCGAUGUGGGACUUGAACCCACCAGCUGUGAGAUCAUGACCUGAGCAGAAGUCAGAUGCUUAACCGACUGAGCCACCCAGGCGCCCCAGCAUUUUAUUUAAUAAUUUAAAAACUAUUUUAGUGAAAUAUUGCUGAUGUGAACCGGCACAUUUCCUUAGCCUUAGAAAUAGAGACUGGAACAAAACAAAAAUUUCCUUACCAAUGAAGUAUAGAGGGUGAGCCAGUUUUCUAAAUUUUCCAGCUCAGAAAUUCAAAAAUAAGGUAAACUUUUAUAAGAUUAAUAACAAUCUUAUUGUUUUCUUGGCUCACUAUUGAAAAAUAGCAAGUAGGAAAAAGAAAAAGAAAACAUCUAUAGUUCCACUAACCAUCAUUAAGUAUUGGGUAUAUUAACUUCUAGUCUUUUGUUCUAUACUUUAAAAAAAAUUAGAGUUGAGCUCAUAUAGCAUAUACAUUUGCUUAAUAUUAUGGUGUUAUUAAAGCUUGUGGCUAUGGAAGUAUAAUAAUUUCUUAUUGGAUAUUUAAGUAGUAUCAAAUUAUUUCAUAUUAUAAACAAUGCUGUGGUGGAAAUAUUUGUGCAUAAGGGUUACUCUUCCCUCUGACUCUAUUUAGCAUUAUUUCCAUAGGAUAGAGUCUCAAAAGUGAGAAUACACUAGGUCAAAGUUAUGAAUAAUUUUAAGGCUCAUAUACAUUUGCUUUCCAGAAGAGUUAAUUAAAACUAUAUUACCAUUAAAGAUAUAUUACUGUAUAGAAUUAUGCCUACUUUACAGCAUCGUGGAUAGCAAUGAACAAUUUUACUAUGAUUUUAAUAUGAUUCUCUCGUGUUUGUAUCUUUUAGAGUUUGAAAUUAUAACCAAAUAGGAGGUCAUAAUUUUGUAUAGUCAAAUUCAUUUGGCACAAAGAAAUACUCUGUUUCAAGAUUAUAGACCAUAUGGCUGCUAAUUGUUGGUGAACUUUAAGAUUUCAGGUUGGCUUAGCGCAGAUGGUGAUUUAGAUUCUAGUCUGAUGGUAUUUUAAAAAUAAUAGUAAAAAUUAUUUUUCCCUGUCUACCUUAAAAAGUAUCUGAGGCACUAGUAUAUUUUGCUUUUAGUGGCUGAAUUAGAUCUUAUUAAACUAGCUUUUUCCAGGUAAUAACUAUAUACUCUGGAACAUGUGAAUAAUAAUAAUAAAAAGUAGGUACUUGAAGUGGCAGGAGAAUGGACAGAGGCAGACAGAUCUUGGUGAGAAAUCCAUGCUUGGAGGAGGUGAAGGAGAUUAAAGGAGACUUAAAUAAGUAGAAAGACAAACAAUAUUUAUAGGUUGGAAAACUGUAAGUUGGUAAGAUGGCAAUUCUUCCAGAAUUGAUACAUAGAGUCAUUACAAUCCUGGUCAAGAUCCUAGCCAGCUUUUAAAGUUUUUAUUUUCAUUAUUUUUAUUUAUUUUUUAUUUUUUGAGAAAGGCAGAGAGAGAGGGAGAAUCUCAAACAAGGUCUGUGCUGACAGCGCAGAGCUAGAUGCAGGGCUCAAAUUCACAAAACUGAGAUCAUGACCUGAGCUGAAAUCAAGAGUUGGGCGCUUAACCAACUGAGCCACCCAGGCACCCCCCUUUUUAAAAGUUUUUACUUACUUACUAUUUAUUUUUAGAGAACUAACCGGCUUUUAAAAAAGGAAAUUGACUUCAAGGUUAACCUUAUUAGUGAUUCCAUGUAGAUAGCAGGUAUCUCCUGACAUUAUGUAGUGAGAAGUAUAUUUAACCUCUGGGGCAUUCUUUCUGAAAACCCAUGAGUACAGCCUAAUCAUGAGAAAAACAUCACAUAAACCAAAUUAGGGGACAUUUUACAAAAUAACUGACCAGUACUCCUCAAGACCAUUAAAGUCAUGCAUGAAAAGCAAAGAAAGUCUAAGCGCUAUCAUAGUCUAGAGGAGAGAGAGAAGACAUGAUGGUUAAAUGCAAUAUAGUAUUCUAGACUGGGUCCUGGAAGAAAAAACUGGUGAAAUCCAACUUAAAUCAUCUGUUUAAUUAAUAGCAAUGUACCAAUGUUGGUUUCUUAGUUUAGAGAGAUGUACCACAAUAAUGUACAAUGGUAACAUUAGGGGAAACAGAAACUAAGUGAGCAGUAUAUGAGGACUCUCUUUGCAUGUUUUCUGCAAAUCUAAAGUGAUUCCAAAAUAAAACGUUUAUUAAAGUGGGAUUCCUGGGUGGUCCAGUCAGUUAAGGGUCUCACUUGAUUUUGACUCAGGUCAUGAUCUCAUAGUUUGUGAGUUUGAGCCCUGCAUCUGGCUCUGUGCUGACAGCAGAGCCUCCUUGGGAUUCUCUUUCCUCUCUCUUUGCCACUUACCCCGCUCAUGCUCUCUCUCUCAUUCUCAAAAUUAAAUAAACUUAAAAAAAAGUUUUUUAAAGAAAAAAUAAAUUGACAAGCUUAUUCUAAAAAGUAUGGAAAAGCAGGGAACCUAGAAUGGCCAAAAUAAUUUUGAAAAAGAAUAAAGUAUUUAUAGUACCUAAUUUUAAGACUUAUUAUAAACCUACAAUAAUCAGGAGUGUGUGGUAUUGGCUUAGGGUAGACAUAUAGAAAUGGAACAUAAUAGAGAGCUUAGAAUAUAUCCCAAUUUAUAAUGAUUUUCAAAUUAAGUGCCCAGGUGAAAGGCACUUAGGCACUAAAGGAUAGUCUUUUCCACAAAGGUGCUAAAACAACUGAAUAUCUCUAUGGAAAAAAAAAUGAACUUUGAUCCUUACCUCACCCUUAUAUAGAAAUUAACUUGAUAUGGACUAUAGACCCAAAUUUAAGAGUUUAAAGCUAUAAAACUCCUACCAAAAAAAAAAAAAUUUUUUUGUGGCAUUAGUUUAGGCCAGUGGUUCUCAACUGAGGGCAAUUUGAUUCUUCAAGGGACAUUUGGCAUUGUCUGGAGAUGUUUUUGAUUACCACAACUGGAGUGGGGUGAGGAACAUGCUGUUGGUAUCUAAGUAGAGUCCAGGCAUGCAAAUGAAUAUUCUACAAUGCACAGGAUGGCUCCCUACAACAAAAAAAUUACCAAGUUCAAAAUAUCAAUAGUACAGAGUUUGAGAAAGCUUAGGUUAAUCAAAGCUUUCUUAAAUAGAUAUAGAAAUCAUUAAUCAUAAAAGAAAACUAAAUAAAUGCUGAAAUAAAAAUAAAUGCAAAUUAUAAGUAAAAAUUAAAACUUUUGCUCUGCAAAAGAUACAGUUAAGAAAAUGAAAAGGCACUACAGGAUGAGAGAAGGUAUUUGUAAAACAUGUAUCUGACAAAAGGCUCAGAUUCAGAAUAUAAAGAUAACUCUUAUGACCAAUAAUAAGAAAACAAACAACCUAAUAAGAACUAGGCAAAGGAUUUGAACAGAUAAUUUAAGAAAGAGAGUAUAGGGGCACUUGGGUGGCUCAGUCGGUUAAGUGUCCAAUUCUUGGUUUUGACUCAGGUCAUGAUCUCACAGUUUGUGGGUUUGAGUCCUGUGUUGGGCUCUGCAACUGGCAGCUCGGAGCCUGCUUGGGAUUCUUUCUCUCUCCCCCUCUCUCUGCCCCUCCCCUGCUCACAUGGUCUCUGUCUUUCUCAAAAUAAAUAAAUUAGUUAAAAAAAAAGAGCAUAUAAAUAUGGCCAAUAAGCACACAAAAAGAUGCUCAAUGUUACUAUUCAUCAGGGAAAUGCAAAUUAAAAUCAUAAUGAGAUACCACAACACACUCAUUAGAAAGGCUAAGGUUAAACAGCCUGGCAACAAGUGCUGACAGAGAUGUGGAGCAACAGGAACUCUCAUACAUUGUAGGUGGAAUUGCAAAAUGGUUCAGUUCUACUCUGGAAGACAAAUUGGCUCUGUCUUAGGCAGUAAGCAUAUACUUACCAUAGGACCCAGCAUUGCUGCUUUGUAGGUAUUUAUCCAAGAGAAACGAAAAUAUAUGUUCAUACAAAGGCUUGUAUGUGAUUAUUUAUAGCCACAUUAUUCAUAGUAUCCUCAAAUGAAAUGAUCCAAUUAUUCAUCAACUGGUUAAUGGAUAAAGAUUGUGUCAUGAUAUCCCUGGUAGUGAUAUAACCAUACCAUGAAAUUCUAAUGGGCAAUAAAAAAGGAACAAAAUACUGAUACAAAACAGCAUGGAAGAAUUUUAAAAACCUUACGCUAAGUGAAAGAAGUCACAAAAUUAUAUUCUGUAUGAUUCUAUUCAUAUGAAAUUCUAGGAAAGGUAAAACUAUAGUAACAGAAAGUAGACCACUAGUUGCUUGAGGCUGAGAGAGGAUCAGCUGAAAAGAGGAAAUUUUUUAGGGUGAUAAGAAAUAUUCUCUAACUUAAUUGUGGUGAUGGCUACAUAAUUACAUACAGUUAUGAAAACUUAUCAAACUACAUAUAAGGUGAGUGACUUUUAUUUUAAAUUCGACCAAUAGGAAUAUAAAUUAAAAAAAAGAAUUUGAGGCUUUGAAAUUAACAAGACACUAUCAAAAGAAUAUGAACCAAAUAAUAAAGGAAAAAAAUUAUAUGUAAAAACCAGCUCAUAGUAAUUAUUGCAGUUGAGCACCAAUCUAUCUUUAAAGUUCUUGGUAGAUAAUACAAAAAUGAAAACUUCAUGUGCUCUAUACUUUUUAUUGUGUCAUAAGUGGAAGAGUAUUGGCCUGUCUGAAGACUACACUCUUUUUUACAAUCAGGAAAGAAUAAUUAUUUGUGAAAAUCUUAACAUCAGAACACUGAAUACCACACUGGACGAUAUUUUCUAAAGGACUAAAGAAGUUGAAAAUAUUCUUUAUAUUGUUGACUCUUACACUGACCAUGAAUAAACCAUUUUUAUUAGGAGGCAGGGCCUUGGGGAGUAAUUAGGUCAUGAGGGCUCCAUGGAAUUAGUGCCUUUAUAAAAGAGACCACAGAGAGAUCCCUCAGCCAUGUGAGGAAACAGCAAAAAGACAUAGUCUAUGUACCAUGAAGUGCACUCUCAUCAGACACAGAAUCUACUGGUGCUUUGAUCUUGGACCUGUCAGCUUUCAGACUGUGACAAAUAAAAUUUUUGUUGUUUAUAAGCCACUCAGUUUAUGGUUUUUGUGUUAUAGCAGCUGGAACAAGUAAGGUAACCUAAUUUCUAUGCAUGACCCAGCUCUGGUCAAUGAGAUGAUUGCUUACCCCUGCCCCCCUGGCCACAGUAAGAAGCAGUAUGGCAGAAUGGUUAAAAGACUAGGUUCUGGAGAUGGACUGUGUAGUAGGAAUAUGAUAUCAUAGCAGCUUAAUAUGCGUUGGCCAUCCAUUACAUGUUUUGAUAGUUUCCUGCAUUGUGCAUUUUACUUCCGGAAGGUAGUUAUAAACAAAAACAAAAACUUAGUUUUCCCAGUCUCCCUUGUAGCUAAUGUUUAGAUAUGUGACCUAAGUAUUACCAAUUUGAUAGCUAAGGAAGACCUUGCCUUAGAGGUGAGCUGUGGAAGGAAACAAGCUAGUCACAACACAUCAUUUUGCUGGCUGUGGAGUGGAUGGCAGAAGCCAAACCUUUUUAGGAUCAGUUGUAGCUCCAAUUUCAUUCAUCCAGUUCUUGAGUGUGGUACUGACAGAAUCCUAAGACAAAACCUCCAAACUGGCUGGCCCAGCUUAAAGCUGUAGCCUUAAGGUCCAGCUCAAACAAUUUUUCUUGACUCUAGUGGGUCAGUCUCAUCCUCUUUUUCUCCUUAUUUUAACAGUGAUAGUUAAUUUUAUAAUAUUUAUAAUUUUAUAGUAGCUUUUUUGGAGACCUUAUUCUAAAAGCUCAUGUACAAAUUAGCAGUACUGAGACUAUUUAUAUAAGAGGAUUCUGGCACAUAAUCACCACUGAAUCUAAUGGAGACAUCUACUUUUCUACUGUAUUACACUUGUUUGUGAUAUGAGUGAGUUUCUGGGGGAUUUAGCAUAGCAAUGAUUUACUUAAACUUCAGUGUAUGUUAACAGUCACAGGUAGAGCUUGUUAAGAUGUGUAUUUCUCUACCCACAGAGAUUCUGAUUCAUUUGGUUUGAUGAGGAGCACAGCAGUCUGCAUUUGAAUGUCUUUUUAGGUGAUUCAGAUGCAAGUGGUCCACAGACCAUAUUUUUAUAGACAUUGGACUAUAGUUGAACUCCUUACACAUUUUUUUUUAAUCUGUAUUUACCCUCAUUCAUCAACAUUAGCUCAGUGCCUGACUCAUGGUAUUCUGUAAGUAUUUGCUUAAUGGCUGAUUUUUUUUAUUGUAUGAUGAAUAAUAAAGGACAUGGAUAUUGAAAACAGUUGCACUUUACAUAUAUAUGUAGCUCAAAAUCUCAGAAUGCUUUGGAACUAAAGAAGCAAAUUGAAUAAUAUUUUUCCGCACAGUGAUUCAAUAGGUUCUCUAACAGUCACACUACUGGUUCAGUGGGUUUCCCACUAAAUCCAGGAUUUGUUUUUAAUGCAUAGUCAAAUAUAAGGUUCUACAUACUAAUUUUUGACUCAUGUAUUUAUCAGGGGCAAUUGUACCCAUAUGUCUGAUAUGUUUAUUGCUAAACAAGAUGUCUUCUUCCAGAGCUUGAAUGCUUUAGUUCUAGAAGGACUUUCCCUCCUACUGCUCUUCUAGCCCUCCCCUCUCUGACAGUAUCUGAGGGUAUCAAGAGAAAAGUUUGAGAAAAACAGCAUUUGUGAAAUCGUACCUUCUAAGACCCAAUUAUGUAUUGAUGAUGAUGUGGAGAUAAUCACAGGGCUCAGAUGUAAGCUCAUUUAUUUCUUCAGCUUUGGCUCUUUGCCUGCCUGAGUUUGAGUAGUUAGGCAUGAUAACAGAGCCAACAGCAGGUGAACAUGGUUUGAGGAGAGAAGAGAAAGAUCAGGAACAAAGACCUGAAGCUGAAAUCUCUCAGGAUGGGUAUACUCACCACUGGCCCUGAUCCCCACAGAAGCCUUGUAGUGCUUAUUUCUACUUAUAGGGAUUCUGUUAUGCCUUGUCUCCUUUGGAUGGCCCCUCUUAUACAAAGUCUUGUUUGGUUUUCCCCCAUCUGCAUUCAGCAAGAUCUGGCCAGGAACCUCUAUUUUGUAGUUAUUUCUGUGAAUCCUCUAUCUCUUCUGUCAGACUGUUAGCAUCCUGAUGGCAAGGUAACUGGACUGAAUAAGGACUCCAUAAAAGUGUGAAUGAGCUGUUGGCAAAGAGCCCUGUUUUCCUGCUGUGAAUGGAAGGACUGGGACGAACAUGCUAAAAUGUACUGAGAGGUUUUGAGAGAGUAUUUGUUAGAGGGAGGAGUUGGGAGUGGGAGAGAGGGUAAGAAUUUUAAAGAUAAGGGAGUAGAAAGUUUCUCUCUCUCUCUCUCUCUCACCCCUUCCCCUGCACUCACCCAUGCUUUCUCUCUCUCUCUCUCUCAAGAUAAAUAAACAUUAAUAAAAAUUAAUAAAAACAAAAAUAAAUUGGGUUGUCUUUUUAUUAUUGAGUUGUAAGAGUUAUUUGUAUAUUUUGGAUAUAAAUUCUUAAUCAGAUACCUGUUUUGCAAAUAUUUUCUCAUAGUCUGUUGCUUGCCUUUUUUAUUUUAUUAAAGUUGUCUUGUGUAGCACAGAAAUUUUAAAGUUUGAUAAGGUCCAAUUUAUCAAUUUUUUCUUUUAUGGAAUAUGUUUUUGGUGUCAUAUCUAAAAAAAUUUUCCCUUACUUAAGGUCUCAGAGAUUUCCUCCUAUAUUUUCUUGCUUUUUAACUCUUACAUUUAAAUCUUUGAUCCAUUGAGUUAAUUUUUAUAUAUGGUGUGAGGUGAGGGUCUAAGUUCAUCACUGGGCAUAUGGAUAGCUAGUUGUCCUCACUUAAAGAUUUUAUUUUAUUUUUUGUUGGGGGGAGAGCUGGGGUGGGGGGAAGGCAGAGGGAGAGGGAGAGGGAGAGAGAGAAUCCCAAGCAGGCUCCAUGCUCAGCAUGAAGCCCAACAAGAGGCUUGAUCUCAUGACGAUGAGAUCAUGACCUGAGCCAAAAUCAAGAGUCAGAGGCUUAACUGAUUGAGCCACCUAGGUGCCCCCUCACUUGUCUUAUAAACUGACCUCUAUUGAGUGCUUGGUUUUAGGGUAGGCACUGGUGAUACAAAAUGAAUUAUAUAAUUUCCAAUUCCAAGUCAAGUGUAGGGAGGAGUGUAACAUAGUCAAGGAGUGUAGAAUGGAGGAACACACCAACUGAAGAUCUGGUGACUUCUGAGAUAAAAUCAAGGAGGUGGUGUCCUCAGAGAAAAGACCUAUACAUAUUAGCCUAAUAUAGUGUAAUGAUUUCAUCAUCUUUGGUCUCUUAACACACUAGUUUGUUGCCAUCUGUUUUAAGGUUUAUUUCUAAAAACUUAUGAUUAAUAAAGACUUUAAAUCCAUUUUUUAAAAACACUUGAUAUUCUUAGAAUGGAGGGUAUAGUGCUACCUUAGAAUUCAUCAUAUCUCAGGUUAUACCCUGAAAACAUGUCUCCCAUGUGGACAUUAUUUUAGACAAAUGCUUGAAAACUCUGGUUUGGUGGAUGAACAUUAGAUUAGGAAUCAAGAGACUUACUCUGGGACUAAAUGGCUUUAUGUUUUUGGAACAUCACCUAACUUCUGAGACCUUCAAUUUGCUCCCAGUUUAAAAUGGCAGUUCAUUUUCAAGCUCUUUACUUUGGAAUGUUCUAUUUGUUCAUUUAGUCAGCAUUUAUUGAGUACUCAUUUUGUGCCAGGCAUUGUGAGGCACUAUUAAGAAAAGGUAAGACAAAGGAGUCAGAUGCUUUUAUAGAGAGAGAUGAGAAAACAAAUCAUUAAAAGAUAAUAUGUUCCACAAUUUAUGUUAGUUCUACAAUUCCCCUGGUCUAGAAAUGCAUAGCUCUUCUGACCAGGGAGUUAACUGGGGAAGACAAAGAAAAAGGAGAAUUACUCCAAAGAUCAGCUUUUACAAAGUGCUAUGCAGGAGAGAAUUCACAUGUUAGACAUGUGACAGAGGACUUCCAGCCUAUACAGCUGCAGCCUACCUUUGUACAAUGGGAUUUCUUCAUGUUGUGGUAAAAAAGGUAUACUUACUUCCUUAAGAAUAGUAAUGGGGAAAGGUAUAUAACUUGGCAGACAUUGGGUAUAUAAUUCAUUUUAUUGUAUUUAAGAUUAUAAUGGAUUUUUUUUUUUACAUUUCAGGUUUUCCUAAAAAGCAAAACUAUAGUAUGACAUUUUGUUAAGAAGUAUGUUUUUAAUGUAUUGCAAGAACAUGAAUGUGAUAUAAAUCAACUAUAAACCAUGCCCCUGUUUUUAAGACUUUCUUUCAGGUUCUGAGUUAUAUUCUCUAAUACAUUUCCUGAAGUUUCUUUUAGAACUACAUAACCUUCAGACUUGAACCUAAUCUAAUAGUCUUUUGUGUAAUGUACAGACAGGAAACCUCUGAUCUGAAACAUUUUUCAGACUGUGGGUGCUGUGCUUGGCUUGAGUUUACCCUGAAAUUCUCCCCUGUUUACUUCCACACACAUGUAUAUUUUCUCUUUUUGACAGUAGAUAGUCUGGGGCUGCUUGUAUGUGAGUAGGGGAAUGGUUUGCAAAGUUAUAAAAAAAUUAAGCUAACAUUCCAUUCCAUUCAUAUAGCUUUAUAGUCUUGGCAGAUGUACCAUUUAGGGGCAACCAUAGUUCAAGUGUACUUAGGUAAGCUUUAACCAUACAUUGUGUUUUGAAAAGGCCUUGUCUUGGUCUAUUAGUCAGGAUGCUUGGUUGCAACAGAUGGAAAUUCAACUCAAAUUUACUCAAGCAAGAAACAGAAUUCGUUGUCUCUCUUAAGUGGAAGUGUCAGUGUGGAACUGGCCUUAGCACAGCUGAGUCUAGGGACUCAACAGAAUUCUUGGCUCUCUUGAUUUUUCUCACUCAAUUCAGCAUUCUUCUAGGUAUCGACAUUAUUCUAUAGCAGAUUUUGUGUGUAUGGUAGUCAGUGAUGACCACUGGCACCUCCAGACUCCUCUGUUCUUUUUAAGUCAGAGGAAGAGAGAUUCUUUGGUGUCCAUAUAUUACCUUUCAUCAUGGGACUCUGAUUGGUCCUGCUUGGGUCAUAUGUUCAUCCCCUUGUACUAAUCUGUGAACAGUGGAAGGUACAGUAAAACCUUGGUUUGUGAGCAUAAUUCGUUCUGGAAACAUGCUUGUAAUCCAAAGCAUUUGUAUAUCAAAGCAAAUUUCCCCAUAAGAAAUAAUGGAAACUAAGAUGAUUCAUUCCACAACCCAAAAAUAUUCAGAUAAAAAUGAUUACAAUAUUGUAAUAUAAUACAAGAUAAUAAAGAAAAUAUAAAAUAUAAAGAAAAAUAAACAAACGAACUGGCACUAACCUUUGAAAAUCUUCAUGGCUGGUGUGAGAGAGACCAGACAGAAGAGGGUUAUUUUGUAGGAGGACUUUUACUAUCGCUAACAGGAUCACUGCUAUCUAUUGGCUCAAUGGAAUAUUUUUCUUUUUGUUCAGCUUUAACAAGGAACCUAUCCAAUGACACUUACUUUUGCCUCCUUUUGAGGAUUUCGUGGAAAUGGCAUUGCAUUGCUUUAAACAGAUUCGUCGCUCGCACUGCUAUCACCUUAUUCAGGUGGUGCUUUUUUACAUAAUUUUGCACUGUUUCCCACAUUUUACACAUCUCCCUAAUCUCAUUUGAAGUGAAGGAUUCUUCCACCUUUUUAUCCUCCUCCUCCUCUACAGAUGAGAUGCUGACGUAGACUUCUCAUAAAAUCUUGCAAUUUCGGCCACUCACAUACCUUGUUUAUACUUCUUGAUGAUUUCCUUCUUAACUUCCACCAUAAUCAUCUUCUUCCUAUUGCCUUUCUUUUCAACCUUUUUCUGCAUAGGGCCAUUGUAUAUACUCACAUGGAUGUUGACUACAGUACAGUAUUAAUGAAGUCUUAUCAUAUACUGUAUUUAAUAUAACUGGCAAUAAGGCAGCAGAGAAGAGAGUCUAUCUACAUCUGCAGGCAGCCUGCCUAGAAUGAAGCAAAGUAUUCCUAAGCUUCCUCUUAUAUGGAAAAGCAAAGGACUGUCCAUAGGUGCUUUGAAAUGAUAAAAAAUACAGUAGUGUCAGUGGUGAGCACCUUCCAAUGUUCUGAAAAGUCACUGAUUUCUGCCAAACAUGGCAGCCUGAGACCAAGCAUUUGAGCAUAGGAGAUGAUCACCAUGAUCCUGCAGUGAGAGAGAACUGUUGACUGACUUGUGAUCAUGUGAUUUGGUGUCACGUACUACUCAUAUUGCAAGACAUCACUCAUUUAUCAAGUUAAAAUUUAUUAGAAAUGUUUGCUCAUCUUGUGGAACACUUGCAGAACAAGUUACUUUCAGUCAAGGUUUUACUGUAUAAAGAAUGACUAGCCCAGGAGCUGUCCCAGCUCAUGAAGCCAGGUCAGAGUAAAGCCCUCUGAUUAAUAAAUUCUCCAGAUCCACACGGGGUGAAAGAGGAGCAGGUCCCUAGUGGAUGCCAGGAAGACACAAACAACAGAUGUCCACUACAUUUGGUAAGGUGUUACUAAGCACUCUUAAGUGAGAGGAGCACUGGCUUUCCAAAAACACAUAGCUGCUGCUAAUUGUAUUGCAACAUGUAUUUAUCUACGAAACCAUCUCGAAUAUUCUAGAGAUCUAUUCAACUCAUUCUUUCUUGUUCUUACUUAUGGUUAUAAAAUGUCUUUUUACUGAAUUGACAGCAUCAAUUCUUAAAAUUAAUUUUCAAAUCUUACCAAGUUUUUGUAAAUAUUCCCAUUGUAAUUGCUUGCAAAAACUGUGUUUAGUUCAUAAUAAAAAUCACAAGUAUAUUAGUUGAGAGAGAUUAUUUAAGAAGUGGUAGUUCUCAGAUAAUUCGAUGUGUUGAUGGCAUUUGAUUACCUGGAAUUAAACAAAAUUAUUUGGAUGGAAUUGGUUUCAAAUCCUUACUUAAAGACUAGAAAAGAGUUUUUAAGUGACCACAGUUAUAAGUUUCCAGUAAACCACAUUUCCUUUCCUUUUAAUUCUCAGAUCUUGACCCUGAUUAGCUUUCUGAUAAGGGAAAAUUCCAAAACACAUAUGAAGGAGAGAAUUACAUUGAGACAUUUUAAAUAGCAAGUCCAAAUACAGUAAUCUUUUUUUUUUCUUUCUCAUAUUCACAAAUUAGGACACCUCUAGCUUUUAAAAUAGAGUAAGAAAAAGGGGUGGCAUACAUACAGAGCAAACCAACAUUUAAAUAUAGCACAUUAGACUUCUUUGCAUAUCAAAGAUGAGUAAUGAAAUGUAAGUUGAUUUUGGUUUUAGAAAACGUUCUGGAUGUUGGCUGCUCAUGCUGUGUUGCCAUGCUCUAGAGCUUUAUGGGGCCUGUAUCACAGGAUGAAAGAUGAGGUGAAAUCAAAUCAAAAAAGCCCUGCUAUAUUGUUAUCAUUCAACCUUUUUUGGACUAUGUCCAGUGUAGAUACAUUAUAUACAGAAUUCCUAUAUAUAUGCUUAAUUUUAGUAAGUACAUAUCUUGUUCUUUGAGUCUACAGUUCAUAAAAUUAGAAGCAUUAUGUGAAUGACUGGUUCCUAGGAAAUACACACUGAAAUAUGUAGUGGUAAAAGGCAUGAUGUCUCCCACUAACUGUCAAGUGGUUUAAACAGCAGCAAUAAUCACAUGAUGUUCUUUUAUAUAAAUGUUUCAUUGUUUAUCCAGCCAGUCCUAUCUGGGUAAUUAUAUGUGGAGGGAGAUGAGAAAACUGGAUAACUUCAACUCAGGCAAUUGCAUUUUCUUUAAGUAGUUUUAUUAUUUGGUUUGAAAUGUUAUACCUUCCAAAGUAUUAGGCCAUAUUCCCAAGUCAUUAUAUAGGCCAUUAGAGUUUAUAAUUGAGUUGACUAUAUACUUAAAAUAUUACUUCCAAGGACUUCCAGUGAAAUGUGGGAAUUGAGUCAUGAGUAGAUGAGAGAUUCAACACCAUUUUAGCAGAUAAAAAGCAAAGACUAAGAUGCUAAAAUAUGUAACUCCAGUUUGAAAGACCCACUGAGUGCACAAUGAAUGAAAAGAGACACUUGUAAAGGAAGCCUUCAUAAAAUUCAACACCCUAAGGGGCACCUGGAUGGCUCAGUCGUUGAGCAUCUGACUUUGGCUCGGGUCAUGAUCUUGUGGUUUGUGAGUUCAAGGCCCGCAUCAGGCUCUGCAUUGACAGCUAAGAGCUUGAAGCCCGCUUCGGAUUCUGUGUCUCCCUCUCUCUCUGCCCUUCCCACACUCAUGCUCUGUCUCUCUCUGUCUCUCAAAAAACAAAUGUUAAAAAAAUUUUUAAAAAUUUCAGCACCCUAGAAUUAAAAAGAAAAUGCUGGAAGGCCACGUCACGUACAAUAGCUAAUAGAAUGGCACAGUACAUCUCAGCAGAAAUUUUGGAGGAUAGAAAGCAGUAAAGCAAUGCCACUAAAACUCUGAGAAAAACUGGUUUUCAACCUAGAAUUGUAGAUUCAGCCAAUAAAUCAUGAGGGUAGAAUAGAGACAGUUUUAGGUAAAUAAAAUUUAUAAGAAUUACCUCCUUUAAGUUUUUCUUAGGAAGUGACUAGAAGAUCUAUUCCAACAAAAUGAAGGUGCAACCCAAGAAAAACAAAAAAAAGUCCCAAGGCCCGAGGACCAGGGUAUCCAACACAGGAAAUUGGUGAAAGAAAUUUCAGCUUUGCAUUGAGCCUAGAGAGCCACAAGUAGCUGACUGUAGCAAGAGGAUGGAAGUUCCAUAAUGGAAAUAAGGGGGAAGAAAUGACGUGGAUGGAUUAUUUGAUUACAUUAGACUGCUGAGCAAUUAAUGUUGAUGGGUAUGUGAUCAAUAUGAUGGAGCAUUCGGAAAAAAAAUUAUCAAAAUUUCUAAUAUUGCUAGUUUAAGGAAUUUAGUUAUAAAUAUAUUAUUUAGAAGCACAGAGUUUAAAUAACUAGAAGAAAUAGUUAAACAGAUAAAAAUGGUUACUUACAGGGAAGAAUGCAGCUAGGACUGAUGAAUGAUUAUCAGCUUUUUAGUACUAUUUGAUCACACUAUCCAGUAUAUCAGUUAUGUUGAUUAAAAAUAAUAAUCAAGUGGAAAUAGAAGUAGUUCAAACUGAAAUAAACUAAAGGUAUUAAUAAUAGGAGUAACUGGGUGUAGGGCAUAUGGGAACUCAUCUUUACAAUUUUUCUGUAAAUCUAAAACUGUUACUCUAAAAACUAAAGUCUUAAAAAUUGAACUGCAGAAGCAGGAAAGAUGAAAGAAAGAAAGUACACUAUAAUGCAUACUAUAUAAUAUACUAGCUAUAGUAUAAAAUUAAUAAACAUCAAAUAUACAAAAAAUAAAAUCAAUUUCAUUGCUUAUUUUCAAAACAAGGUAUUAAAAAUAAAAUAUUGCAUUUUUGUUAAUAAAUCUUAUCUAUACAUAUUUGUCCUAUAUUUUGAAUAUUCACCAUUACCAGUCAAUUUACUCUUUUUCAUGGCAACUUAUAACUUAAAAAAAUUUUUUUUUAAGUUUAUUUAUUUCAGGGCACCUGGGUGGCUUAGUCGGUUGGGCGGCCGACUUCAGCUCAGGUCAUGACCUUGUGGUCCAUGAGUUUGAGCCCUGCAUCAGUCUCUAUGCUGACAGCUCAGAGCCUGGAGUCUGCUUUGGAUUCUGUGUACCCCCCUCUCUCUGCCCUUCCCCACUCAUGCUCUGUGUCUCUCUCUGUCUCUCAAAAAUAAAUAAAUGUUAAAAAAAAUUUUUAAGUUUAUUUAUUUAUUUUGAGAGAGUCCGAGACAGGGUGAGCAGGGUUGGGGUAGAGAGAGAGGGAGAGAUAAUCUCAAGCAGGCUCUGUGCUAUCAGUGCAGAGCCAGACGUGGGGCUCAAACUCACACAACUGUGAGAUCAUGACCUGAGCAUAAACCAAGAAUUGGACGAUUAACCAACUGAGCCACCCAGGCACCCCUUCAACUUACAAUUUUUUAUAUAAUGAAUGAAUACCCCUGUUUAACCUCUUCACCCCCGUUUAAGCAUCUUAAACCAGUAAGAGCAGACCACAUUAGAAGUUGGGCAGGACUAGUUAGGGCUUGGGUGGUCAAUGAGCAUAUCUGGCUAGGCCACAUCUCCAAAAUGUUGCACUAUUUAUUGUUGGGCAUUAUUGCACCCCAUUUUCAUCUCCAUCAAUCUGGCUAAAUGGUAGUUCAGUUUCAUAGGAAUUAAGUGACUUAUCUGCUGAUCUAGUGGUAGACUGAGACUUAGAAAUCAAGCCAUCUGAUGCCAGGGUUAGGGGUAUAACUUUACCCUGGGGCACCAAAGAUAGUGGCAUCUCCUAUUGCUGUCAUCAUAAUAGGCACUAAACAUGAAAGUGUAAACUCCAGGACAGUGAGAUUGACCCUGAAGCAAAACCAUGAUGGGCAUAUAGUGUUUGGAUGGAGGUCUUUAGCAUUGUUUAGUGCAGGUUUACUAAUCUCCUUCAUACUUCCUAUACUUUUAAAAUCCCUUUUAUAUGCUAAGAGCUAGACAUUGUAGGAAACUCCUCUCAUACUUGUUUUCUCUCUGUAGAUCCAGCAAAUGAAAAUGAAAGCACUGCAAUAGCUAAAUAUCUAAGCUAAAACAUAUUUUAAAAGCCCUAAUUGGUAUAAUAACCUAUAAUUUUCUUUUCUUUUUGGCAUCACCCAUUUUGUAUCUUGCAUUUCCAGUUUCCUUCAAUCACAUAAUUAUCAGAUAUUCUUGUGGAUUUUAAGAGGUGGUUUUGGUGUCAUAUUCUUCAAUUAAUUGACCAGUUUGCUUCCAUUAAGUGUAAUCUCUUGUGCUUUGACUUCCUGCCUAUGGGACAUUUGAGUUUAGUAGUACCUUUUGAGGCUUUUUUCCUGAUUCAUUGACUUUAAUACUCGUUCCUGGUCCAAGUGAGAUUUGUUGGAGGUGGUACAGAGAAUAUUCUUAUGUGUACUUGCAGAUUGAGCUUCUCUAAAAGUAAUGCUAUUUCUGAGUAUAAUAUUGGAUUGACUACCUUGGUUCUGUUGAUUUUCAUUAUGUGAAUAAUGGCCAGAUAAACCUCUUUUCUUUGGCUGUUCCACUGACUUUCGAACUUGGUUACAGAUCUCUUGCAUACUGCUUAGACAGAAUGUUUAUGACCCAUCAAAAUUGAUAUGUUGAAGCCCUACCUUCAUAUCAUUUGAUAUGAUACUAUCAUAUCAAAUAUGAUAGUAUUUGGAGGUGGGGCUUUGGGGAGAUAUUCAGGUUUAGAUGAAGUUAUACAUGUGGGGCUCCCAUGAUGGAAUUAAUAUCCUUAUGAAAAAAGAAAAAGGUACAAGAGCUCUUUCUCUGUCCAUGAACACACAGUUAGGAAAAGCCUCUGUCCAUGAAGACACAUUUCUCAGGCAGCUGUAUACAAGCCAGUAAGAGAGCACUCAAGAAAAAUAGAAUCUGCCGACACCUUGAUCUUAGACUUCUCAGCUUCCAGAACUGUGAGACAUAAAUACCUGUUGUUUAAGCCACAGAUCAGCCUAUGGCAGCAGCCUGGCUGUCUAAGACAUAGGCCUUUUCCAACUUCUCCAUUUUUUGGCUUCAAUAUAAAUAGGAUAGGGCAAUUAAACUUUAAUCAGUAUUGAGCAUAUGGAGGUGAUAAUUCUCCUAUUUCCUUCAGACCUAAUACCCUCUUAUUUUUCCUGGCAGCAUAUUUUAAAACCAAAUACAAAAAUAGAUUAUUUUUGGAGACGAUAUGUUGUAAGCAUUUUAUUUAUCCUUUCCUUUGGCCCUGCCCAGCAUUUUUUGUUAACAACCUAGAUGAGAACUGUAAUAUAAAGAUCUUAUUUUUCCUUUCUAUGGUAUCCUUUCUCCUACAACCUGAUGACAGUGCCUUUUUUUCCCUGGGAAGUUACCUUUCCCCAUUUUCACUCCUCAGUCCAUGUAAUUGAAGGAAGGCUUACUUCAUCCAUAGCUCCAGGAAUGAAUGUGAUAUUCAGAUGAGGAAAUAUAUCUCCUAACCACACUGAUUGGUUCUGAGAUGGACCUAUGACUCAUUUUAGGCAAAUGAGAGACAGGUUUAAGUCUUACUGAGAUCAUUGGGACAAAGGCUGAUUUCCAUAAAGAGGAAAAUGAUGCUGAGAGAGUGAGAGUACCCAGCUGAGCUUAUUUUUUACCUGGAUCCAGUUUGUAUCUGAAUAUCCCCUGGACUUUUUGAUCAUGUGAGCCAGUACAUUUCCUCUUUGGCUUAAGUCAGUUUUAAUUGAGUCCUUACUAACUGUAACUGAAAGAGUGCUAAAUAACAUGAUUACCAAAUUCACAGACAGUAAGAAGCUUGAAGAGAUAGAGAAUAUAUUAGAAUAUAUUACAGAGUCAAAAUCCAGAAAAAUCUUGGCUAAAAAGAAGAGCAACAACUAAUAAGAUAAAAUGUAGUAGUGAUAAAUGUAAAGUCCUAUAUUUGCUCCAAAUCAUCAGCUGGACAGAAUGAGGGUGAGGCUGACAUGGAUAAACAUGGAAAAGAUUUAGACAUUGUAGUGAAUUGGCUGCUCAGUCCCAAUUAUUGGUGUGAGGAGAUGGUCAAGAAUAUGCAUAGGCUGUUCCAUUAAACUAUUUACCUAUCAUUAUACCCAUGCCACACUGAACCAUAUUGUCUUUAAAGACUGUACCUAUACUGUAAGUCUCAAAAGUUAGGUGGUGUGACUCUGCCAGCUUUGUUCUCCUAAACUGUUAGCUAUUCUAUGCCCUUUGCAUUUCCAUAUAAAUUGUGUUUUCAUAUAUAUUUCCAUAUAUAUUGUGAGUUUCCCCAAAUUAAAAAGAAUUAAUUAAGAAUUGCAUAGCUUUUCAAACUAGUAGGACUAGUGAAUUAUAAAUUGUUUUUAAUGCCAUUGUCACUUGAACUGGUUAAAAAAAUAAUACUCAUUAUACUUUAACAGUCCUUUGGGAAAAUAAAUAUUAAAUUAUGCCAGGUCUUCAGAAAUGCAUACUUGGGGCGCCUGGGUGGCGCAGUCGGUUAAGCGUCCGACUUCAGCCAGGUCACGAUCUUGCGGUCCGUGAGUUCGAGCCCCACGUCGGGCUCUGGGCUGAUGGCUCAGAGCCUGGAGCCUGUUUCGGAUUCUGUGUCUCCCUCUCUCUCUGCCCCUCCCCCGUUCAUGCUCUGUCUCUCUCUGUCCCAAAAAUAAAUAAACGUUGAAAAAAAAAAAAAAAAAGAAAUGCAUACUUAAGAUGCAAAUACCUUGUGUUUUUCUCUUUAUAAACCAAUAAUGCAUAGUACAUUUAUGGAGAAAUACAUAAACUACUAACAGUAUUUUGCUCUGGGGGAAGGAUGGAUUGGGUGUCUGGUAAAGAACAGGGAUUUACUUUUUUAUACUCUUGAAAUCGUUUAAAUUAAAAAAAAUCUAAUAAAAUUUUCAAAAUAAAAAUUUAAUAUACACUAUUAUUAAUGUCUGUUUUAUAUCUAUCUCUAAAUAAUAAUUCCUUUGUAUGCAUGAAAUGUGUUCUGAUUUAUGAUUAUGGGUGCUGUUUGUAGUUAAUGUCACUGCAGUUUUCCCUCUUUAUUUCCUGGCUCACCCCAUCACCUGGACUCUAAGGAACUUUAAUCAAUCUAGCAGAUUCUGUAUUUAACAAAUUCUUUGAUAUACCACUUAAGAUUUUUAUGACUGUUUUUACUGUACUUUAUUUAUCCAGGCCUCGCUUGCCUAAUCUGUAAAAUGUGUUGGGCUAAAGUGUGGUCCAAAGUCUUUGCUGGUCCUGUGAGUUCAUAAGUUUGCCUUCCAUUCCAUCCCAUUCCAUUUCAUUCAUGAUCCAUGUGGACAGUGAUGACAUAAUCGUCAAGACGAGACAAGACACUCAUAGAGUGUUCAAGCUGCCCAAAAGUUUUGCCUGCUCUUUGCUACUCCUUAGACUUGUGAUUCAUAGUGCUCGUUUUAGAACAUUCAGGAUGUCUGUAGUUGCCAACAGGUGGGACAGAUUGAAUCAUUGACCUCUCUCUGCAUCUGCACUCCUGUCAUGGCUUCAUUGUGGGCAGAGCGUACUUCCUCAAUCUUUAACUUGCUUUGGCUAAUGACAUAUGGGCAGCAGUUGUGUCAUUUUUCAGCCUAAGACUUAAGAGGCCUUAUAUGCCUCCACUAGUCAUCUUGUGCUUCUGUUUCUGCUGGUUCAAGGAGAAUUAAAUACAUGGGGAGCAGACUUACAGAUCUGAGAAGCAGAGCCUCUAGAUGGAGUCCAGCUUGAAUCAGCUUAGCUGACCUGUAGAUCUUCAAAAAUAAAUACUUGUUAAGUCUUGGUGUUGUCUGUGACACAACAUUUUUGGGAUGCCUAAAUGAUACAACAGGUACCAUUGACUUCUAUCAAGAUGUAUUUUGAAAUAGAAAACACAUUCACAUGGCGCAAUAAUAAAAAUAUAAAAAGGCAUACAGUGAACUGUUUUGCUCCAUGCCCUGUUCCCUACUCACCUGGGUCCCAUCCAAUGUCCCACCACUGCAAGUUCCCCACUUUAUUGGUUUCUUUAGUAUCCUUCUCAAGUUUCUUUAUGUAAAUGCAGUUAGACAUGCAUAUAUAAUCUUGGCUCCCAUUCCUACCAUUUUAUACAGUUUUAUGCUUUGCUUUUUUCAUCUGAUAUAUCUUAGAUAUAUUUGUGUAUCUGUGUAUAGAAAGCUUCCUUAUUCCUUUUUACAGCUGUAUUGUAUAUCAUAAUAAAAGAGAAUACAGUCUCCUAUUGAUGGUCACUUGUUUUCUAUCUUUUACUGCAAUGUAAGUGUAUCUGUGGGAUAAAUUCUCAAGAAAAAGAUGUAUACAGAUGGAAUAGCUAAAGUGUCCUUCAUAGAGGAACAAAAAUAUUUGUAUUGGUAAGAGAUAUUGUAAAUAUCUAACAGCAUUUUCCUUUAAUCUGCAGGACCAGUAUAAUAUUUCACACAGGAAGCCAUCCCACUGACAUUCCAGGAGGACAUGAAGUGAUAUUUUCAGAUAGCUGAUGCCUAUAUACCAGGAAGUUCCCAGCAUUUUAUAGUUAUCAGCUUCUUAAAGCUCACAACAUUCUGUGAGGUACUGUCACUGCCCUCAUCUUAAAGACGAGGAGAUUGAUGUGGAGGUAAGCUGAGGGGCUUGCCUGAUUUCUUUAUUCAGUGGAAAGUAGUGAAGCUAGGAUUCUAACUCAUGUACACUUACCUAGGCUAAGACAGCUAAACCAUAACUUCUCUAAAAUUACUUUAAAAAUAAUAGUAUAAUGAAACUAAUAUUAGUAUAAUAUCCUAAAAUAUUUUUUCUGAAUGUCCUGUUUUGAUGAUAGCUUUCAUUAAUAUAUAAAUAUUAAUAUAUAUAAAUAAAUAUAAUAUAUAAAUAUAAAAUAUAUAAAUAUAUAAGUGAUAUAAAAUAAUUUAUGAUUUGUGUGUGUGUAUGUGUGUGUGUAUGUGUGUGUGUGUAUUUGUACCUAUGGGAAUCUGGUGAAUUUCCACUUAUAAACCUGAAGAUGUAUUAAGAUAUGUAAGAAAUCGUUAUCAACUGGACUCACUUUAUUUAUGUAUGUGUGUAUGUAUGUAUGUAUGUAUGUAUGUAUUUAUUUAUUUAUUUUAGUUUAUUUAUUGUGAGAGUGCACAUGCAUGUGAGUGGGGGAGAGGCAAAGAGAGAGAGAGAGGAGAGAGAAUUCCAAGCAGGCUCCAUACUGUCAGCAUAGGGCCCAAUGCCCGAUGUGGGCCUCAAACUCCUGAACCAUGAGAUCAUGACCUGAGCCAAAAUUAAGACACUUAACUGACUGAGCCACCCAGCGGCCCUGAUCUGGACUCACUUUAAAAAUUCAGUUAUAUGAUUUCUGGUUUUGAGUCUCACGUUGAGCUCUGUGCUGAUAGCUCAGAGCCUGGAAUGUGCUUUGGAUCCUGUGUCUCCCUCUCUCUUUGCCCCUGCCCCGCUCACACUCUGUCUCUAUCCCUCAAUAAUAAAUGUUAAAGAAAAAUUAAAAAAAUUCUGAAGUUAUAAUUAUUGGUUGCAUUUUUAGAAAAUGUGUUUUUUAAAAUAGGUUUUGGAAAAUGUGUAAAAGUGCCUGAAAUCUAAGUAGAUAACAAAGCUUUCCCACAAUUAAAAAUAUCACCUCUAGGGGCGCCUGGGUGGCGCAGUCGGUUAAGCGUCCGACUUCAGCCAGGUCACGAUCUCGCGGUCCGUGAGUUCGAGCCCCGCGUCAGGGUCUGGGCUGAUGGCUCAGAGCCUGGAGCCUGUUUCCGAUUCUGUGUCUCCCUCUCUCUUUGCCCCUCCCCCGUUCAUGCUCUGUCUCUCUCUGUCCCAAAAAUAAAUAAACGUUGAAAAAAAAAUUAAAAAAAAAAAAUCACCUCUAAUAUAUAUUCAUUUAAUAUUCAUAUCACUCUUGUGAAUUAUAGGUAUUAAUAUUCUUAUUUUACAGAUGAAGAAACUGAAGCUUAGAGAAAAGGGUUGACUCAGUAUGACCCAGAUAGUGAGGAUGAUGAUGGCACUGAGUAAUAUGUACUGAAUAUUUACUAUAUGCCAAGCACAUUACUAGAUCCACUUUACAUGGACCUAUUUAAUCUUCACAAGAAUUCUAUGAGCAGUUACUCCUACAUCUUUACAAAUGAUGAAAUAGGAUUUAAAGAAAUUUAGAAUCUUUCUCAAGGCCAUAUAGCUAGGAAGUGAUAGUGUUGGGAAUUUAAUCCAGGUUAACUGUCAACUUGGCUAGGCUAUAGGCCCCACUGUAAUAGUGAAACGCUAGUCUAGGUGUUGCUGUGAAGGUAUUUUAUAGAUGUGAUUAAAGUCCAUAAUCAGAUGACUUUAAGUAAGGAAGAUUAUCCUAGAUAAUUUACAUGGGCCUAACUCACUCAGUUGUAAGGCCAGAAAAGCAAAGCUAAGCUUCUCUGAAGAAGAAAUCCUGCCUGUGGACUGUGGCUUCAGCUGCCUGAGACUUCCAGCCUGCCCUCCCUGGUGGUCUGUCCGGUGGAUUGCAGACUUGCCUAGCCAUUCGCCAGCUUUUUGCAAUAAAUCUUUUAAUAUGAAUUUCCUACCAGUUGUCUUUCUCUGGUUGAACCCUGAUACAUUUGUCUAAGUCCAAAGCUCAAAGGCUUGCCAGAAUGCAAUACUCAUUCUUUGUAUACAACAAAUUAGAAAUUUGAAACUAAGUCGGGAGCUCUAUGCUGCAUAUGCAUCUGAACCACACAUUAUACUUCUCAUACUCUGUCUCGUAUUGUGAGCUUUAUAUUUUUUACCCUCCAACUUGAUAAGCAUUUUGAAGGCAGACACCAGGUUUUACUUAUUUUAUUUUUCUUGUACUAUGUAACAUGCACACAGGACCCACAUCUUGGUUGUCAAAAUGAUAUCUGUCAUACCUGCAUGAAGCUAUGUCAUUCACCUUCCUGCUUUUGUACUCUCUCAAGUUUGGGAGCCACCAUUAUUUCCUUUUUUUUUUUAAUGUUUAUUUAUUAUUGAGAGACAGAGUGCAUGAGCAUGGGAGGGGCAGAGAGAGGAGGAGAACAGAAUCUGAAGGAGGCUCCAGGUUCUGAGCUGUCAGCGCAUAGCCUGACGUGAGGCUCAAACCCAUAAACUGUGAAAUCGUGACCUGAGCCGAAGUGGGACACUUAACCGACUAAGAUACCCAGUGCCCUGCAGCCACCGUUACUUCUAAGUUUUCUUUUACCUUUCUAUUUUAAUUCUUAACUUAGGGAGCUUAGAAUUUUAGUCAGUAUUGUUGUCCCCUGUGUUAUCAAUUAUUAGAGAUUUUCCUGGGUGAUUUAAAACCUUAGUGGGAGAAAGGGAGAAACACUCUGUUAGAGUGUUGGUGGUGAUUUCAUUUAACUGUUUAACUUCUGCUGCAGUCCUUCCAGGUCUGGGCUUCUGAAAAAUAUUGACAAGUAAAAUUCAGAACCAUUCAAUUCCCCAAUGAGUACAGUUAGAAUGGAAGGAACAUGUUCCUUACUAUAGAUAAGCCCUGAUUCUAAGGUCAAAAUGUUAUCUUAUGGGUUGAUUAAGUGAUCGGUCCAAAAGACACAUAUCUGUUUUUCUCUUUCUCUAUUUUAACAUUUUCUCAUGUCAUUUAAUCUCAAAGUACAUGAUACAUCCUUUACUAAGAGAAGAGUCUUCCUCAGACCUUUUUAUAACUUGGCAGGCAGAUUUUCAGUUGUAAUAAAUUCCAGUUUAACUUUUAUAUACUAUGAUGACAUUUCUUUCAUAGUUCUUAAAUAUAUGAUUCAUAUUUAAAACAAUUAGUAGUUAUGUUACAUUUGUUAUUAGUAUCAUAAAUCAAUAAAUCUUUGUUUUGGGGCACCAGUGUAUGUCUGUUGCCAUUGUAAAGACUAAGAAAACAAGAUAUAAAAAUAGUAGGUCCUCUCUAAGCAUUUACUUCAGUCAUAAUCAGAAUUAAGACUAGAACUUAAAUUUUUUGACUUUAGAGACUGAGAAAUUUUUUUAGAUGGAUCACAGACUAUGUGAGCAAAGCCACAAAAGGUGGAAUAUGUCUCACUUUCCUAAGGUUGCAAAAAUUUAUAUUAAAAUUUAGAAAGCAUAGAUUCAUUUUAUAUGGAAAGUAAAACCACAUGCAUCUUAUUUUGAGAAAUCCUAAGGCCAAUAUAAAAGCUGAGAUAGUUAUUUAAAUUUACUCCAGGUGAUUUAGCUGCUGGUACCAUGUUGUGUUGCUUACUUUGUCCUGUUUUCCUGUGGAAAACAUAGAUAUCUAUCUACGUAAUCCCCUUGCUAUUCCUUCUUUUCCUCUGAAAGAAUUUUGUAAGGAAUAAUUUCGUACAUUGAAGUCAUGCAGGAAAUAUGUAAACAUCCAACAUGCUUUUACAAAUCUGUAAAAUAUGAACACAUUGAACUUUUCCCAAUAUAGGCUACUAAGGAAAAUAUGCAGAAAAACUAUUUUGCAGUAUAAACCAGGAAAGCCCAAUGCAAACAAACAAAAGAACAAAGUAGGAAUCAGACCUCAUUUGUUUUCUUCCAAGUAUAAAUUACUUGGUUAGAUUAAAUAGCAUAGACAUGGUGCCAGGGAUGUCAGUGGUUAUUAUUGUUGAACAUACAAUUCUGUUUUAAUUCUGUUUUCUGUUUUCUUUUUUGUCUUCCUUCCUUUCCUUUCCUUUCCUUUCCUUUCCUUUUCUUUUCUUUUCUUUUCUUUUCUUUUCUUUUCUUUUCUUUUCUUUUCUUUUCUUUUCUUUCAGAGUGUGUGUGUGUGUAUGAACAGGGAAAGGCAGAGAACCCCAAGUGGGUUUCGAUUCCAUGAUCCUGAAAUCAUGACCUGAGCCAAAUCAAGAGUCGGACACUCGACUAACAGCCACUCUGGUGUCUCACAAUUCUGUUCUUAAAGCAGUUCUAUUUGUGCAAUUCCUUAGGCAAUGCAAAAGGGUCAUUAAGUAAAUAAAAAUGACUGUUCUGCAUUGCUCCCAUUGGUAUUAAACAUAUGUGUUAAUCCCAUGACUUGUACAAAAGGCAAGUUUGCCUUGAAACUAUAUAAUUUCCCCAACGUGGCAACAUUUAAGCAAGAUGUUAAAAAACACUUCUGCAAGGGGAGCACAAAACUCUUUAAAGGAUGUCCUCCCCUAAUCGCUCUCUCUGAAUAUUGAGUGACAAAAUGACUGAAAAAAUUGGAAUGGAAUCAUUGUAGCAGCAAAAUCCUGAAGAAGGGAAAAAGUCAUUAGUUUCUGCUAUUUGCACCCCUUGAACUGUCUGACUCCUGAUCUUCUCCAAGGCUUCUGGGGCUAUUCCAUACCCAGAAAUUUAUUUUCUACUGUAGUCCAUUUCUAUUGCUUAUCACUAAAAAACUUCUACAUAAUAAAAUUUUGUGCUUUAUGUUUUACAGUGAGCCUUAACCUAAAUAGACAUUUUAAAUGCUAGUUUUUUAAAUAUAUUGAAUAAGAAGAUACAUUUUUUUAGAAUAGAACUUUAAUGAUUUUGAGUAAAGACAAUUUCUAAAAUAGACUGCCAUUUAUUGAGCAUAUGUGUGUGUAUAGUUAUUUUAAAAUAUAUAUGUAUAAAAUUUUGUUAUUACAAUGAUUUAGUGAGUAAGCUUACUAUCCCUGUUUUGUAUAUGAAGAAACUGAAGCCUAAUGUUGGUUAAUUUGGCCACAUACCUGGAAAGUGGUGGGGGUAAUAUUUAUAAACAGAUCUGGUUGAUUUAACCAUUAUUAGAAAUAAUAUUGUUUCCAAUAUCAGAAAUAAUAUUAUUUUUUAGAUUCACUUCUAAGCCAGUACCUGCUUGGAAAUUAGGUAUAUCCUCUUUUUCAUUAGGGCACUGAGAACAAAGCAGAAUAAAUGUUAAUAAAAAUAAGCGGCAGACUUAGAAUACAUCUCCAAAGUGACAAUGGUUAUAAAUAUCAGUCCUCUAGUCUGGUGCCAUUGCUACAUUUUUUUCACAUUCUGUUUUCAAAAGAGAGAUACUUAAUGUGGUUAAUCUAGAUAAUACUAAGGUUAGUCAUAAGUUUAUAUUUAAAAUUUUGCGAUGUAGAUUUUAACUGAAUUAGAAUUUUAGGGGGUGCCUAUAUGGCUCAGUUAGUUAGGUGACCGAUUUCGGCUCAGGUGAUGAUUUCAUGGAGUUAGAGUUGGAGCUCUGAGUCAGGCUCUGUGCUGACAGCUCAGAGCCUGGAGUCUGCUUCAGAUUCUGUGUCUCCCUCUCUCUGCUCCUCCGCUGCUCACACUCUGUCUCUCUCUCUCAAAAAUAAAUAAAUAAAAACAUUAAAAAAAUGUUUUAAAAGACAUUUUAAUGUUUCAUCACAGAGUUCAUCACACUCUUUUACAAAAAUGAAAAAGAAAGGGGGGGUUGGCGCCUGGGUGGCUCAGUUGGUUAAACUUCCUGGAGCCUGCUUUGGAUUCUGUGUGUGUGUGUCUCUCUCUCUCAAUAAAUAAACAUUAAAAAAAAUAGAAUUUCAUUUCCUAUUCUGUUAUAAUCUAGUAUUUUUUUUUCCUGCUUCUUUAUAUAAACUGUCACAAAUCUAGGAUGUAUAUCAUCUAAUACAGAGCAGGGGAGUAGUGAGAUUGCUCAACUAAGAAUAAUUUUUUUUAAAUGUUUUUUAAUUUAUUUUUUGAUGAUUAUUUUUGAUGUUUUUAAACUUUUUUUUUUAUAAGAGAGAACAUAAGUGGGGAAGCGGCAGAGAGAGAGGGGGACAGAGGAUCUGAAGCCAGUUCUGCGGUGACAGGCUGACAUCAUUGAGCCUGAUGUGGAGCUCGAGAUCACAGACCAUGAGAUCAUGGUCUGAGCUGAAGUUGGAUGCUCGACUGAGCCUCCCAGGUGCCCCUCAACUAAGAAUCAUUAACUUUAGUAUCAUAGAAGGAAUGGAGACAGCUUGGUAAGUAUAACUGCAUGCUUUCAUAAAUUUCUAAACACUUUAUGAUGAAAAAUUAGUAGACAUGAUGAAACUUUUUCUACAUGAAAGAAUAAUUAAAACAAAUUAUAGAUGCCUCUCAGUAUUUAGGAUUCUAAUAGAAUCCAGGAAACAAGAUUUGUGCCUAAAGAGCAUCCUUGUUCAGUUGUUUCAAGCUGGUAUUAUUUAAAGAACUUUGUUGGUCAGCGUUUUCCAUUUUUCACACUUCAAUUUGUUUUUAAAGUUUGUGCAAAGUUUUCUAGGAAAUGUUACUUCAUCUUAAAAGAAUUACUGACUUUCAAUUACUUUGAAUGAUCUAAUUAAGUAUAAUUAUACCAGGACGUCUAAACCUAAACACUGUUGAAAUGAAAUGCCUAAAUGUGUGUAAUAUUGUCAAAGAUUAUGGAUUCAUAUAACAAGAAAAAUCUUAUUUCUAUCGUAAAAUUUAUUUGUGAAAAAAAUUGAGGCAGAAUCGUGAGACCUUGCCUGUAGUUCAAAUAAAACUAACAUGGGGGGGGGGGAAGUAUAGAAAAGGCAUCUAAGUACAGUGGUCCCCAUGCAUACAUAGCCAAGCAUGGGGGACCGCUAUGUUUUGGUUUUCUUCAGGAAACCUCCCAAGUUUAAGGGUGGUUCUUAGAAGCAUGCUUGUCCAACAUGAACAGGCUUAUCUAUUCAUGACUCCUUCUCUUAAUUCACAAAAUAUGACUUCAUUUGGAGGGAAUAGGGAUGGAAUAAGGCCCUCUGUCAGUCUGAGUUCUUCAGAGAAACAGAACCAAUAUGUAUUAUAUAUAUUACAUAUAAUAUAUACAUAUACUCACAUACAUACAUACAUAUAUAUACAAAGAGAUUUCUUUUAAGACACUGGCUUGGGACACUGUGGGACUUGACAAGUGUAAAAUCUGUGGGGCAGGCAGGUCCAGAGGCUGGAAAUUCAGUCUUGAGGCAAAAUUCCUUCUUUUCUAGGAAACCUCAGUUUUUGCUCCCAAGGCCUUCACUUGAUCGAUGACUCCCAUUCACAUUAUUGAGUGUAAUCUCCUUUACUUAAAGUCAAUUGAUUGUAGAUAUUAACCACAUCUACAAAAAUACUUUCACAGCAACACCUAGAUUAGUGUUUGAUUAAAUAACUGGGUACUAUAGUGUAGCAAAGCUGACACAUAAACCAAUCAUCCCUCAGUCUCUAUGUGGCAGCCUUGCUGGUGGAGGGAAGUCUCUGGAAAAUUUUCAGACAUAGCCCAACCUGCCCAAGGGUGGCUGGGAAAGGAGGUAGGACAGGUGUCACCUGUUGCCCCUUCUUCCCUCAAGACAACUGCCACACUACUUUCCCAGUGAGUGUGCAGUUGUGUUGGUGGAGCAGAGGGGAAGCUGUGCUCUAGAUAAGCUAGGAAAUGAUGGUUUAAUCAUUUCUGGGAAACGUGGGUGUAAGAGGUCAAGAUCUAGGUGAUUUUAGUAUGAUUCUUGAGAAAUAACUCUUGUGGCGUUAGAGUGAAGGGCAUCAUUUUUUGGUGAAAAUGGUAGCCUUGGUUUCACUUUGCUGAUGAAAGUCUAAAUAAGGUUUUACUUUGAAAUGCCACUUAUGGAAGCUGUUUGGGCCUCUCCUCUAUCUUGGCAGAAAAUUGUAAUAUCCAAUAAUAAGUUAACACUCUUAGACUAGUAGCUAGGCUCAAGACUAGUGAGGAACUUGGGGUUUCCAGAUCUCUCUUGUUUUCAGAACCUCUGAAAUAUGUUUUCUUCUUAUGGCUGCCUUAUGCUAAAAAACCUGUUAACGGGGACACAGAGAAUAGGAACAGUAAUGGAAAGAUAGAUCCUGGAUAAGCAUAAAAUUAUUCACUAUUUAAAAGUCUUGAAGGUAUAAUCCAAAAUAUGGGUCAAGGAAAAUUUUAAGGGCAUAGCAAUGUUAUGAGAUAAUCUUAAAUAGUCCUGUUUUGUACAACAGGCCAGUUAAAUAAUGAAGGGUGGAAAUAAGAAAUAAGAUUUAUGCAAUAUGAUAAGGAGGUAAAUUUUGUUUCCAACUUUACCUAUUGCUACAAUUGUCCAUGCUCUGUGGCCACGCUUAAGAUUUUUACAUGGAUAGCUAAUACAAUCCUGUAGAUAGCACUUUCCUGUCUUUACCAAUGAGAAAAUGUAACAUAAACCUACUAAUGAAAUUGUUACAAAAUAAACACAGACUUUCCUUUAUUUCAGACUAAUUUCAGCCAAGAAAUGAAAUGUGUAACAAAAGCCACAGAGUUACUAUCAUCUAAUGCAGGCAAAGCAUUUACUAAAACCAUAAUCCUCCAAAUUGUCACAAACUGAAUAUUCUGCAGAAAGAUUUGUAGUAUUUGCCCCAAGUGACUUUUUAGCCAUCUCUACCUCUAGAAUACCACCAAAGUUUAUUUUAUUAUUUUUAACGAAAAGACUUCAAUUUACCCAUGUUGUGUCAGGAGCAGCACUUAGCAAGUUCAGUCAUUUUUUAAAAAUUUACCUGUAGUUAAAAAAUAACCAAAAAACAAAUAAUCCAAAGGUGGGAACUGGGGGAGGAGAAAGAAAAGCAUACUUACACGAUGCUUUGUAAAGGCAAAAGGUUAAAAACAUUUCUGCACUUGAAAAUAAUUGAAAAUUUUUAAUAAUGCCUCACUUGCCAGUUGAAGCUGAGUAGGAGCAAUGUGGCAGUGCUGUUUAGAAUCCCUGGGGAUUGGACGCGAUUUCCCUUAGGUCUCCUUGUUUGGCUCCUGUCAACCACAAAGAAAAGUGCUUUGUUUGCUCCAAAGAGAAUUUAUACAGAAUCUCAGCAGAAACAUCUGCUGUUUUACAGCAGAUAAAACUACUGAGGUAUGUCUUUUACAGCUGUAAGCAAGAUAAUAGACAUUUAUUAGGACCUCUACUUCCACUUUAUUACCUGAUAAAAACAGAUGAAAUAGGCUCCCUACUUAUAACAUAUUGCCUUGACUAAAAACAGAUUGCUUUCUUGUGUGAAGUAACGACCUCACAGCACAUUUUAGCAUUGUCUUAAUAAGAGUAGGAAAAAAAAAUGUGUAUUUCCCCCUUUUGUUUCUAAGUCCACAGAGUCAGGGUGUCCAUUGCUCACUUUCUCAGAACUUGAUGGUAUACUUUUUUUGCCAGGAUAAUCUCAUUGAUUCCAAAUGGAGGCCAGGCUUUCUGGCAUGGUUAAAUGUCCUAUUCCAGGUUAUAUUUUUGCUAAUUUAUGUCUUGACACAUUAAAAUUUUUUUAGCUGCUCCUGAAUCGCACUUAGUAAAGCUUCUGAUUGAUUGAGCCAAAGAACUAGUACUUGAUCAUGUGAGUGAGCGUAAUUAGUCUGAUGCUUUUUCACAUUUCCCCCAGCUGAGCUGAGUUUAAUAAAAUCUUUCUUUGUUUAUGGGACACUUUGGGUGGAAAGUUCAGUUGUUUGAGACUGAUCCAGCCAGAGCCCCCAGGCCAUGGAUACUCAGAAACUCAUGAAAAUGAGGUGCCCUGUUUGAUGGUCUCCAACUUGACUUGUCAUUUCUGAUUAAUUUUGCCAUUGGUUAAAACAGAUGAAGACUCAAAUGAGAAAAAAAAAAAUUAUCUCCUGAAAAACUUUCACUGCUGAUUCAACUUAACAGUUAUUUUGUGUGUUGUGAUGACAAUGUCUAUUGUAGUCCAAUUUUGCUGUAUUUUCUUUUAAAAUACAAGGAAAAUUGUGGAAAGAGGCAGAGACCAGAUAUCCUGCAAAUGUGGGUGGGAAAGCUGAAGAGGCAGGAAACGAAAUUAAGGUUGGUUCCAUGUCCACCAGUUACUGGGAGUAAUGGGAAAAUGUAGAGAGACACUUUAUCAUCAUUUGUUGGUUCUUCUAGUUUUUCAAGUUCUCAGCAGAACCAGGAUGAAAGUUAUUCUAUAAUAAACAAAUGAUUUCAUGGUGAUGGAGUUAAAACUUACAAAAAAGGAGUCAAGAAACUUUCUGGAAAUAUUUGUGUUUCCUGGGCUGCUUAGUGUCCAGGUAAAACUGAAUUCUAAGGAUAAAUCCUGAACUACUUCAAAAUAAUGUGAUCACAUUAGAAAAUGUACUUCCUAAUUCCCAUGUCAGUCAGUGUUCAAAAUAAUUGAUUUUGAGAAAAUACACCUAUUGCUAAAAUUGCCCGUGCUCUGUGGCCACACUUAAGAUUUUGCUAAGCCAGUGAAAAUAUUUCUAAGAUUGCUGUAAUAAUGCAAAUGCCCCCCAUGAAGCCGGUCUUUUCAGUACACUAUUUUCCACAAUUUUGGGGAGAUUUCCCUGGAGCACAGUGCUCAAGUAUAAACACAUGAUAUGAAAUCAUAUCAGGAGGGCAAAUGAAGUUUUCAGUCUUUUCAAACAUAAAAAAAAAAAAAAAAAGUUAAGGGGAUUUGAAUUAGCCAGAGAGGUCUAGGAGCUUUCCCAAAAAAGCGCUAUUAAGCUGAGAUCUAAAAGGCAAAUAAAUUUUUUUAGCCACAUGAUUGACUGAGGUCUAAAAGCAAGGAAGCAAACAGAGUGUGAGAUGCAGCUGAAUGGCUAGCAAUUAAUUAAAUUGUGUGUGUCUUCUUUGUGCAAAACAUGGCCUAAGCUCUGGGGAUAUAAUGGCCAAUCAAAAUACACUCUGACACGGUCCUCAUGUUAGUACUCCUCUAUGGAGGGAGACAAACACUAGUCAAAUUGCAGAAGUUAUUGUAGAAUCGUCACUCUUAAAUAGACCAAGAUGCUAGGGGAACAAAGAGGAAAUUUGAACUAAUUGUGGCUGCCAAGGAAGACCCUUCUAUGGAAGUUAGAAAUGAGCAUCCAUCUAAAUAAGAGUUAAAUAGUGAAAGAGAGGAGAGCACAGUGUUUCAGGCAGCAUGUAUAAACGUUUGAGUGUUCAUCCUUCCUACAGAGACUUCUGCUCUCCUCACGAGUAGUGUAGCACAACAUGUGAGAGUCUGAACUUUUUUAGUUGAAAUUCUAAAUAAAUUCAGUGGCUGAGAAUAAAUUAUUCAGCCAGGGUCUUAAACUGGACUGUGGUGGGGGUAGGGGUUUUUGAUGUACACUGAGGCAGUGGACUAAGAAAGAAGGAGAAGCAAUAUGGAAUACUUAGGUCUGGGAAAAAGAGGCUCUGGGCCCUGUGCUUCUGACAGCUCUCAAGUCACAAAUAUACACAACACAUAAGCAGAUUUUUUUAAAACCAUAGGCUCUUCUGUCACUAAACAUUUGUGCUUGUAGACUAACACUCAUCAUGCUACAGGGAAAUGCUUUCCCACAUCUUUUAACUACCUCCUGGAAAUAAAAAGCAAUUACAUCUGAAUGCUGUGACGUAGCGUGCGUUGUGCUACCUCCAACAUGAGAAAAAGAGAAUCCUUCAGAGUCCAGGGAGGAUUGGAACAGCAGAGACACUUAAAUAAGAGAAAAGACAAAUUAAUUAACUUGUCAAAUCCUUCUUCUCAUAGCAUGAAUGCAUUAGGUAUCUGUAUAAUGAAGUUUUAUGUCCCACUAGUGCUGAACAUCCAUUUUCUUGCUUCUCUCCAUAUAAAGCACUUUAUUGUUCUGGACUUACUCCAGAUAUGCUCAAUAUUUGCAGUUAUUGUGUAUGAUGGCUGACGAGUAUUUUGCAAUAUUAAACAGUUCACAUUGCUCUCUCAUACUUGUGUGCAUCUAUGUCUAGGUAUAUUAUGCUUAAAGUGUGACAACAAUUUUUUUUUUACUUUAUUUUUUAUUUUUUAAAAUUUACAUCCAAGUUAGUUAGCAUAUAGUGAAACAAUGAUUUCAAGAGUAGAUUCCUUAAUGCCCCUUACCAUUUAGCCCAUCCCCCCUCCAGCAACCCUCAGUUUGUUCUCCAUAUUUAUGAGUCUCUUAGGUUUUGUCCCCCUCCCUGUUUUUAUAUUAUUUUUUCCCUUCCCUUAUGUUCAUCUGUUUUGUCUCCUAAAGUCCUCAUAUGAGUGAAGUCAUAUGAUUUUUGUCUUUCUCUGACUAAUUUCACUUAGCAAAAUACCCUCCAGUUCCAUCCACGCAGUUGCAAAUGGCAAGAUUUCAUUCUUUUUGAUUGCCGAGUAAUACUCCAUUAUAUAUAUAUAUAUAUAUAUAUAUAUAUAUGACACAUCUUCUUUAUCCAUUCAUCCAUCGAUGGACAUUUGGGCUCUUUCCAUACUUUGGCUAUUGUUGAUAGUGCUGCUAUAAACAUGGGGGUGCAUGUGUCCCUUCGAAACAGCACACCUGUAUCCCUUGGAUAAAUNNNNNNNNNNNNNNNNNNNNNNNNNNNNNNNNNNNNNNNNNNNNNNNNNNNNNNNNNNNNNNNNNNNNNNNNNNNNNNNNNNNNNNNNNNNNNNNNNNNNNNNNNNNNNNNNNNNNNNNNNNNNNNNNNNNNNNNNNNNNNNNNNNNNNNNNNNNNNNNNNNNNNNNNNNNNNNNNNNNNNNNNNNNNNNNNNNNNNNNNNNNNNNNNNNNNNNNNNNNNNNNNNNNNNNNNNNNNNNAGGUGGUAUCUCAUUGUGGUUUUGAUUUGUAUUUCCCUGAUGAUGAGUGAUGUUGAGCAUUUUUUCAUGUGUCGGUUGGCCAUCUGGAUGUCUUCUUUGGAGAAGUGUCUAUUCAUGUCUUUUGCCCAUUUCUUCACUGGAUUAUUUGUUUUUUGGGUGUUGAGUUUGAUAAGUUCUUUAUAGAUUUUGGAUACUAACCCUUUAUCUGAUAUGUCAUUUGCAAAUAUCUUCUCCCAUUCUGUCAGUUGCCUUUCAGUUUUGCUGAUUGUUUCCUUCACUGUGCAGAAGCUUUUUAUUUUGAUGAGGUCCCAGUAGUUCAUUUUUGCUUUUGUUUCCCUUGCCUCCAGAGACGUGUUGAGUAAGAAGUUGCUGCGGCCAAGAUCAAAGAGGUUUUUGCCUGCUUUCUCCUCGAGGAUUUUGAUGGCUUCCUGUCUUACAUUGAGGUCUUUCAUCCAUUUUGAGUUUAUUUUUGUGUAUGGUGUAAGAAAGUGGUCCAGGUUCAUUCUUCUGCAUGUUGCUGUCCAGUUUUCCCAGCACCACUUGCUGAAGAGACUGUCUUUAUUCCAUUGGAUAUUCUUCCCUGCUUUGUCAAAGAUUAGUUGGCCAUGGGUUUGUGGGUCCAUUUCUGGGUUCUCUAUUCUGUUCCAUUGAUGUGAGUGUCUGUUCUUGUGCCAGUACCAUAUUGUCUUGAUGAUUACAGCUUUGUAGUGUAGCUUGAAGUCUGGGAUUGUGAUGCCUCCUGCUUUGGUUUUCUUUUUCAAGAUUGCUUUGGCUAUUUGGAGUCUUUUCUGGUUCCAUACAAAUUUUAGGAUUAUUUGUUCUAGCUCUGUGAAGAAUGCUGGUGUUACUUUGAUAGGGAUUGCAUUGAAUAUGUAGACUGCUUUGGGUAGUAUCGACAUUUUAACAAUAUUUGUUCUUCCUAUCCAGGAGCAUGGAAUCUUUUUCCAUUUCUUUGUGGUGUCAUAUCAAUUCUUAAACGUUGGCAACUAGAUGGAUAUUGAAAGCUAGAAAUGCAGAGUUUUAUUUUUAUAAAAAUGUUUAAUGAGCAUAUUUAAAUUUUCAAAAAUUAAAAUAAAAAUUGAGCAUUUAAUUUUGCUUUAUAAUUUGAUAUUCAUCAGUUUAUAUGUUACCUUUUAACUUUAAUACUUUUAUAUAUUUUAGAAGAAAAAUAACUUAGCACAUGAAAAGUUUUCCAUUUUCUGCAUUUUAAAUUUACAUUUUUGAUUAAAAUCUAUUUAAAUUUUAUACCCUUUAUACAACACAUUUUACUUUUUAAUCCUUUAGAUUCUUGAGAAUGAGGGCCAGUGAAAAAUAGAGAAUUAUGAUAGAAAUGAGGAAUUCACAAGUAGAGAUCAGAAAAGCAAAAAAGCUGUAAAGAAAAAAAGAAAUACAGAAUUUUCAAAGUGAAGUUCUACUUAGGUUAAAAAUAAAAAUGCGGGAACAAUUAGAGUGAACAGACUUUUGUUGAGCAUGACCCUAAUAAAAUUUGCAAACAAGAAAUUACAAUUUCUUAUUUAAUGGAGAUUUAUUUAACUACUGAUCAAAACAAUGCAAAUUAACAAGAACAUUAUUCUCAUCAACCCACAACGUAAAUAGGUCAGAUAAAAACCUCUCUCAACUUUACAUUCUUUAUUAAAUGAAGAUUUAAUUUUUAAUUAAAACAAUGAGAAUGAAAAUGUUGAUCUAUUUUUUUAUCAUUUUAAUAACCUGGAAAAAACAUAAGCAUCUCUGGCCUGCCAAUUAGAAGAUGGAGAAAUGAAUGGUCUUGAAAUUAUCAAACAGAGGAAGAAUACUCCAAGCAUCUGACAGGAUGAUGAUCUUGGAAAUGGCAAUGCCAUGUCCUUCUGAAAUUAUUGCUAGUAAAACACAUUCAGGUUCAAAUUAAUGAUUGGAAUUUUACACUGCAUGAACAUGGCAGAAUUUCUAAUAUUUUGUUUUACUCCAAAAUUCUUUCAAGUAGGAGAGUGUAGAAACUGGCUUUUAUAUUCUCUGCUUAGAAGCUAUUUUUUUUUAUCAUUGUUCACAUGUUUCACAGCCAAUCUUCAUGAUAGACUUCAGCCAAUGUAUGCAUUUGUGACAGGAAACACUUAAAUUCUCAGUAAAAUACCAUGAAAUGUCCUUUGCACACAAAAAGUACAGAUGUAAUUACCAGAAGUGAAAAAAAAAUUGUCAAACAGCAAAUAAUCGAUAAUAUUCCACAAACAAAAACAAAUGUCAAACUAGUACACGGGCAUAAUGUUCUUUAAAGAAUAAUGUCACAUAUUCAAUCUUCGGCUACGUUUAAUGAUACCUUUCAUGGCACAACAGCACAAUAUUUAUAGAACUUAAUGGCAAAUAUGUAGGAUGUAUAGAAAUGAUCUUGAAAUUUGAAGAAAGAAUGACCAAAAAUUUAAGAUAGGUAAAAAAAUAAUGAAACAAGUGAAGAUUGUCUGGUAGGGAGAAUUAAAAAACAAAUGCAUAAAGAAACAAAAUGCAGAAGCACACCUGUAAAUAUAGAGAACAAACUGUGAGGGGGGAGAGGUCGGGGAAUGGGCAAAUGGGUGAAAGGGAGUGGGAGAUACAGACUGCCAGUUAUGGAUGAAUAAGUCACAGGAAUAAGGGGUACAACAUAGAGAAUAUAGUCAAUAAUAUUGUAAUAGUGUUGUAGGAUGACAUAUGGUAGCUACACUUGUGGUGAGCAUAGCAUAAUGUAUAGGGAAGUUGAAUCACUAUGUUGUAUGCCUGAAACUAAUGUUACAUUGUGUUUCAAUUCUACUCAAAGGGAAAAAAAAAAAGGAUAAGAAAAGAAUCUUAUCAAGGGGAAAACUGUGAUAGUGGUGCUAACAUGGUUGAUAACAACAAAGAUGAUUUUGGUGAAAAAUUCAUGAUUCUUUAUGCAAUUUACAGUACAUAGUUUGACUCUGUUACUAAGAGAGAUUGCUUCAAUAUUGCUAAUGUUAUUGACGUUUUGGGGAAUAGCUUAAACGUUAUAUACAGUAUUUUCAGGAUCUGUCCAAAGGUGGAACAUAUUGAAAAAAACCAUCAAAUUUGAUGUAGUACACAUGGAUUAACAAUGUUUACUUGCUAUUAAUAUUAGCAAUGGCUUAGAAGAAACAUCUAACUUUGGCUACUUCACUUUUGAAAAGAUUAAAAAACUCUUAAAAUUUAAAGAAAAUUUUUAUAAAUAGAAACUGCAAGUGCAAUAUGCAACAAAAGCAACAAUUUGAAAAAAAUAUAAGAAAAUUGAAGAAAUAAAAAUGUUCACAUAACUAAAAGGAGAAAAUUCACAUACACAAAAAAAUCCCCAGACUAAUUUCUGCAAAUGCUAUUUUCUGGCUAAUAAAGACCAAAUAACAAUUUGAACAAAUUGAGCAAUGUACUGCUGUCUUCAGUUUAAAAAAAAUUUUUUUUAAAUGUUUAUUUUUGAGACAGAGAGAGAGAGAGAGAGAGAAUGGGGGAGGGGCAGAGAGAGAGGGGGGAGACACAGAAUCUGAAGCAAGCUCCAGGGUCUGAGCUGUCAGCAUAGAGCCCAAUGCGGGGCUUGAACCCACAAGCUGUGAGAUCAUGACCUGAGCUGAAGUCGGAUGCUCAACCGACUGAGCCAUCCAGGCGCCCCUGUUUUCAGUUUUUUUAAUAUUCCAGAAUUGGAAAAUGUAAAAGCAGAAGAAUUAGGAAAACUGAUAUGAAUCUAGAUACUGUCUUAAGAGAUCCUGAGAGAUCUUGGUGUGAUAGCAACCUAUAUGAUGAAAUUCAAAUACCGUACUUGAUAAUAUUGUUUUGAAAUGAAAAUGUUUCAAAAGUACAUCUAUUACAAUAUUUGAGCUUGAAAUGUGAAAUAAGUGUUCAAUUCUGAAUUGAGUACUGUUUUAAAAAUUGUAUUGACAAUUCCAUUUGUCACUAUCUCAGUAGAGCCAAGUUUUUCCAAAUGGAAUUAAUAAAAAGUAUGUAAUAAUUUUGACCCAAGAAAGGUUUUCUAGUUUGGCAUUUCCUGUCAGUAGAACUCAAAUUAUGUGAAAAAUCUUGAUUUUAACAACAUUAUUAGUAAUCUUGAUGGGCCAAAGGCAAGAAAAUAUAUUUUAUAGAAUAAAUAUAUAAUAAUUUGAGUUACAGAUGUCUUUAUUGCUCAUCCAAAUAUUACUCAGGUGUAAUAAUAAUUACGUUCAGUAGUCUUGUUACUUUGCUGACUUUUAGCUAUAUAAAACCUGUAGCUUUGCCCAUAGUUAAAAAAUUUUGUUGUUAUGAGUUGUUAAGAUAGGAAGAGAAGACCUGUUUUAACUAACAGUUUUGUUAACCUGAUUCAUAACUUUUAUAUAUGGCCCUUCACUUGUAUUCUUGCCCCAGUCUUAAAAAUCUUAGAGGUAUAUUUGGGUGAACUGCUUCUCUCACAUAUAUAAAAUAUUCUAGAUGGAGGGCAAUGGACCUGCCUAUUGGACAGUAGCCUGGAGCCCAUGGUCAGCCUCAUUUGGUUAAUCAUUGGUAGGAUAGGAUUGUGGACAGCCUGGUGUUAGGCCAUAAGGAUAGACAGCAAACAAUAUAUAUUUUUUUCAUUUUUAUUUAUUUUUGAGACAGGGAGAGACAGAGCAUGAAUAGGGGAGGGUUCAGAGAGAGGGAGACACAGAAUCUGAAACAGGCUCCAUGCUCUGAGCUGUCAGCACAGAGCCCGACGCGGGGCUCGAACUCAUGGACCAUGAGGUCAUGACCUGAGCCGAAGUCGGCCGCUUAACCGACUGAGCCACCCAGGCGCCCUGACAGCAAACAAUAUUAAUUGCUAUCCCAUGAAAGACUUAGAGCAGGUUGGAAAGAACUUAAGAAUGCCAGAUGCCUGGGUAUGAGGAUAAGGGGAAGGAGGUUACUUUUAAGUAGUUAGUACUCUUUUCCAACUCUUCUCCCUUUCGUGUUCCACCCCAGUUCUGGGAUUUGCCACACUAAAGACAAGUCCCUAAGAGCAAGAUAAUUAUUCAUUGGGUUUUUUUCUAAUGCUUACAAAAGCCUCUUGUGUACUUAAUCUAGCCCAUCUGAGUUUCCUUAUUUGACAAUUUUGAGUGAGAGUUUUAACUUAUUAUACCAUAUAGCUUUAAUGGUUAGGAGGUAAAAAAUAAUUAUAAAAUGCUUGGUAAAAAUAAAGGCAAAAUGAAUGUGCCAUGAUAAUAUUUGCCAUCCCUAUAAUACAUUGAAAAGCUAUUUAUCAUGCUGUUAUGAUCUAUUUGCUAUUUUUUGCUUGGUUGGUGAUUACUUUCUUGGCAAUAUUUUUAUAUGAAUGAUCAAAAAUUAUCAGAGUUAAAUGAACUUUCUUCAGAUCUAAUUACAAUUAUAGGCUUCUUUUCCUAGAGCAUGACCAAAAAGAGAAAAAAAAAAAGAAAAGGAAAGGAAAAAGGAAAAAAAAUCUACCUUGGACAGAGAAAAAUGAAUUUCCAUGUAUUUUCAGAGUUUGGCAUAGCACUGAACUGGAUUUACAAAACAACUUCUACCCGUGGCAGAUUAUUUAAUUUUUCGGUCAUGAUGGUUCAAAUAUCAAGUUCAUGUAUCAGUGUUCCUUUAUUUGUUAGUUGAAGUGACCUUGCCCUGAUAGUUUCAUUCUACUUUCACUACGAGACCUUGAUAAAACAAAAAGUUAACAGUGUUUGGAAAGUAUAACAAAAAUCUUAAUAUAUAUUGUAUGUAUACAUACACACACACGUUAUUUUAUUUUUUUAUUUUUACUUAUUUACUUUAUAUAUAUAUAUAUAUUAAUGUUUCUAUUUAUUUUUGAGAGAGACAGAGAAAAGGAGAGACAGUGUGCAAGUGGAGGAUGGGCAGAGAGAGAGGGAGACACAGAAUCUGAAGCAGGCUCCAGACUCUGAGCUGUCAGCACAGAUCUCGACACCGGGCUUGAACUCACUGAACUCACUAUGAGAUCGUGACCUGAGCUGAAGUUGGGCCUUCAACCUAUUGAACCACCCAGGUGGCCCUAUUUAUUUAAUUUUUAAAAAUUGAAACAAAAAUCUUGCUUUCCUUCCCUAAGGUGCGAUGGUAUAUGUCACUGUAGAUCACGAUAGAGGCAAAUACCUACUCUGUUUUGGUUUUUUUUUUCUGUCCAUAUAAUAGAAACCUGUGCUAGUUAUAUACUGAUGUGUAACAGAUUACUACAACAGUUAGUUGGUUAAAACAACAAACACAUAUUAUCUCACAGUUUCUGUGAGUCAGGAAUUUGGGAGCAGAUUAGCUGGGGGGCACUGACUCAGGGUGUCUCAUGAAAUUGCAAUCGAGAAAUCAGCUAGAACUGCAGUCAUCUGAGGGCUUGACUGGUGCUAAAGGAACUGCUUCUGAGAUGGCCAUUCCCAUGACUGGUGGCAAUUAUCACUGUGUAGGUCUCUCCAUAGGGCUGCUCAAUCAAGUAUCCUUACCACAUGGUAGCUUGUUUCUCCCAGGGUGAGUGACUUAGUUUUUGGUCACACAUCAUUAUGUCUUUUUGUAUUUUUUUGUAUUUUAUUGGUCAUACAGACCAAUCCUGAUACGAUGUGGGAGGAAGAAUAUCAGAGCAUGAAUACCAAGAGGCAGGGUCACUGGAGGCCAGCUUGGAGACUAGCUACCACAAACAGUGUUGUAUUCAGAGCACUCAGCAACUUGGGUAGAAGCCAGAAUAUCCCCAGGAAAAAUUUUGUCAUCUGUGUCCUUCUGGAAUGUUCCUUAAUUUUUGAGACAUGUAUUGGCUACCAUUGAGUCAAUGGUAAAAAAAAAAAAGUUGAAUGUGGCAGCCAGAAAUGGCAAUUCAAAUUCUAGCUCUUGACUCUACCUUUGGAAGAGGUUGAUCUAAAUCUAUCUCAGUUUAAAAUGGAGGAACUAAUGCACAUCUGUCUAUGUUUAGUAGAUUGUGUGCAAGAUAAAAGCCUUAGUUCUAAGUAUAGUGCCAGGCAUAUGAGAGCUAAACAAAUGCUACUUUUUUUGCUCUUUGCCUUCAAGAUACUCUAAAGCAGAAUUUCCCGAGCAUUGUCCUAUGAAAUACCACUUUUCAUCUUCUCAUCCUUCCAAAGGGUGGGAAACACUUGGGGAAACACUUCUCUAAAAGAGGAUUUCUUUAAAAUAGCUAUUAGAGGGGCGCCUGGGUGGCGUAGUCGGUUAAGCGUCCGACUUCAGCCAGGUCACGAUCUCGCGGUCCGGGAGUUCGAGCCCCGUGUCAGGCUCUGGGCUGAUGGCUCAGAGCCUGGAGCCUGUUUCCGAUUCUGUGUCUCCCUCUCUCUCUGCCCCUCCCCCGUUCAUGCUCUGUCUCUCUCUGUCCCAAAAAAAAUAAAUAAACGUUGAAAAAAAAAAUUUUAAAAUAGCUAUUAGAAAGGACAUAUAAUAAGGUGCUGAGAAUCUAAUUAUAAUGACUGGUCCCUAAGAGAACUGUGUCAACACAGGCAUGAGAAUGUAUUUGUCAGUCUUCCUAAACUUUCCUGAUCCUAAGAGCAGAGAUUCAGACCUAGAUGUGAAUGCCCAAGGGAUGGGGCUGGGAAUCUGGAGUUUUAACAAGGACUUUUAAAAUUCUUGAGAUUACACAAGUCUAAGAAAUGCUACAUAUGGUGAAUUUACCUCUGGAAAGUGUAAUGUGGGAUGUUGGUGGGAGUUGGGGUGGAAGGAGUUGGGCACCUAGAGGAAAGGGAAAGAAAUUUUGAGAUUUUAUCCCUCAGAAAUUCUGGCAUUGUCACUGAUUUAACAUUUCCAGGUCUCUCUCUCUCUCUCUCUCUCUCUCUCUCUCUCUCUCUCUCUCUGUGUGUGUGUGUGUGUGUGUGUGUGUGUGUAAGGUGUGGAGUGGGGCAGCUAACCAUCUGUGGAUGCUGUUUUUGGAAUUCAUUCAGUGUAACUAAUAUGUAGGAUGUGUCCCCUAUAAGAUACUUACUAUGUAGUGGCCUCCCCAUCCCUGUUCACCUACUUUGGUGUGAUAAAGAGGGCAAAAUGUAUAUCUGUUACACUCUGCUUUUGGCAGUGUAACUCUAGCUAUAACUUAAAUGACUACCAUGGAUGGACAUGAAAUGCAACAAGUGAAACUAACUGGCUUAUAAUAAUAGAAAUGGUGGAAUGAUAGAAAAAGAUCUCCAGGUGUAAUUUCUGUGAAAAAAGCCUGCUAAAAAGCAGUGUAUAUAAUUCUACCUUUGUGUAAAAAAGGGAAUAAUAGAACUGUUUUCUUAUAAUUUGUCUAAAGAGACUCUAGAAGAAUACACAAAAAGUUAAUAAAAGAGAUUACCUUGAGAGAAGUUGGGGGCACAUGGAUAGAUAAAACAUAGAGAUGGGAGUUAGACAGAGUGAGAGUAAAUCUUUUUAAAAAAGAUUUUGAACUAAAUGAAUUUACUACCAUUUUUAACAAAAUAAAGCAAAAUACAACAAUAUACAGGCCAAACCAAACAAGAUUGUGGACUAAAUUCGGCCCAUGAAUUGCCAUUUGAAACCUGUGUAUUAAACAAAUCCCUAAACUUAAGUCAUUGAAGUCUGAAUCAUUUAUUCAGCAAACAUGUCUUGAAUGCCUCUUAAGGUUCAAUGUUCAUGUUCAAGAGCCAGAGCCCUAUCUCUGACCUUAAGGAACCUUCUAUCUCUAGACUCUAGUGGUCCCUCUUGGUGAAUAUUUAAAAAGAAAUAUCUUUGUAUUGUUUUGGCAAUUUAAACCAAUUAAUAAGUGCUUCUAAGUUGAAUCUCCAGUGAACAGGUAAGACUUGCUUUCAGAUAAGCGAUUACAUGUUCUUAUACCUAUAGUUAAUGUUUAAGACAUAAAAAAUAUUUUGAGCUAUUUUGAAAUAAACUGUUAGGCUUGUUUAUUAAUUUAUUAAGCAAAUAUCUCAAGAUAAACUCAAGCCAAGUAAAUUAUUUUACAUUCUAGAUAAAAUGAAUAUGUAUUAAUGAAGCUUAAACAUAUUUGCAAAUAAAAUUUCUAAGAGCAAACUGUUUAAAUGAGAAACAGAAAAUAUAAAUAAGGAAAGGAGGGGGAACCAGGAAUAAAAGAGAAAUACAAUCUAUCUUCCUUUGUAGAAAACAAAACAAAACAAAUGUGACAUAGCCUCCUUGAAUCUGAUAAUCUAAUCUUGAUACUAAUAAUGUUAUCUCUUUUGGAGAGGUGUUUUGGCUUUUUUCCAUACCUCAGCCUCCCCACCCUAUAAACUCCCGGAAAUGUGCAGUUCAUGUAGAAAAGCAACAUGUUCUGUCCUCUGGUAGAAUGGAGACCUCUGUUCCCCAAACUCUUGUAAAGAUGCCAAUAGAAGUUUAGAUUGGCUCAAAUGUAGAAAUAUAUUUCCUAUCAUGAUAGUGGAAGACAUUUCAGGCUUCUGGAUGCUUACAGAUUCUGCUGCCUGAAAGUCCUAUUCAGAAGUUUACUUUGCUAUGACUAAUUGUUAGGUAGACAGCAGAGUUACUCAAGACUAAUAUUACUGGUUUUGAACUGACAUUAAGGUCUUUAGAAAGCCUAACUGUCUGUAUGGAGCAGUGUUUCUGAUCACAUUGUUACCUUGAGAGCCCCAGAGUUUAAAUAACUUUAUUUGAGAAGAAAAAGAUUCAUUAAUAUUUUAUCAAAUAAUUUGAUUUGAAUAAGUAAUUUCUUCUGGGUGAUAAAACAAGAGAACCAUCACAAUAUGUUUAAUAAAAUUUAUUUUAGUUUGAGAGUUAAUACCAUAUCUAGUACAUUUUUGCAUCUGUUUCAGUUCUCUUUUGCUAUAUCACAAAACACUGCUAAAUUUAAAAGAGCAACUCACUGCUGUCACUCAUGGUCUGUAGGUUGACUGGGUUCCACUGAGCUUGGAGUUCUUGGUUGUGGGGCUUCUCAUAUGGUUGCAGUCAGAUAGUUGGUGAGGCUAGAGUAAUUUUAAUGCUUGACUGGGCUAGACAUCUGGGCUGGACUCCUUGACUCACAUAUCUGGUGCUUCAAUUAGAAUGACCAGAAGAGCUAGAAGCUGAUAUCUAUCUCUUUUCACAUGACCUCUUCCCAUGGUUAGUUUGGAAUUCCUCACAGCAUUAUAGUCUUAUGGUAGUUAGAGUUUUUACAUGGGAGCCUUUUCUGCCAGAGUAAGUGUUCAAGAGACUUUGGCAGGAGCUGCAAGGCUUUUUGUGACCCAGCUUCUGAAGUCACAUAGCAUCACUUUUGUUUCAUUCUGUUGGUCCAAAAGGUAAUCAUACACAGGAGCCAAUUGAUAGAGCCCCCAAUGACCAAAGCAGGAACAAUUUGAUCAAUAAAAUAAAUAAAAUUUCAUUGGAUUACAACCCACAGUACAAGAUAGGGAUCCAUUGAGUCUAUACUGAUAUAAAUGAUUGAAUAAAUCCUUUUCAAGAAAAGGAAGUCAAAGAAAGACGACAAGGGAGAAGAGACAAAUCUCCCUUGAAGAAGAAUUCCAAUUAAUUUCUGUAGAUACUCCACUCUCUAGGAGGGGAAGCAUGAAUCCUGACUCCUUAAGUGUGGGCUGCUCAUAAUGACUUCCUUCCAAAAGUGUAGAAUGGAAGAGAGGAAAAGAAUAUCUCAGUCCUAUGAUCAAGGUCAGUAUCAACAGUGAUAAAUCCUUGAUUUAAUGUGAUAUAUCCUUGAUAUAAUGUUAUGAGGCUAGCACUUUACUUCUAUGAUCUUCCUUCCCCAAACCCCAAACCGCAGUCUAACUGUGAGAAAAAUAUCAGACAAUUUUCCAAUAGAAGGACAUCCUAUAAAAUUCUUCAUCAGUACUUCUUAAAUUUAUCAAGGUCAUCAAAAAUAAGGAAAGUCUGAGAAGCUGUCAAGAGGAACCCAAAGAGACAACGACAAAUAAAUAUAAUGUGGUAUCCUGCAUAAGAUCUUGGAGCAGAAAAAGACACAAGCAGAAACAAAGGAAAUAUGAAUAAACUACUACAGACUUUAGUUAAUAUAUAUAUAUAUUAAUAUGUAUUCAUUAAUUAUAACAAAUAUACCACGCAAAUGGUAUGUCAAUCAUAGGAGAAGCAUAUAUGAGAGCUGUCUAUACGAUGGCAUCAUUUUCCCCCCAAAUCUCAAACCAUUCUUAAAAAUAAGGUCUAUGAAAAAAAAAAAAAAAAGCUAGUCAUAAGGCCCAGAUUUGAGGGAGGGGACUACAAAAGAUGUAGCAGGAGGUGCAUUGGGGGAUCAUCUACAAUAGCAUCUAUUCCACUGAUUUUCUUCUGAGAAUUUACUUCUCUACCCCUAGUCCCAGUUAAUAUAGCUGGAGGUUUACACAUUUGUUCCAGAGGUAGAGCCAGUGACUCUGGACUGAGGUAAUCAAUGAGUUUCAUUUCCUUCACCAGAAUCAGAGAAAUUUAUUUUCUUAGUUUCAAGAGUGGUCAGUGACUUAACCUAGAGCAACCAGAGCAAUUCUAAGACUGUUAGAAAAGUAACUUCUGGCCUUGAACUUGAGUAUAUGUGAGGUGGGAACUGCUGCCUCUUAUCUUAGGAUCAGGAGGGGAGAAGUUGAAGGUGCCAGACACCAACCGGAGUGUGAGCAAGAAGCCAACAAAAUAGGGGUAGCUGGUAGAGAAUAGACUCAAAGAAUGGGAAAAAAACCAAGCUGUGGGACAUUAUGGAGCCCAGAAUCCAUCCUUGCUUGGAGGAGCUCUGCCUCUGGAGAUCUCAAUUAUGCAAGGCACUAGUCUCUUGUUGGCUUAAGACAGUUUGAUUUGGGAUUUUUUUUUUUUUUGGUUCCUUACAAUGGAUGAAGUUCCCAAAUGAAACAAUGAAUUGUCCUUCAAUUUCUUUUUUGUUUGUUUUGAUUUUGUUUUGUUGUUUCACAUUUUUUAUUUACAUUUUAGUUAACAUACAAUGUAAUAUUGGUUUCAGGAGUAGAAUUUAGUGAUUCAUCAUUUACAUAUAAUACCCAGUGCUCAUCAUAACAAGUGCCCUCCUUAAUACCCAUCACCCAUUUAGCCCAUCCCUUACCCACCUCCCUCCAUCAACAAUAAACUUAUUGUUUAUUUCACUCUUUCUCUCUUUUUUACCCUUUCCAUAUAUUUAUCUGUUUUCUUUCUUAAAUUCCACCUGUGAGUGAAAUAAUAUGGUAUUUGUCUUUCGCUGACUGACUUAUUUCACUUAGCACAAUAUAUUUUAACUCCAUCCACAUCCUUGCAAAUAGCAAGAUUUCAUUCUUUUUGAUAGCUCAGUAAUAUUCCAUAUUGUGUGUGUGUGUGUGUGUGUGUGUGUGUGUGUGUGUGUGUGUGUAUCACAUCUUCUUUAUCCAUUCAUCAGCUGAUGGACAUUUUGGGCUAUCUCCAUAGUUUGGCUAUUGUUGAUCAUGCUGCUAUAAACAUUUGGUGUGCAUGUAUCCCUUUGAAUAUGUAUUUUUGUAUCCUUUGUGUAAAUACCUAGUAGUACAGUGGCUGGGUAGUAGGGUAGUUCUAUUUUUUUGCUUUUUGAGAAACUUCCAUACUGUUUUUCCAGAGUGGCUGCCACAGUUUGCAUUCACACCAACAGUGUAAGAGGGUUCUCCUUUCUCUGUAUCCUCACCAAUAUCUGUUGUUUCCCAUGUUGUUGAUUUUAGCCAUUCUGACAGGCAUGAGGCGGUAUCUCAUCGUGGUUUUGAUUUAUAAUUUCCCUGAUGAUAAGUGAUGUUGAGAAUCUUUUCAUGUGUCUAUUAACCAUCUAGAUGUAAAGAACUGUACUACUUUGGCUAUUCAGUUUUGUCAAGAGGUUUUGUUUUUAUUUCAUUUAGACACAGCAUCUUCUGAAACAAGCACUAAGACAUAGCUCCCAGAGAGCAAAGUGAGAAUGCAAUGGAAAGGGUAAAUCAAGGAGGGGAGAAUAUUCCCAGAAUCUCAGUUGGGAGCCAGUUAAGAAGAAAGCCUGGAGCCUGGAGAUAUAGCCCAUGAGGCUAAAGUGUGGGUUGGGCCAUCUUGCCUGGUGGGAGAUGAGCUUGAAGGAGUGGACUGAGGUGACAUCUCAGAGAACUCUGUGCUUUGCUAAGGUUUGACUUCUCUUGAAGGGCAGUGGGGAGACUUUGAGAAGAUUAGGAAAAUGUCAGGAACAAGGUUAGGCUUGCAUUUUACAAAGAUUAUAAUAAUUUAAGCUGUUCUUAAUUUUGUAUACUUUUUCUGAAUAUGUACUAUUUUCAUAAUAAAAAUAAGUUUUUAAAAAGAAACCUUAUUUUGUCUGUGGUAUAGAUUGGAUUAGACAUGGAAUGUGAGAUGAGAUUCAGGGAAACCAGUUAGGAAGUUAUUGAAACAGGAGAUUGCUAAAAUGGAGAAGAGGAUAUUACCUUUGGAGCCAGGAAGACAAGUUUGAAUGGACCCUGGCUUUUCUACUUCUGGACUGUGUCAGCUUGGGCAACUAUUUUUCUUCUCCAGGUCUCAGUUUUUUCAUCUGUAAAAAUAUAGGUUGCAAGAAUUGUGCAAGUUAAGUUCCAGUGUGUAGUACUGUCAGCAGAUGUAGUUCUAAUUCUCAUGGUGUGAAGAGUAUGAAUUAAGACAGAUGCAGUGGGGAUGGAGAAGGGAGAAUAGGUGGCAGUGAUGUUAAGGAGGUGGAUUGUAUAAACCUCAGAGACUGAUGGAAUGAUGUUGUAGAGGUGCCGUACUUCCUGGGGAUCCCACUUGGGUGGGAUUAAGCAGAUAGUGAACUCCAUCCACUUAAAGAAAAUAGGAAAAAGGUCAGAGUUAUUGGUUGAGGGGGUGGGGAAAAGUUGGGAGUGAUGGGAAUUAUGAACUCAGUGUGGAACUUGUUAUACUUGAGAUGCUCUCAAGACAGAUGGCUUUUUGGGUCUGUAGCUCUCUGGGAGAGUUGGGGAUCCAUGAUGGGUAUUGGGGAGAUAGUACUUUCUAAGGAAAAUGUUCUCAGAGUAAUGAGUAGAGGGCCAUAGGGAGCAUGAGUGUUUUAAGAGGAACGCAACAAAACAGGAGCCAUAAAAAGGGGUUGGGCGGGAGAUGAGAAAAGAAAAUGGUCAUAUAUGUUAAGAGGGGAAGCAGGAGUUUAUAAGCUAAGAGAGAAAAAAUUUCAAGAGGAAGGGAGUGAUUAAUAUUGUCAACUGGCACAGAGAGGUCAGCUAAGGUUGACACUGAAAAAAAUGCUUUGGAUUUAGCAACUGGGGGUGGGGGUGAGGGUGGUGUCACAGUUUUGCCAGAGAUUCUUGAGUGGAGUACUAGGGCUUGAAUCCAUAUUGCAGUCUGUGGAAGAGUGGAAAGGAGGUAUGAAUUCCACUACCAUAGGGUAGAAUUGUCCUCUGUUCAUUCUGUGAGAGGAAAGAGAAAAAGAGGGAUGGUGGAGUUUUGUUUGUUGGUUUUAAGAAGUGAACCCUUGCAUGUGUGGAGAAGUAGCCAAACAAGAGAGAAAGAAUAAGUGUGAUUCUGAACUAUGUGGGAGGGGGUGGAAUUUUCUGGCACAGGUGAAGGAAUUAGCCAGAAACCAGAAAAGGGAGGUCACUUCCUCUGGGAUGAGGGGAAAGCUGGCAUCAAUGGGUACAGAUUAAAAUAGAUAAAAGUGUGGGUUGGGGAGGUGUGAGAUAUUGAGGAAGUUCAUGCUGAUGAUCUCAAUAUAAGUGUGAAGAGGUCAAUGAGGAGAAUGGCACAGGCCAUAAGGCAUGAGGAUUAGGAAGGAAGACUUGGUUUUAUUAAGCUGUUUGGGAGGCCAGGAGCAGAACAGUCCAGAAGGGACUGUUGAGUAGUGCUAUAGUUUCCCUCAGGUCAAAGAUAGUUCAUAGGGUGAGUGUCCUCCACCAGUGUUCCCCAUUGUACCCACAGGACUGAGGAAGGGGUAGAUGGAAGCAAAGGGGAAGGUAUUGAGUGUACUGAGGUCCUGAUUAGGAGGUGAGGGUUGAAGGGAGCUUCUGAAUUCUGAGGAUGUAUGCUGUGGUAGACAGCAGGACUGGUGAGUGCAUGUUUAGGAAUAGAGAGGUCAAGUGGCCUCUCUUCCUUCUUCCUCUAACACCUGUAAUCUGAACAGAAAGGCACAGGGUUAUCUGCAAGGCUAUUUUUAAUUGGUCUCUAGUUGGUGGUCUCUGUUGUUUUCUCUUUCCUGGGAGGAGGUGGCAACUUUUAGAAACCUAAUUUAAAAAAAAAAAUAAUGUUUAUUUAUUUUAGAGACAGAGAAAGAGAGACAGUGUGAGCAGGGGAGGGGCAGAGAGAGAGGGAGACACAGAAUCCGAAGCAGGCUCCAGGCUCUGAGCUGUCAGCACAGAGCCUGACACAGGCUUGAACUCAUGAACUGUGAGAUCAUGACCUGAGCCGAAGUCAGCCGCUUAACUGGCUGAGCCACCCAGGCGCCCCUAGAAACCUAAUUUAAAAGAAGUAAUUUAUGCAAUUUGGAGUCUUUAGACAAUGAGACACAGCAAAGAUCUAAAAACAUCAUUGAGGCAAAAGCAGUAUUUGUAGAGGGAUUACAAAUAGCUACAGGACCUAUUCUAAAUUAAGUGAAAAAAAAUCAUUACAAAACAGUGCAUGGAUUAUUCUUUCUUUUUUCCCCUAAAUUGUCCUGAAUCUUUUAUAUCUUAUCUUUGUGAGAAAAAAUAAAAUGAGUUAUAAGUAGCUAUUGAUACUGGAUUUUUCAUUCAGGCCAGUGUGUGUGUGUGUGUGUGUGUGUGUGUGUGUGUGUGUGUCAAGGAUUCCUCUUUGCGUUUUGUGUCAUUGGAUGUCAAGUAUGAUUACUAAACAAGAAUAUCUGUGGGAGUUAUCAUCAGUAGCUAAAAUUCUCUUUGCAGUUAUUUUUUAAAAUAAUCGGAAUAACGUAUUAAAUUCAAACUGUUUAGGAAUCUGUCUCUCAAGUAAAAAUAUCUUUAAAAUUCUGACAGGAGAUGGACAAGGAAGCACUCAGUCUGGUGUUGGAGAUAGCAGGAUAGUUUUGGAAGGAGCCAAUUAUGCCAGUAAAUGCUUGUUGCUGAAGCUACAAGGCAAGCUAAAGGUAUGCUUGCCCUUUUUAUAGGUUCUCUCCCUAGGUUGCCUUGAACUGGUCUGUUGGGGGAGGUAGUGAGGAGAGAAAUUAAGCCUUUUAGGAAAGCCCAUCACUGACUCUUGUGGGCGAUGGGGUUAGUGUAGUAGCAGCCAAAUUUCCUACCAGAAGUCACCUUCGUGUCAUGAAAAUGACAGGAAGUGUUCAUAGUACCACUUUUCUUAAUAGCACAAAAUGGAAACUCAAAAAUGCUGACUAUAGGAGUAAAAGAUAAAUACAUUAUGGUGAAUUCUCACAAUGGGAUAUUUACUUCCAGUGAGUGAAAGUACAUACACAACACCAAGAUGAAUCUGUCACAAAAUGCUGAGUGAAAAAGAAAAUCCCAGAAAACUAUAUAUAGUAUAAUACCAUUUUUGUAACAUUCAAAAACAGGCAAAGGAAAAAUAAACACCUAGUUCGGAAUAGUGGUUACUCCUGAGGUGGCAAGGGUGGAGGGCAGACAGAGGACUGCAGGCAGAGAGCAUAUAAAUAGAUAUAAGUUAUUGUUAAUAUCAUUGUUUGGGUUAAAUGGUCUAUUCGUAGGUGUUUAUAUAUUAUUUGAAAUAAGUUAAAUAAAGAGAGCCAUAAAUGGGUUGAUGGAAAUAUUGCAUGAGAAGCCAAAUAAGUAUAUAUUUCAAGCGGCAUGACGCUGUAGGCAGAUAAUACGCCCGGGACAUGAGCCCUCUUGGCAAGCCGAGCCCUUCUCACCUGGUGAACAGACUCUAGAGACUCUUCCCACAUGGAUUUACCUUCUCGUAUUGAAGAUGGACUACAAACAAAGGAUUUCAGAAAGUCACUAAGUUGCAUGAAAACAAAACCAAAAGCAUAACAAUAUCUUAUUGAGUAGGUAUGUGUAGGUGUGUCUGUAGGAUGGGUAUCCAGUAAUAGGUUAAUGGAAUGAAAGAGUAUGUACAUUAAAAUUUUUUAUAGAUGCUGCCAAAUUACUCUCCCAAAUGUGUUGUGCUAAUAUACACUCCACAACCUGUUUUUUUACAUCUUUGCCAACACUGGUAAUUAUCAAUGGUUAUCAAUCUAUUGGCUUGGCCAACUGGCAAAAUACCAUGUCUCAUUUUUGCCUCAAACAACCAAUUUCUAUGUGAGCUUUUGUUGUGGGAGUCAUUAGUGAGUUGAAGGCUCUGUGCAUAUUUUUGUUCCAUUAUUGACAAAAGAAUGGUCAUAGUUAUAUUUGCCUAAAAUUCUUUGAGAGGAGUUUUGACCUGUAACUAGAUCUACCACUCUCUAAUCCAUUUGGUCAGGAGUAGUAUUUACCUAAAAUACUUGGGAUAGAAGGGGAAGGAAGGGAGAUGUAUUUGGUGCUUUUAUGUGCCAAGUAGUGGGCUAGAUAUUUCAGUGGGCAUGUUCUCUCAGCUAGUGUCUUCUUUAUGGCAGCCCUCUGAGAAAGUCUGGAGACUCAGAGAAAUGAACACUUGCCUCAGUUGUACAGUUAGUAAGUGAUUCCGCUAGCUCUCACUUCAUUUCUCAUAAUUUUUUUUCCCUUAUGCCUUCUGUCUGCUAACAGAAGACAGCACCAUUUUAAGGAUCUAGCCUUUUAAUAGUUCUAUUCCAGUGGUUCUCAACCUUGGCUAUACACUGAAAUCUCCUGGGGAACUUGAAAAAAUAUUCAUGCCCAAGUUCCACUCCUAGAGAUUCUGAUGUAAUUGGUCUGAGGUGUAGCUUGGACAUUAGGAUUUAAAAAAAAAAAAAAACUCCCACAGAUUCUCCUUUUCAGUCAAGCUUGAGAGCCACUGGUCUAAUUCAGUGAUCUUCAGAUUUUUUUUAGACUUGCAUUACUUAUAAUUUGAUUUUGUGACACUCUCUUGCCACUUUAUCUCCUAAAAGUUUUGCAACUUUUUUCCUUUGGUUUGUUUUGAGGCUUUUGGAAAAAUUCCAUGAUAGACUUUGGAAUAAUUGCAGCUAUUCUGGUGAGAGAUGGGUAGAAAGACUGCAUUACUAAAUUGAGGUCAAGAAUUGCUGAGCUAAUUAUUUCUCAGAUCUUUAUUUUGCAGUUUUUGAAAUCAGUAAACCAACUGCAGCAUGACAUAAGCAAUCUUCUUCUUGAAGAGUAUCACUUCACUUUAAUAUUAGUAUCAUUUAUGACUUUUCACAAAUACCUUUUAAUCUGUUACCAAACAUCAAAUAGGACAAGUCGGGGAGCUCAAAAAAGGAAAUAUGUCAAAAAAGGAAAAAUGCAAUCUUAUUCAGCUUUUCUGGGAAUAUUUACUCACUACCUUGUACAAAGUAAAAUACCUUCUGAUUGUCUUUUCUACAUACACAUGAUGAGCUUAGUUGGUAUAAACAUUUUCCCCGUCUAUGAUAUCAAGAUGUCUUCUCCAACCUGCAAUGCAGCUUUAGAAAAACUGGUAUCGGGGCGCCUGGGUGGCGCAGUCGGUUAAGCGUCCGACUUCAUCCAGGUCACGAUCUCGCGGUCCGUGAGUUCGAGCCCCGCGUCGGGCUCUGGGCUGAUGGCUCAGAGCCUGGAGCCUGUUUCCAAUUCUGUGUCUCCCUCUCUCUCUGCCCCUCCCCCGUUCAUGCUCUGUCUCUCUCUGUCCCAAGAAAAAUAAAUAAACGUUGAAAAAAAAAAAUUAAAAAAAAAAAAAAAGAAAAACUGGUAUCAUUAUUUUGACAGCUCAGAUGGGGCUCAUAAUGCUUCUUACUCAUUCAAUUGUGGCUUAUUAUUUUAAUUGAAGUAUAGUUGACCCAUAAUUUUGCAUUAGUUUCAAGGGUACAACAUAGUGAUCCCACAGUUCUAUACAUUAUGCUAUGCUCACCACAAGUGUAGCUACCAUCUGUCACCAUAACAAUACCACUACAAUACCAUUGACUCUGUUCCCUAUCCUGUACCCUUCAUCCCUGUGACUUAUUCAUUCCAUAACUGGAAGCGCGUUGUGGUUCAUUUUUACUAUGUGUUGAUCUUUGAUAUUGCAUUUCUUUGUGGUGUGGGCAGCAGUCAUAGGAGAGCCAUGUGGUGAUUCUAGCAGAGGCCUUGUUUUAUCCUUUCCAAAGCACUUAUUGUUAUUGUUAAUACUUAAACUUGUAGGUAUUUUUCAAACCAGCUUAAUGUAACUCUGACAAUGGGAUCCUAUUAAAUUUCUGUGUAAACUAGGAGAUUUUCCCUUCUCCUUCUAAUUUUCUUUUGUAUUAAGUCUCAUUCAUCAGGACCUAGUCCUAAGAUCAGCUUUGCAAAAACCAUGCAGCAGAAAAGGGACCCAGUGUGGUGACAUGGGAAAAGCCAGAGUUGGUGUACUUUGCUUUUAAUUCUGCUUUAGUAAUUUCCUAUUGAAUUUUGAGUUAUUCUGAUCAUAAUUUCCUGAGGAUCAAACAGUAGACUAUAUGUGAAAGCACUUGGAAAUAUACAGUGUAGUGGAGUUCAGUACAAUUUGUUUUUAACCAGUUUAUUUUCCUUCUGAUAUCUUCCAAGUCAGUAAAAUAAACCAAAAACCAUCUUGAAGCUUCACUGUGGUAUGUGCUGAGUGUGUAAGAUUGGAGGUAGAAGGUCUGGUGUGAAUCAGGGGAAAUCAUUUCCUCUCAGCCUUAGUUUCCAUCUUUAAAAUGAGGAUACUAGAUAGAUGCCAUUUCAGAGGAUGGAUGGAUUAAAUGCAAUCAAGAAUAUGAAAGUACUUCAUAGAUAGCAAAGCACCUCACAAACAUUAACUAAUUCUUUGUUUAUGUUUGGUUGCACAACCCAUCCUUGAAGUUGUUAAAAUUUAUCCUUCAAGUCAGACAUCUUUUUCCUCAGUCCCAAGUAAGACUGCAAAGUCUCAGGGCUCCUACUUUCUCCCAUUUUGCUGCUCCUUUCCUAGGUGCUCCCAUGUGGAAAUCUCUAUCUUCAGACCUUUCUUUCUUUCACUUGCUGUACUCCCACCCUUCCCCCAAAUUAUAUGGACAUUCUCCUUCCCUGUCUUAUAUUUUAUUUAUUAUGAAAUUACACGUCUAUUUAUACAGAUGAAAAUUACACUAGUUUUUUAGCAGUUGAUUUUCAGAUGCUUGUGGCUAGCAUUUUAAAUGACUAAUCUAUCAAAUUGAUCCAAAAUAAAUGUUACUAGAUUGUGUUGUUCUUUCAGCAAGUAUAUGGUGUUUUAUCAGUGAUCAGAGUACCAGAACCCACAGUAAUGACAAAUGUAAAUAUUCAAGUCUGUGUUAGAUUUGAAGUAAAUGUGUUUUUUUUAAUGUUUUAUUUAUUUUUGAGAGAGAGAGAAAGAGAGACAGAGACAGAGACAGAGUACGGGCGGGGUAGGGGAAGAGAGUGAGGGAAACACAGAAUCCAUGAGGCAGGUUCCAGACUCCAAGCUAUCAGCACAGAGCCUGACGCGAGACUCGAACUCAUCAACCACGAGAUCGUGACCUGAGCCGAAGUCGGAUGCUGAGCCACCCAGGUGCCCCUUGAAGUAAAUGUUUAAGGAAGAAAGUGCGUUUUGUUCCAUUCAAAGUACACCUUCUAGUCAGCUACUCACUGUACUAGACUACAGUGCUGCCCUUAGAUGGAAAAAACAUCACACUUUUUUUCCCUUUUGUUUUGGAUUCAGAUGAAAAGUUAUUUAAUAAUAUCUUGAAUAUAUUUUAAACAAUUUUAAUAACAUAAUAUAAUAAUAUAUAUUUAAUUUUUUGUUGAACUUUGAUUCAAAUACAAGAUUAUAAACUUUUAAAAUAUUACACAAGUACUGAACACAUAAAUAACAUGGCAUCCCUGUCUUUUAAAAAAAAGCCCCAGUCAGUUCUGUUCCAAUUUUAACAGUAUUACACAAUGUUUUCUUGCAAGAAGAAAAAAUCCCCAAUGUCUUUUUUUUUUAAAGCAUCAUUUUUCAGGAGGAUAUUCUUCUAAAUACAGAGUUCCUAAAAUCAACUAACUUCCUGCUAGUCAUGAAUACCUAACAUUGAGCAGUGGAGUUUUGAAACUUUUCUAUGAACUUACAGGAAAAAACUAAGAGUGAAAAAACAAACCAGACAAAUAUUUCUGAUUAUCCUAGAGCCUUUUCUUCCUGUGAGUUCUUUAUCUUUUGCUUUCUUCCAGGUAUUUUACUAAGUCAUACAUUUCAACAACAAAUCUUCCACAACUACUUUUAUAUAGCCAAAAAAAUUUUUGCUUAUCUUGGAUAAUUAAUGAUUUUAAGGCAUUCUUAAUAAAAACAAUGCCUCCUUUCCUUGGGCUAUGUGACUGCUUGGGCUGAAAGAGACUGAGGGAUUAUUUAGCUCCACCUGCUCUAUUUAUUCCCAGAUGUGGGAACUGGGCCCCACGGAGAUGGCAGUUUACUUGAGUUCACAUGGAUGGCUCACUUCAUUGGGGAGUUCUUGAAAAAGAAUAUGGAUGGGUAUAUCUAGAUAUGAGAUAAGAACUAUCUGAGUUGUAUUUGUUUAUUGAUGAGCUAUUUGUCAUUUUAUCAUUCAUUCAUUCAUUUAUUCAUCCAUACUUCUGUUUUUUGGGAAGGUGGAAUAGUAGAAGCAGAGUUCCCGCCCUAUCACUGAGCUUGGGAAAGUUUUAUAUAUAACAGAGAUGUUCAAGGAAAAGUAAAGGACUUUUUGAAAUUUGAAAUUUACUCUUCAUUUUGAAAUUUACUCUUCCUGGCCUGGUAGUCUUAGUUCUCCACCCCUGGUCUUAGAAAAAUAAGAUUUUAAAGUGUGUGUGUAUGUGUGUGUGCACCCAUGUGUGCAUGUGCGUGUGCACCCUGCAUCCCUGAGAAGAGCCUUGGCUUAGGCACUUUCUGGGCAGAGCCAUCACUGCUGGCUCCAUUGUCAGACAGGUCUAACUAAUUGUUUGAGAGUUUUUCAUUUAUUGAGUUGAGAUCUGUUCCCUAUAAUUUCUACCCACAAAUCCUAGUCCUUCUUUCUGGAGAAACCCAGACCCAGUAUAUUCAACUGACUCCUUUCUUCCCCAUGAAGGCCUUUCUUUUCUGGAGUAACCACCCCUUACCCUUUAGCUUUUCUCCAUAGGGCAUUAUUUUCAGAUUUCUGAUUAUUAUUAUUGGGAUUCAGUCUGGUUUUGAAUGGUGUCUUUUCAAAUGUGAAACUAAGAACUGAAUAUUUCUCCAGAUGUGGUUGUGCUUUAUGGAAUAUAUGGCAGAACCAUAAUAUCUGCUGGCAAUACUGUAUUGUAUUUCUAUUAAUAGAGGCUAAAUGCACUUGUUUUCUUGGUAGUUGCCUUUAUACUCUUGACACCCUUUAAGCUCAGAAACAACUAACCUCCCUGGAUAUUUUCUGCAUGAAAUGUUAUCAUAUCAGUUCUCCUCUAGUCUAUGUUUGUGCAUUUAAAUAUUUUGAACUGAAAUUUAUCUGUAUUAGAUGUUAUAUUUUGGUUUCAUUGUGGCAAAAGUAUUUGAAUUCUUGACCCUGUUUUUGAUUGAAAUCAUUUGUGUUUUUCUGGCAGUAGAAAAACAGUUUUCAGCAUUUUGAAGGAUGAAGUGCCUUAUUUUUCUUAGAAAUAUCUAUCAAAAGAAGCAUUGUUUCUUGACCUUAUCCUAGGUCUCAUUAAAAAUAAAAAAUGUGUGUGUGUGUGUGUGUGUGUGUGUGUGUGUGCAUUUAUACUACAUUCUGGAUAGUGUAGAGUACUUUCCAGAUCUCCCCUUCAGAACCAAGUCACUAAUCCUCCCAGUAAGUGAGAAAGUUGGAGGCUGAAAGUUGGAGAAAGUUGGAGGCCUCUCUGGGAAUUGCCUUCAGCCAAAGUGUUGUCUCACACUAGAUCACACCACUUUCCAAGGGGCAGUCUAUUUACAAUGAUUCGUCAGGAAGAAGAACAAAGGCUCAAACUCAUUGCUAUGAGGAAGGGCCAUCUCAGCUCCAGAGAUUGCCAGUGUGAUAGCUGAAUCCUUUGUUGUGAUUGCACUGAAGUUCAAUACUUCUUUCUGUCCACACCUGCUUCCUUCACUCCCCCACAGGUGACAAUUCCAAGGACCCUCCUCAAUAAACGUUCUACAUUCAAAACUCCUUCAGAGUAGUUCCUAGGGAAAUUGACCAAAGUGAUUUGGUGCCAGAGGUGUUCUGAGGAAGCUGACUCUAAAAUGGGAUUUUGGAACUAUGCGACUGCAGCUGGCUGGCAAUAACAUUUAAUCUCUACCAUGAAGUAGUCAUUCAUUGUUUACACUUUCACUGGUGAUGAACUGGGAUGGGGUACCAUGGAGGAGAAUGAACUGGCUGGUGCAAAUCUCAGACUUUUGAGAGGUGAGAGUCGUAAAUUAUAAGGAUAAUGGGAUUAUUUGGCUCUUGCUGAGUGUCUUUAAUUAUAAUAGAAAGACAAGGAUUAAUUACCAAUCAAAGAGAGAGUAUGGAAGUCAGAGUCCUCCUUAGCAGCAAAUAAAGAGACUCAUCUCCUGCAGCUUGAGGGCAGAAAAUACUGAAGACCAAAAUUUAAUUUUAAGAAUGGUGCAUUUUCAGAAAAGGUUAAAUUUUCAGCCCCAGCAAAUUUUCUAUGCCAAGGUCAUAUGACAUAUUUUGCUAUACCAAAAUUUCCUAGUUUUGGAAAAGAAUAAGACCCUAAAGCUUGAGACGGGAACAUCUGUGUCAAUGAACUUAACUCUCCCUCAACUUUUUAGGCUUGCAAAAGUAGCCUUUUCUUUGUUGGAGACUGUACCCUCUACCUGAAGGCAACAUAGAAGCUUUUGCCUUGCAAAACCACAUAGACUAUCUCCCUCAGAUCUUGACCAGUAGCUAGUUUCAAAUCAAAUUUAAUGUAGCCAGGGAAGUGCUGAACUUGCUAAAGAAGGAAAAAAGGAACUAAACCCAAAAGGAGAUGAAGAACCUAGCAGGAUGACUAAUCAGGAAGCAGAGAGCAAUUGUCUUUUUCUUUCUUCCUUUCUUCCUUCCUUUCCUUCUUUCUUUCUUUCUUUCUCUUUCUUUCUUUCUUUCUUUCUUUCUUUCUUUCUUUCUUUCUUUCUUCCUUUCCCUUCCCUUCCCUUCCUCUCCUCUCCUCUCCUCUCCUCUCCUCUCCUCUCCUCUCCUUUUUUUCUGUUUUCUUUAUUCUCAAGUUAGUUAACAUACAGUGUAGUCUUGGCUUCAGGAGUAGAAUCCAGUGAUUUAUCUCUUAUAUAUGAUAUCUAGGGCACAGCCCAAAAAGUUCCCUCUUUAAUGCCUGUCACCUUUUAAGCACCCCCAUUAACCCUAAAAGCCACAAUUCUUUGUCCAGUUUGUGGACCUGAGCCAGAUUUUAUUUUUAUCUUUUUUCAAUAUAUAAAGUUUAUUGUCAAAUUGGUUUCCAUACAACACCCAGUGCUCAUCCCAAAAUGUGCCCUCCUCAAUACCCAUCACCCACCCUCCCCUCCCUCCCACCCCCCAUCAACCCUCAGUUUGUUCUCAGUUUUUAAGAGUCUCUUAUGCUUUCUGAGCCAGAUUUUAGAUUUAGAAGCCAUAAAUUGAAGGAAAGCCUAGGUUUUUAGGAAGAAACACCGUGCAACAGCACAUAUGUGGUAAUAUUUCUUCCAGUCCUUCCCCAAAGGAACUAAGGCCAUUUACUCAGGUAACUGUAUACUGGGAAAAGGGGAAUACUCAAAUAUUUUGAGGGGUGUUCGAGACAGGGUCCAAGUUUACAUUGAUGUCUAGAACCUAUGGUCCCCUUCUGUGGAAAGAGUGGGUAAGGUGUAUGAAGGCCAGUAAUAAAUGGAAUUCUGACUCAGGUCUGGCUCACAGUGAGUCUAGUGGGUCCACAGAUCCUGUAUGUGAUCACCCUUCUGGGCUCAGAAUGUAUAACUGGAACUACUAAUAGGUAGUUGUUUGAAGUUCCACUUGGGUUCUUUGGCUUAUGGGGUAAGAAUUACUGUAUUGAGGAAGGCCUGGUUGAAGCCUCUGAAGUUACCCUUCAAUCCUAUACAAGAGAAUAAUUCAACAAUAAUAUUCUAUCCUGGAGGCAAUGGAUAGAGAGAGAUUAAUGCCACCAUUAAAGACCUAACAGAUACAGGUGGUUCCUAUCAUAUCUACAUUUCAUUUACCAGUCUUGUCUGGCCUCUUCAAAAACCAUACAGAUCCUGGAGGAUUAGAGACUACUACUGCAAAAUCCACCAUUAAUAGCCCAUUUGCAGCUGCUGUGCCAGGUAUGGUAUCUGUGCUGGAACAGAUUAACACAGCCUCUGGUAUGUGGUAUUUAAGCAUUCGUUUGGUGUUUCUGUUCUUUUCAAUUCCUAAUAGGAAGGAAGAUCAGAAACAGUUUGCAUUCACUAGAAUAAUAGUUCCAGGAUUAUGUUAAUUUUCUCACCCUCUGAUAGAGUCAAAAGGAAUACCCUAUCUGGACAUUUCUGCAGUAUAUCACCUUCAUCCUGCAUAUCAAUAAUGCUACACUCAUCAGACUGGAUGAACAAAACAUGGCAAACAUAUUGAAAGUGUUGGCAGAUACAUGUGCUUUAUAUAUUCGAAGAUAAAUCUUAUAAAGAUUCAGGUGCUUGCCAUAAUAGUGACUUUCUCAAAGUCCAUUGAUUUGGGGCACACUAGAAUAUCUGUCCAAAAUAAAGAACAAAUUCUUGAUUUUCAAACCUCCUAGCACUAAGAAGUAAGUACAACAUUUACUAGGCCUCUUAAAAUUGUAGAAGCAGUAUCUUCUAUACUUGAGUAGGCCUAUAGUAGGGAAGUGUUAGCACUAUUUCUGGGUUUGGUGCAGCCUUCCUGCUUAGGCCAUACGACCAAGCAGACUCUGUGAUAUGAGAUGUAUUGGUGGUGAGAAAAGAGACUGUGUGAAGUUUGUGGAAAUCCCCAGUAUUAGUCUGCUUGGGCUGCCAUAGCAAAAUACCAGAGACUGGGUGGCUUAAUGGAAACUUAUUUUCUCAUAGUUAUGAAGGCUAGAAGUUCCAGAUCAAGGACCAGCAGAAUUGGUUCAUGGUGAGAGCUCUAUUCUUGGCUUACAGAUGCCUGCCUUCUAACCAUAAGGCCUCUUCUCAGUGCAUGGGCAGAGAUAGAGAUUGAGAUAAAUAGAUAGAUGAAAGAAAGAAAGAAAGAAAGAAAGAAAGAAAGAAAGAAAGAAAGAAAGAAAGAAAGAAAGAAAGAAGAAAGAAAAAGAAAGAAAGAAGAAAGAAAAGAAAGAAGAAAGAAGAAAGUGAGGGAGAACUUGGGUGUUGUGAGGGCUCCAACCUCGUAACCUCAUUUAGCCUUACUUUCUUAAAGGACCCAUUUCCAUAUAUAUCCCCAAUGGGGAUUAGGGCCUCAACAUAAAAUUUUGAGGGACACAAACAUUCAUUCUUUAACCACCACCUAAGGAGAAUCACAUGCCAUACAGAGAAUUAUACACCAUUCAAUAAACAGCUCCUGGGGUGCUACUGGUCCCUAGACUAUGGGAUACCAAAUGAUCAUGCAGCCAUAACUACUUGUCAUUAAGUGGAUUGGGUCACACAACCAAGUCUAAACUCUGGUGAGCCCAGGAAUUAUAAAUAAAAGUUGUAUAUUAAUGAAGCCCAUGCCAUUCAGCAUUGUUGCACUGGGGCUUCUUUCUCAGUUCGCACAGAGGACUGCUGGGACAAGGGUCCUGAUGACUAGCUAACAGAGAAAAAAAAGCCUGAUCUUUAUUCAAAGAUUAGUGGGUAUAAGCCAAAAAUAGAUUUCUCCUUUGCCCCUCUCAGAGAUGGCCCUAAAAGACAGUGGUGAGGAGAAAUCCUCUUAGUGGGUAGAGUUUUGAGUGUGCCUUUGUUACCCAUUGUGUUGGAAAGAGAAGUAGCUUGAAGUAAGCAUAUUCAUAAUCUCAUAGGGUAUGGAAAAUGGUGUCUCUGGUUAGUUAGGGGAGUGGAAGGAAAAGACAAGAAGAUAGGAGAUAAAGAGGUCUAGAGAGAUCCAUAUAGAUGAGCACACGGAAACGGGCACAUAGUGUGAAGAUAUAUCCAACUCCACCAGAGAGCAUCCAUCAUGGAAAAGGCAUUGAAUAACCAAGUAGACCAAAUGACUUACCUGAUGUCAGCCCAUCUCUGUUGUUGGCCAUCCUAAUGCUGACAUAAUGGGCACAUAAGUGAAAUAGCCAUGGUGGCAGUGAUGAAGGCUAUCCAUGGGCCUGACAGCAUGAGCUCUCCCUUAUGGGAUUCCUAUAGUAACUACUGCUGCUGAAUGCCCCAAAUCCAGCAAUAGACACCAUCUUAGUCACUUUGGGCUGCUCUAACAAAGUGCCAUACAUUGGGUAGUUUAUAAACAACAGAAAUUUAUAUUGCACAGUUCUGGAGGUUGGAAGUCUGAGAUCAGGGUGUUAGCAUGAGGGCCUCUUCCAGGUUUCAGACUGCCAACUUCUCAUUGCAUCCUCAUAUGGUAGAGAGAAAAGGAAAGCAAGCUUUCUUGUGACACUUAUGAGGGCAGUAAUCCCAUUCAUGGAGGGUUCCAUUCUCAUGACCUCAACUAAUCCUAAUCACCUCCCAAAGGCUUCACAUCCUAAUUACUAUCACAGUGGGGGGUAGAGUUUCAACAUAUGAAUUUUGCAGGGGCACAAACAUUCAAUUCAUAACAGAGACCAAUCUUGUAUGGGACCAUCUCUCAAAAGACUGUCAAUUGGUGGCAUCUUGAUUACACUGGAUGCUUUUCACCCUGGAAUCAGCAUGUUUUGGGUUGGGGGUUGCCUUACUGUCCUUAUAUAGUGUAUCAACCAGUCCAACUAUCCUGUGGCUUAGAGAGUUUUUGAUCCACCCGUGCAGGAUUUGCAUAACAUUGUAUCAAACAAAGCAGCCCUUUUUACAGCAAGAGAGGUGUGGAGGUGAAUGCACGAUCAGAGGAUCCAGUGGCUUUAUUAAAUACCACACCACCCAGAAUUUGCCUACCUAUUAACAGUGAUAGAAUGACCUUGUGGAAGCACAAGUGAGGUGCCAGCUUGGAGACAGUAACCUGUAAGAAUGGGGUGUAAGUGCAACAUGUCCCCUCAAUCAACUAUCAUUAUAUACUACUGUGUCCAAGAGGAAGAAUACAUGGAUCCAGGACCAAGGUUGAAGGUAGAAAAAGACCUGUUUAGAAACUCUCCCAUUGGCCCAUUUGGAGGAUCUGAGCUUCCUGUCAUCACAACUCCCUUUAUCUGUGGGUUUAGAGGUUCUGUUUCCCAUAGGAGUAACACUUCUAUCAAGGGACAGUAUUAGAGUCCUAUUUAGCUUUCAGCUAUGCUGAAAGCCCAUCACUUCAGGUUUCUCAGACCAAGAGAAAGCAGUCAAGAAAAGAAGUCACCCUCCUGGCAGGGGUAAUUGACCCUAAAGAGAAAGAAGUAAGGCUGCUGUUAUACAGUGGGAUAUGGGAAAAUGUGUUUGGCACUUAGGUGAUCCACUGGGGAUUUUCUUAGUACUUUCUUUGCCCAAUUUUAAGAGUAAAUUGGAAAAUAUAUCAGUCAUGGCCUGGGGAGGGCAUGAUGAUAUGGUAUGCAGUCACCUUAGGGCUGAGGUCUGGGUCACCCCACAAGUUAACCUUCCUACCCCAGAAGAGAAACUAGCUGAGGGUAAGAAGAAUCUAGAAUGGGUAAUAGAGGGAGACAAUGAGUAUCAGCUACAGCCUUACACCAGCUGCAGUGAUUUUGUCCCACUAACAUCUUUCAUAUGGGCAUCCCCAGGAAAAGAGACCAAUCAGGACUUGCCCCCAGAACUUAUCAUAUAAAGCAAGUGGAUACAAGUGGCACAAAUGCUGGGCUGUAGUGGAUAUGAUGUGUUGCUGAGAUCCCUCUCUUCAGGACUGAGGCAUUCAGCUACUGGACUGUUGAUGGUCAUAGUUCUUGGUGAAUCCCUAUCUGGGCAUUGCCCUCAACUGAAGGGAGCCACAUUACCCAAGGUUAUGCCUCUCUCUAGGGGAUAGCCCACAUUAAAUGACUGGCAAGUGUGGGUUAUAAAGCUCUUGACUCAUGUAGUACAACUCAGAAGGACUGUCCUAGCUCCAGAGAGCCCUGUGGGAUUAGCUGAGUCCUUUGUGGCAUUUGCCAUACAGUUCAGCUCCUCCUUUUGCCCAUUCCUAUUUCCUUUAUUCCUCCAUAAUUGUUGAUUCUGAGUGCAUUUCCUGAGAACUUUGCUGCAUGGAAUCAUCCAUCCCAGAGCCCAUUUCCCAGGGAACACAACUGAAGUCCUACUCUUUCCUAUUCAGGUAGGUCAACAAAGAUCUGAGAUCCCAUUCAAACUCAUUACAUACAGACAUGCAAAUAUGCUUCAAUAUACAAUCCUGGCAUGUGGUUUUAUUUAGUUGUGGGCUGGAGUAGGCACUUUACAUGUCUUAUUUUAUUUAAUACUUUCAACAACCCUGGGAGGUAGCCACCUUCAUUCCCAAUUUAUAGAUGAGGAAACUGAGGCAUAGAGAAGUUAGGUGUUUUGCUGAAUUCACACAAGUAGCUAGCACCAUAGCUGGGAUUUGAGCUUCAUCAUUCUGCCUCCAACUAUACUAUAAUGUUACAAAGGCUUUUGGAACACACUAUAGUAUGUGUUUGUUAGAGGUUCCUAAUGCAUCCUUAGUUGGAAUUAACUGUGUGAGACUGUGGGUAAGGCCUCCCAAGUGGGACUUGAUUCAUUCAUAAGUUUACCUGUGGGAGAACUAGUCUAGUAUAUUUAUUGUGGCUUAUCCUCAGAUGGAGACAGGGGAGUAACUUAACUUGGUAACUUCUUCAGGAUGGAUUUAGCUGUUAAAGGAUUUUAAAUUAUCUAUAUUUGUGUGUCCUAUUGGCCAUGAGAAUGAGAAAGAAACUGAUAGCAAAGGGACAGUAGUUUUUCUGUUUUGACUCCAGUAUUUCUUGAUGCUAUUGAUUAGGUGGUAGUUGGAAGGUAAGCUUGGUUCUCUUACGUCGUGUUGUCAUCAACAAUAGUGAACAUUGAAAGAGAUUAUUCCAGGGAGUGGAGAAAGUUAGAGACCCUUACAAACCCAGUGUCUCAAGCUUUUAUCUAAGUGGCUUUGCUCAAAGCUAGCUUUGGUCAUAUCAUGCAUGUUGCAAAUAACAUUUCCAUUUGAGUUCUGCAAACAGCUGUUGAGUGAUGAGCAAAGGUAUGUAAUUGCAGCUCUCAUAAAGAUUUCAUCUUUUUAUUUUCAGUAAAUUGAUAAUGAUUUAAUUUAAGGACUUCAGCCUUUACUAAUUGCAGAAUGUGCUUCAAACCCUGACCAUGGGGGUAAUUAUUGUGGUGAAGUCUCCUGGUACUCUCUGUCUAUAGUUUAUUGCAUUUGUGAAACUUCUCUUCAUUCUGCCUGAUUUUCACAAGUGAUAUUUAUUGUCUGUGGUUUGUGUUAUGUGGCCUACAGGGGGGGAAAAACACUUGCUUAACUAUUUAAAUAGUCAUAAGUCUAUAGUUUCCUGAAAUAACCCAGCCUAACUUUCUCAGAAAAGUGUGAAAUUCCCUUUUCUGGGAAUUGUUUUUUGUUUCUGAUUCUUGCCCUCAGUGACAUCUAUGCUGGUAUCUUAUUUCCCUGCUAAACAAGAUAAAAUUUAAAAGCAUAAAAAUUAGCAAAAAAUAAGAAAAACUAACCAGGCCAGCUAGCCCCCUUGCUUUAUUCCCUUCAUCCUCUCUUGACCUCAUAUGUUGGUAAUGGCUACACAGUGGGGUAUAUUUCUGGAUUACAUUUUAUAAAGACUGAUGAUUGUCUUCUGGUACUUGUUGUUCCUGUUAUUAACAUUUCUCAGAUAUGAUUUUCCUCUAAAAGUAUUUAAAAGAAAUUCCUAAUGAGUGAACUCAGAAGACUGGUGUAGUAUAGUUUUUUACUUGGUGUAAACCAUGAACACAGGUAAUUUUUUUUUCCUUUUUUCCAUCACUACUUCUUUUUUUUUUUAAUUUUUUUAACAUUUAUUUAUUUUUGAGACAGAGAGAGAGAGAGCAUGAACAGGGGAGGGUCAGAGGAAGAGGGAGACAUAGAAUCUGAAACAGGCUCCAGGCUCUGAGCUGUCAGCACAGAGCCUGACGCGGGGCUCGAACCCACAGAACGCGAGAUCAUGACCUGAGCCAAAGUCGGACGCUUAACUGACUGAGCCACCCAGGCGCCCCCCAUCACUACUUCUUAAGACUUUGAAACUUUGAAAUGAGCUUCCCCAAACAUUAAUGGUUUGAGCAUAGCUGAGAGUUAUCGUCUCUAACUUUAAUUUUUAUUUUAAAAAAAGUUUCAAUUCUAUAAAGAAAAAAAUUAUUGAGGGGAGGAGUACAAGAGAGCCUUCUGAAUUGCUGGAAAUUCUAUCUAUGCUGAUCUGGAAUGGUGCUUAGAUAGCACUACGUGUGUGUGUGUGUGUGUGUGUGUGUGUGUGUGUGUGUGUAUUUGCACUUGUAUAUAUGUAGAAAUCCAUUGAGUUAUAUGCUUUAAGAUUGGUGCUUUAUGCUGCAUACAUGUUAUACCACAAUAAAGCAAAUUAGUAUUUUCUAGUUUUUAAGGGUCUUUUAUUAAAAAUUUUCAAAAUGUUUUAUUUAUUUUUGACAGAGAGAGAGAGAGAGAGAAAGAGUAAGAGUGCGAGCAGGAGAGGGGCAGAGAGAAAGAGAGACCCAGAAUCCGAAGCAGGCUCCAGGCUCUGAGCUUUUAGCACAGAGCCCUACUCAGGGCUCAAACCCACAAACCAUGCAAUCAUGACCUGAGCCAAAGUUGUAUGCUUAAUUGACUGAGCCACCCAAGUGCCCCAAAGGGUCUUUUAUUUUAAAGCGUUUAGAUCAUGAGACAAGGUAAGGGAAAGAAUUUUUAAAGUGUAAAGUAUUAUGCAACUGAAAGAUAUCACAAUCUAGAGAUGUAACUGGGAUAUUUAUUAUUCAGAGUGGAUUAUCCUCUACCUUCUCACCCCAGAUCUUUAAACUUUGCUUCAGUCUCAGCCUGGUGCCAGAGAGAGUUUCUUUUGGUGCCAGGAUAACUCUUACCUCUGACUGUACUGUGGAAAUUAAAAGUUAUUUUACAGAUCUUGCUCAAAAUCUGUCACUUUACUAUGACUUAACAAAACAGGUCAUGGAAUGAGCUGGAAUGGACAUAGAAUGAUCAUGGACAAAGUUUCCAAUGGUUGGAGGGGAAUUCCAUGGAGUCAUGGGCUGCAUUAAAGAAAUGUAUCCUAGAGGGGGAGAGAACACAUCAUGAGUGUAAUGAGUAUGAGAACAGAAUAGAACAUUGACAUUUGUGUUAAUACUUUGUUAUGCCUUUUGUGACAGAGAACUGUUGAUGCUGGCUAAUGGAAAAAGAAAAACUAUCUUUUUUUUUUUUAUAAAGAAAAACUAUUCUGAGUUUCAAACAAAGUCCAUCAUUAAAAGGUUUAAAUGUUACUUGGACACUGUCAAGUUAUAGUAUGAUUGACUUUUGAACAACACAGGUUUGAACUGCAUAGGUCUACUUACACAGUAGUAAGUGUAUAGUACAACACAGUACUGUAAGUGUAUUUUCUCUUCCUUAUGAUUUUCUUAUUACCAUUUUCUCUUCUUUAUUAUAAGAAUACAGUAUAUAAAAACACAUAACAUAAAAACUAUGUGAUAAUCAACUGUUUAUGUUAUCUGUAAGACUUCUGGUCAACAGUAGGCUAUUAGCAGUUAAGCUUUGAGGGGAGUCAUGUUAUACCUGGAUUUUAAACUGCAUGGGGGUCAGCGCCCCUAACCUCCAAGUUGUCCAAGGCUCAACUUUGUGUUCAUUUAGCAUGAAUCUUGUGGAUAGAAUCAACCUGAACAGUAGGGCCCUGCGAGCUGGCCUGGCUGCCUUUUGCUAUUGUGAAGUUUGAUCUCUCAGGAUUAUGAUCUUUCUGAGUCUUCACUGUUCCAUUUUUUCCAUUGCCUGCUAUUUGAUGGUAGCUUCUCUAACUCAUCCCAUAUCUUUUUUUAUAUCUAUGCACAUUCCAUCUUUUUCCUCACAUUUUUAAGUCUUUCCCUGGAUUUGUUUUAAGCCAGCUUGGGUGUGAAUUCUUGCUGUUGUUCCUCUCAUCUGUCUCUCCCUCCAAAGGCAAGCUCAACUGUCAUAUCUCUCACUACUUCAGCCCAUAUUGGUCUCCUUUCCUGUUGUACUUGCUGUCUGUAACUUUCUAUGUGGCAAUGCAUAAUUUCUGACCUCAUUUCUCAAGUGGUUCACAUGAAUGGUUCAUUUCUCAACUUUUGUGGAGGGAAAAUAUCACCUUUAUCUCAUACAGACUUUAGGGGUUAGCACAAGGCUUCAGGGGUAUUAGGGAAUCAAAAUUUACCUGAGGAAUGAAAAAAUUAUGUAUUCAAGGCUUCUAUAAUAUCAAGCCCUUAAUUUUUUUGUUUUAAGUUAAUGGUGUGUAAAAAUGGGUCCGUGAGAAUAUUAUUUUGAAUCUCAAGUAAUCUCAUUCUUACGAUUAUAUUUUUUAUUUAAUUUUAAUUUUCCUUUUACAGUUCAGUCUGACAAGAGGGGCCAUUUGUAUAUGUGUAGGAAAUCUUUUUUUCAAUAUAGGCUUCUAGUAAAUACAGGUUUUAAAUAAUGCAAUGUGAAUACAGCUCAUUAUAGUCUCUAAAUAAUUACCAGGACCCUUCAAUAAGGGAAAUACUUUUCCGAUGGGUCAUUAGAAACACAUUUGUGGUAGACUUUUAAACCAUUAAUAAUCAUAGAGACUGUCCUAAUUGCUUUUGGAGUGAAGAAUUCUUUUGUAGUAUGGAGAACCACUUGCUAAUUCAUCUGUUUUGCUAGACUGGAUUUUCUUAAAUUGACUUGCUUUAAAAUGGACAUACUUGCACUUUAAAAGGCUCCAGAGACCUCCUGUCUAUAUACAAACAUAGAAAUAGCAUUAACGACUGACAGUCACCUCCCCCCCUUUCCCUCUGUCAGUUAUGGGGACUAUUUAAGGUUCUAUCUUUUUCAUGCUCUAGAAGUAAUGUGAGGUUUACAUUCAACUCCCUUUAAUCUGAAACACUGACUGAGCUCCAAACCACUUGGCAGCCUGCCAUUUUUCAAUGGGAGGGGAAAGCUGCAAUGUAAUUUACUCUCCACAUUUUAUAGUUUUCCCUUUAAAAAAACCUGCUUAUACACUUCCUGUAUUUGCAGAAACUAGAGAGUAAUAUGGCUUUUAAAUGUGGCCCUGUCUGGGCAAUUCUGGGGAGCCCAAAGCAGCUGACAGGCCACUGAACUUGGUGUACAGUGAUGAGAGAUAAGGGGCUCUGUGUAUAAAGGUGUUGGGGGAGAGUGUGAAGGAUGAUGUAGGCAACACAGUAGGUGUGAUGAGCUAAAAGAGGAGCAUAGUAUGGGGAGGACAGAGGGUCAGGGCUGGCCUGUGCUACUGAACUUAGGUGUACAAGUAAAUAAUAAUCAUGCCAUCAUUUUAGCCAGGCAGCAGCGUUUACUGAGCACUGACUCACUGCUAGGGAGUUUCUUCACUAUUACCCUGUCUGAACUCUGGUCUUUUAGAGAUUCAGCCAAAAGGUCUUCUGGCCUCACAUACUGUCUUUAUUCGUGAGCAGACAGUGUCUGCCCUGGGCCUUAUCUAGGAAGACUGGAUAAGGGGUGGGAUUCCAGAGGCUUUACUCUCAGGAUGGUGUUCAUUUCAUCAGACUUUUCCCUGCUGUCCUUGUCCCAGUACUCGAUUGCCUAGCAUUCUUCACCAGUUUUUAUCUCCAUUCACUUCCUUCACUCAUUUACUUCUGGCUCUAUCCAUCCAGGAAGUGGUUACUGAACCUCUUACCAUGAGACAGUACCUACUGGAGAGAUAAUGGAUUAGCUAGGGUUAGCUAGGGUUCUCAGAGAAGCAAUGGGAUAGAUGGAUAGAUUAGAUAAAUAGAUAUAUAGAUAGAAAAUUAAUUAAAGAAAGAAUAUUUUGGUAUAUAUAUUUACAUACAUCCUCCCCACUAUAGAAUCGAUCAGUCUAUCUAUCUAUCUAUCUAUCUAUCUAUCUAUAAUCUAGAUUUAGUUUAAAGAGUUAGAUUUUGGAGGGUGGCAAUUCCAAAAUUUUCAGGCUAUCUGGAGACACAGGGAAGAGUUGAUGUUACAACUUGAGUCUGAAGGCAGUCUGGAGAUUGCCUGCCUUCUUCCUUGCGGGAAGGUCAGUCCGUUUUCUUUUUCUUUUUGUUUUUUUUUUUAAGUUUAUUUAUUUAUUUUGAGACAGAGAAAGAGCAUAGGAGAAAGGCAAAGGGAGGGAGAGGGAGAGAGAGAAUCCCAAGCAGGCUCUGCACUGCCAGCACAGAACCCGACGUGGAGCUUGAGCUCACAAACUGUGAGAUUAUGACCUGAGCUGAAAUCAAGAGUUGGACACUAAACCGACUGAGCCACCCAGGAACCCCAGGUCAGUCCUUUUUCUAUUAAGGCCUUCAACUAUUGGAUGAGUCCCAUCCACAUUACCAAGAGUAAUCUGCUUUACUUGAAAUAUCCCUAUUUAGAUGUUAAUCUCAUUUAAAACAUAACUUCACAGCAAUAUCUUGACUAGUGUUUGACCAAAUGCCUUGGUACUAUGGUCUAGCCAAGUUAACACACAAAAUUAACUGUCACAGGUACUAUGAAUCUUACAAAGGAGAGUAAUAUAGGCCAUUGUCCUCAAUCUAUGUUUAAUUAGAGAGAUGCUCACAUCAAUCCAUCAAUCAGUCAAUGACUAUAAAUCAGGUCAUGCACUUUGUGAUGAGUUCUGUAUCAUCUGUAAACAAAAAGCUUUGGGAAUCUAGAGGAAAUAAUGAUUAAUCCUGACUGGGGGUAGUGAGAAAGGCUUUGCAAAAGGGUGCAAUUUAUGGUGGCUGUUGAAAGCUGGGUAGGAUUUUGCUAAAUAAAAGGGUAAGGGCUGAGGGAAAGGAAAACAUCCUAUUCCAGUAAAAAAAAGAAUUUGGUCAUGAGUUUAUAUAUUGUCUAAAAUUAUAUUGAGUGCAAUUUCCAUGUCUUACUGUUCUGGGCACUGAUGUAAUGCAAAGAGGCUGUAUCUCUGCUCAGAAAGAAUAAUGACAAUGGUCACUCUUUGUUGAGUGCUGCUGCUUGCCAUGGGUCAGGUACCAUGACAAGUGUUUAUACUUAUUAUCUCAAUUAUUGUCCUACCACCCUGUAGGAAAGGUUCUCAGCAGCGAAGCUCAGCCAGUACAGUGUAAUAUCAGUGGACUGAAAAGGUACUGCUGAUCAUACUCCUGGGGCAUAGGAAGGACAGGAAGUUGGCCAGGCAAUGAGGUUGGGGCUGAAGUACACAUCUUGUUCAUUGCUGGGCUGGGCCUUGAGCAGGCAAGACUUGAGCCCAGCCUUAGCUCACACCCUAGAUGAUUCUGCAGCUGUUCUGGUAUAGAUGGAAGCUUGUUUGACAGUACCUAUGAGAAUGAAAUCUGUAAUAAUCUUUGAUUCUUUGCUAAAUUUGCUUUCACUAAAUUAAUCACUUUCAUUAUCCCAAGGAAACUGAGAAUUAGAGAGUCUAAGGGAAUUUCCUAGCUGCCUGACAUCAAAACUUUUGCUCUUUCUACUAAGCCAACACUGCCUUAACUCCAGGCUAAUGGACAAACAGUGAUUGCUAUGGUUUGAAUGUUUAUGUUCCCCUACUCCCAAAUUCAUAUGUUGAAAUCCUAAUACCUAAUGUGAUGUGUGAGCAGGAGGUGGGACUUUUGAGAGGUGAUUAGGUCAUGAGGGUGGAAUAUUUUGAAUGUAAUUAGUGCUCUUAUAAAAGAGACUCCACAGAGUUUUCUCAGCCCUUCAACAAUGUGAGGACACAAUAAGAAGUCUGUAACCUGGAAGAAGGCCCUCAUCUAACCAUGCUGGCACCUUGACCUCAGACUUCUAGCCUACAAAACUAUGAGAAAUUAACUUCUAUUGUUUAUAAACUACCUCAUCUGUGAUUUUUUUUUUUAAAUCAGCCUGACAGACUAAAAUAGCAAUUUAAGUAAAUGACUCCAAAGAAGUGGAGUCACUGCUGUAAUUGUGGUGUCUUUAAGGCACAGAUGAUGGAGUGAUGAGAUCUAUGGGAGAUAUAAUCAAAAGUAUAUACAUUACAAGAUGUGCUGAAGCAAGUGGGCCCAGGAGCCUGGGCAGAUGAUGAAGCCAGAACCAAGAUGGAGGUAAUGGGAAUGGAAAGAAAGGAUUCAACAGUCUGUAUAUCCAGAAGAUAAAACUUAGUAACUGAUUUUAGGAAACUGGGGAAACUUAGGUGUCCAGGUGCUAAUUACAAGCAAAGGAAUACCCUCAGCUAAUGAAGUAGAAAAAAGAUUACAAAAGGGUAUUUCCUAGGUCACAGAUUUCCAGGAAAUCUGGAGUUAGGCCUGGGGGUGGGGGUUGGGUCAUGCAGCUAGGAAUUAUGCUUUUACCAUACCCUAGGGCUUCUACGGUGAAGAGUCCACUGUUAGCACCCCUGAACAUUGCAUAUCAUACCACACAUGAUGCUGGACAUAGGAUACCAGAACCUCCACUACUGGUUGCUGCAAACUGUACACCCCUAUGUCUGACCUCAUGAAAGUGCAUACUGUAUAGCUCUGGUUUCCUCACUGUACUCUGGCUGCAAAGGAGGCUAGGAAAGAGAGGCUCUAGCUUCCAUUUUGGACUGUUUGACGAGUUUCUCAAACUUAGAAUAGACCUUCACAAGAGUCCUGGUGAUCACAAACAUGCCUACUCCAGGUGGUGAAGGAGGAGAAGAAUCAAAACUGAUUCCAAGGUUUUUCAUUUAGCAAAUGGGUGAUUGGAGAUGCUGGGACCAAGAUAAGGAAAAUGGGAGGAUGAAUAGAUUUUUGAGGCUGAAAAAAUUAGUUUUUUUCUGAAUACAUUUGAUUUAAGAUAUCUGCAGCACAUCAGUGUGGAGUCAGCUGUACAAUACACAGUUAGAAAUUUGCAUCCCAGGCUCAAGAUGGCAGAUAGAUAGAGAUGUAGACUUGGGAACAAAUAUAUAGAUGAGUGGAUAGAUAAGAUUGAUCCGGAUGUAUGUAACCUUGAUGGAUGUUACUUCAGAAGGGCAGAUAGAAGAGGAGGAAGAGCCACCAAAGGAUUUUGAGGGAAACAAGUUGGGGGUAGAAUGAGAAUAUAAAGAUGGAAAACUAGAGUAUCAUGAAACUCAAAGGUGGAAUGGAAAGAGAUGGUGAUCAAAACAAUGAAAUGCUACAGAGAAAUAAGUACUGUGGGGGCUAAGGGUCCCUGGAUUUCUCAGAAAAAAAAAUCACUUGUGGUAUGCAGAUGUUAUUUUACCUAAGGGCAAGAUCAUGAUAAUCAGAGACUCUGUACCUUUCCUCAGCCGUCAAUCAAUAUACAGCUUUUAUUUUUUGUCUCUACCCAGUUCUCAGGUUCCCUUCUCUUAAAACACCCACUGUCUCUCUUCAAGGAGGUAAGGACUACCCUACCCUACAUUCCUAACAACAAACCCUUUCCAAAUUUGCACCGCAUUUUAAUCUGAGUCUGUAGCUAUGCUUUUCCCAGUAUCACUGCUCCCUCAGCUCCUGUCUUCUUCUCCUCAGCUCUACUCCCCCAGUUCUAUUUGGUAUUUCCCCAAUUUCAGGGUCACUUAUCUAGCACCCAAUGUCAGUUCCUAGGCUCAAACUGGUUCCCCAAUUUCCAUCCUUCCCAUCCCUAUUCCUGAAUGUACUUCCCAUCCACCAGUGGCACUCCCAUUUCCCCCAGAGUUCCUCUGUACUUCAUGUAUCAUAGCCUUUACCUGUACCCGCCACUUUCCUGGCACUGUGUCUGUUGUUCUCAGUCCUUGGAGACUUUGCUGGCCAACCUUUGUCCUACCUUUCUUUGCCUGUCUCAUUUCUAGUUCCUCCUCUCACUUUGGAUGCUGUCAUUCUCUCUUAACUAUGAUCCGUCCUUACUUCUGUACCUUUCCUUUUUCCUUAUUUGCUAACUUAAAAACAAAAGUAAGUCUAAAAAGUUGUUCCCUUUUAGAGACACAUACUGAAGUAUUUAUUGAUGCAAUGAUAUGAUGACUGGGAUUAUUUUCAAACUAUUUGGAAUGCAGGCAAGUGGGUGGGUAUAAAUGGAGAAAUGACUGGUUAUGAGUUGAUAAUCGUUGAAGGUGAAAAACACACAGGGGCUUUUUGCAUCACUAUUUUUGUGUAUGUUUAAAAAUUUUCAUUAAAAACAUUUUAAUGAGAAAAGUUUAAAUGUAUGUAAGUAAAUAAAAUGAGAUGAUAUAAAGAAAAGUGUUAAGUGGCACUAGUACUGAUAUGGCAAAAAUCAGAAAUGGAAAAAAGCCAUGAAGGUGGUAUUUGAGUAGCUGAAGGGAGAAAAACACUUAAGAUAAUAAAGAAGGAUCUCAAAAUGAGUGGGGAUACAGAACAAUAGAGCAAGUUUGAGAAAAGAGGAAAAAAGUCUAAGCAACUCCAUUGUUUAGGUCUGACUCUCUUGGUGAAGAAGUCCAUAUGCUCUCUGGGGGUAAAGGGGAGCAGGUAGGACUUGAAUAAAGAUUUUUGAGAUAGCCAUUGUAGGGAAGGGGAAGGAAGCCAGCUAGAGAUAAGCUGCAGCUGAGGUGGGAGAACAUGAAUCUACAGUGGGGUUGCUCUCCAUUAUCUUAGCAGUCUAGUCUUUUUUUUUUUUUUUAAUUUUUUUUUUUAUGUUUUUAUUUAUUUUUGAGACAGAGAGAGACAGAGCAUAAGCAGGGGAGGGACAGAGAGAGAGGGAGACACAGAAUCCGAAGCAGGCUCCAGGCUCUGAGCUGUCAGCACAGAGCCCGACGUGGGGCUCGAACUCACGAACGGUGAGAUCAUGACCUGAGCUGAAGUCGGACGCUUAACCGACUGAGCCACCCAGGCGCCCCAGCAGUCUAGUCUUUUAAGUGACUCUAGAGAGCCUCCUGGGUGCCUCAGGUUUUCUGCAAAACAUGUCUUUUCUAUAAAUCAGUGAAGAUGUAAACUACCAGUGGGACCUAUUUGUCUAGAAAACUCUGUUUUAUGUACUUGGUUUGAGGGCAGAUUUUUACUGAAAAAAGUUCCACUGCUAAAAUGUUGGACUAAAUAAGCAUUAUUCCUGGCAUAGCUAUUUACUUUGUGGUGUGUUAUACACUUGCUGCUACUUUUGUUGUAGGUGUUCAUAGGAUAUACUGUACAAUGAUGGAUUUUUGAGUCUGUCUCAAAGGGAGGAGAAAUUUGAAAAUGGCUGUUGCCUUUUGGAGUGGCUCACAGAUGUUAUGUGCCCCCACCCUUGGCUUAGGCAGGGUUUUCUGUGUGUGUGUGUGUGUGUGUGUGUGUGUGUGUGUGUGUAUGUAUAAGUGCAUGCAUGCAGGUGCACAUCCACAAACACAUGCAAAAUUUUGCAUAUAAUUUCAAGGGGUUCAAAGACCAAAGAUCCAGUUAAAAUUCCAGAUCCAAGCCAUGUGGCAGAAAACCUUAAUGAGUAACAUGUCCAUUUAUGUUUAGCAAACAGAAGGGUUAUUUUGGCUUUUAGAAAUAAUGAGCAAUAUUGUCACCAAGAUUAUAUAUUCUCUAGGCAUCUGAUGUGAAAACUUGACCUUCUUACCUUAGUCUAGGAUGAUUUACCAAAAGUUAAUAAUUUAAGUCUGACUCAAGGCCUGUUACCCCUUUGAUGUCAGAUAAUUGCCUAAUAUAUAAAACAUUUAUAAUAGUAUAACAUGUCCACAUAGUACGAGUUGUAUUUUAUUUUGUAUUUUAAAAGUAAACUCUAUAUAUAGACUUAUAUCGUGAAUCACCAGCUGCCAUAUUUAAGAGGAAGAAGGGAGGGAACUUACAUUUGUUGAGCAUUUAGGACUCAUUUACUGUUCUGUGUGUAACUUGUUUAGUCAACACAGUAUUGCUAUUAGACAGAUAUUACCUUUUUAUUUGAAUGAUGCAAAAACUAACGUUCAAAAAACCUAAUAUAUUCACCCAAGAUGAUCGGUUAAUGAGUGGCCGAGCCAGCAUUGAAACGUUGGUUUCUUCUAAAUCUUUGCUUAACAGGCACUGCUUUGUUUGUUUUUGUUUUUUGGCUAUCUUAUAUUCGUUUCUCUCUUUUUUGGAGAAUUACUCCCCCUGUUUCCCACCUUCUCCAACUCCAUUCUAUGAUGUGUCCUUGAAACUAUUAAUCAAGGUACCCUGCCUCAUGACUCAAACUAGGAUAACCACAUUCUCUUUGAGUUGUUUAAAUCUUGCAUGGAAAGACUCAAAGAUUGAAAACUUAGUUCGAAUUAAUCUUUGCUAGUAUUAACACCUUGAAUGAACUAUUGACUCCUGCUACCUAGCCCCUCUGGGCUACCCUGCUGGUUCUUAGAUUUCUCUUUGAUUCUUUGAGCUGUUCAAUAUCCUUGAAUAAACUCAUUUCUUUUGUAGGUUAUGUAGAGCUAUGGACUGAACUGCGCUUACCCUCCCCCUACUCCUCUGCCCCUCCCUUACUGCAAAUUUGUAUGUUGGUGCUCUAACCUGAAAUGUGAUAGUGUUUGGAGAUUGGGCCUUUGGGAGGUAGUUAGGUUUCAAUGAAGUUAUGAAGGUGAAGCCCUCAUGAUAAGAUUAAUGUCCUUAUAAGAAGAGACACCAGAAACCUUGCUUCUUCUCUCCCUGCAAUGUAAGGGCCCAGCGAGAAGGCAACUAUCUGCAGGCCAGGAAGAGAGCCCUCACAAGCACCUUGAUCUUGGACUUCCCAGACUCUAGAAUUAUGAUAAAUAAAUUCCUGUUGUUGAAAUCACCCAGUCUAUAGUAUUUUGUUAUGACAGUCUGAGCUGACUAAUACACAUAGUUUCUGUUGCUUUCUACUAAAGAAUUGACUACUGUACAAAACGACUAGCCAGAAGACGUAUUUUAGCUUUUAGUACCUUGGUUCUGACAGGAGGAGGAAAGAAGGACAAAGGUAAAACCAGCAAAUUUAGUGACUUAACAUCAUCUCUUAGGGGAAAAAAAAUGUGAAUAAGGAGGGAGUUGAAAUUAUUUCAUAGAGUGGGAUUUGGGAAUUACUUAUGGAUUAUACUUAGUCUGACACUCCUUAUAUCUUUGUUUGCAUACUCCUCAUUCCUAACUUGGUCAUGAUUUAGGUCUACAUUGUGAUAAGCCAGUGCAGAGUUAGAAAAUAAAUUGGCCCAGGAUAACUUCUCUUUCAGGUGGCAGGACUAAUGUAAUGAAAGCUAAUCCCUAGAAACUGGUCUGCCAGGAAGAAAAGCUGCCCUGAAAUGGGCACCUAAAUUUUUCCUUCCUUCUUAUUGCUUUGGUCUUAAAGAAUGUAAGAAAUUCCUACUUCAGGAAUUUAUUCACUGGCUCUCAGUCACCUCUUCCUAACAUAGGUUCAUCUUUUAUUUUUAGAGCUUUGUUUUGAUCUAUAUGUCUUUUAGCUCUGUGUAGUACAUUCCAUGAGAUGAUUCAGUUCUGAGAAAUCAAGCCAGGUAAAGAUGAAAUACAAGGUUUUACCACCUUUUCAAUACUUUUCAUCUGCUUUUAAGGAUUUAUAUCUUCUUAACAGUAUUUCUUGGCACCAUCUAUAUUUUUUCCUAUAAGUUACAGAGCAUUUUGAGGUUGAUGGCAUCCUAGCAAUUAUACAAUUCACCCUUCUCAUCUUACAGAUGAGGAAACAGAGGUCUAUAGAAGUAACUGGCUUGUCAAUAAUUAUAUAGUUAGUAACUGAAUAAAGUCUUGAACACACUUUUUCAGAUUCCGAGUUCACCAUGCAUUCUACUUCCAUAAGCUGCCAGCCAAUUGACUAAGCCAAGAUAAUAAAAGCAGUUCCCAUUCAGCCUGAACUAAAGAAAAAAGUGGAAAAGAAGAAGAAAUAGAAAAUUUUCAAAGUAUUGAAUUUCACUGAGCCAAAGGGGAAGAUUUUGAGCCAUGUGGAGGAAAGAGGCAGAGAGGUGGUGCUUUUAGGAAGGAUUGUUUUUAAGCUUACUGCCAAAUUGCUUUCAUCUCUGGGCAAGUGCCUGCAUGUUUAUUUCAUGGGUUAAAUGAUCCCUUUAAGGUGAAUUAAACACUCUCUCAUUUCCUUGUGAAUAAAAGUUUUUAAAAGAACUUUUUCCCUUGGGAAUUUGUCGCAUUAAAUCCACUUGGUUUGUGCAUCCAUGUUGAAAACAGGCAAAGGGGAACUGGGACUUCAUCUUAUUUCUCUAAUUGGCUUCUGUGCCUUCCUGUCUUGUGAGAAUUGAACGUUGUCUGGGUACUCCACUCCUUUUUCAGCUCUGGAGUGAACAUCCAGCGUCUGCUUGGUAGCUUGUCUCUUUCAGGACAACCACACCCUAGGUCAGGAUAGUUUGUUUUCAGUAUAGGGCCAGCUGUUCCAGAUUACUUUUUCAGGGUUGAAAACCUCCCGUUUGGACCUUGAGGCAAAGGCUGAGAAUAAAAAUGUAAAGGAGGGUCAAAUAACAUUUUGUCAGAUUGUUGACUUUGUGUUUGGAACUGAAUCUGUCAUUAGUGUUCUCUAGUAUUCCUGCUCUAGACAUAUUGCUCUAAAGAACAUAUGAUGAAAAGUCAUAAAUAUUAAGUGAAAACAUACCCCUCUCCUUUCCUCUAGGCCACAGAAGCAAAUAUUAAAAAAGGCGUGGAACUGUGGAAUUUAUCUUCUUCUCCCUGAAUAAAGAAGUAUUUCUUGAUAACACUAGGGUGUGGGUUCUGGGCCUGGGCCCCCAAGUCCCUCUGUGUACAACUAAAAGACAAUGAUCAAAGCAGAUGUUUUAGUGAGGCAACCAACUUUGGAGCCGUCCUUACCAUAAUGGACUACUGAAGUUGAAUAAUUAGUAGCUACAGAAUUUAGAACAGAGUCUUCGGAAGUCAGUCUCUGUAGCUGAAAGCAUAUGCCAUGUCAUAAGAAUUUGCUAUGUCACAAGAAUAUUCAGUGAAUUCUUUGAAACAAAGAAAAAGGAAAGUAAUAAAUAUCAAGUUCAAUGAUUGAAACGUGUUUUGUAAAGUUGGCUGUUUUUUCUCUUGUAUUUAGAUUGUACUCAUAAACCUUUGAAUCCUAAGUCCCUCUGAGUUUUAAUAAAUGUAAACAACAAUAUAAACAAGCAUUUAAAAAUAAUUAAUUCAUAAUCAUAGUUCCCUAUAUGAUGAUACAUAUUUUUGCAUAAUAAUUUCUAGUUCUUUUCAUAGGCCUAUGUGUUUUAUAUUUACAACUAUAGUAUUUUAUAUUACACUUUUUUUCAUGAAACAUUCUAUAUGUCUCCCAACAUUAAAAUUUCCUAUGUUUUUAUAUUGUAUUAAAAAUUGCUAUUUUAAAAAAAUAUUUAGGGGCGCCUGGGUGGCGCAGUCGGUUAGGCGUCCGACUUCAGCCAGGUCGCGAUCUCGCGGUCCGUGAGUUCGAGCCCCGCGUCGGGCUCUGGGCUGAUGGCUCAGAGCCUGGAGCCUGUUUCUGAUUCUGUGUCUCCCUCUCUCUCUGCCCCUCCCCCGUUCAUGCUCUGUCUCUCUCUGUCCCAAAAAUAAAUAAACGUUGAAAAAAAAAAAAUAUUUAUUUUGAGAGAGAGAGAGAGUAUGAGUGCACAAGAGGGGGUGGGAGGAGGGCAGAGAGAGAGAGACAGAGAGACAGAGAGACAGAGAGACAAAGAGAGAUUCCCAAGCAGGCUCUGUGUUGUCAGUGCAAACCUUGAGAUUAUGACUUGAGCCAAAAUGAAGAGUCCGAUGCUUAACUGACUGUGCCACCCAGGCACCAACAAUUGCUAUUUUAAAUGAUUGCUUACUCUUUCAUAUUAUUUUAAUUUGCUAACUUCUACUAUUGGCCACUUAGCUCAACUUUUAUUAAAUUAUGUUAUAAAGAUACAGAUGUAUAUAAUGGAUACCAGUGUAUUGAGCAUCUUCAUGUCCAUAACUCAUUAUUUUAUUAGUAUUCAGCUGAAUUAUUUUCUCAUAAUUAAAUUCCCCAAAAUGGUAUGAAGGUUGAGGAUUAUGAAUCUUUAUGGUUCUUGCUGUAUAUCGACAUAUUGCUCUCUGAAGUGUUAAUAUAAUGUGACAUAUGACUUCUGCAUUGUUAUGUAUAUUGGGUAUUAUCAUUUGCUUGUUUUUUUUAAAAAAAUUUUUUUUCAACGUUUAUUUAUUUUUGGGACAGAGAGAGACAGAGCAUGAAUGGGGGAGGGGCAGAGAGAGAGAGGGAGACACAGAACCGGAAACAGGCUCCAGGCUCCGAGCCAUCAGCCCAGAGCCCGACGCGGGGCUCGAACUCACGGACCGCGAGAUCGUGACCUGGCUGACGUCGGACGCUUAACCGACUGCGCCACCCAGGCGCCCCAUCAUUUGCUUGUUUUAAUUUGUAUUUCUUUGAUUAUUACUGGAAUGAGCAUUUUCCAUUGUGAAGUUUGUCUUAUUGAUUUUACUAAUUGUGUUUAUUUGGAUGUUAAUUGUCUAUGACAGUUUAACAACUUAUUUUUUCCUGUUGAAUAAGUUUCUCUGAGGAACAGUACACUUUGACUUCUGGACACUUGACUGUCUAUUCUAAAGUGAUCUUCAGGCCAAGAACAUUAGAAUAGUUUUUUUCUUAUGUGAGAUUUAUCUGAAACAUCUCACUACAUUUUAGUUAAAAUAACUAUUUGUACCAUGAGGAGACUAUCCUGCCUUACUGUAUCCUCACAUGGCAGAGAAAGAGAGAUCAGUUCAGCUCCCUGGUGUCUCUUCUGAUAAGGGCAUUUAAUCCCAUCAUAGGGCACUACCCUUAUGACCUCACCUAACCCUAAUAAGCUCCAAAAAGCCCUGUCUCCAAAUACUAUCACAUUGGAGGAGAUUAGGGCUUCAACAUGUGAAUUUUGAGGAGACACAUUCAAUCUGUAACAGUGCCCUUCUCCCUUAGGUCAUUCCAGCUUCUAUCCAAGUAUACACUCUCCUAAUUAAGAGCAAUUUGGUGAGUGUUAAUGACAGAGGUAAAAUUUCAUGAACACCUGAUAGAACUUUUAAAAAGUCUAAUCAGUAGAUAAGGAACAAAAUGAAACAGAUAGAAAGUAUGGAAAGAAAAUAGUUGGGCAUUUUAUGUCAGGGCCAGUCACUAAAUAUGAUUUGUCUUGUGGGUAUUUAUGGUAAUGUGGUAUGUGUUGGGAUUAAGAAUCCACUUGGAAAAGUAUUUUUAUGUCUUAUAACUCAUGAAUUAUGAAUUAUGAGUCCCUGGGAUAGAGCUUCUUAAUGCAAGGAUUUUAGCAGUACUAGGAAUUACCAAUUUGGUACCUUCUCUGUGCCCACCCCUCCCCCCCCAACCCUCCCUUCCUUUCAUUCCCAAUGCACAUUUCUCCACCUAAACUCCUACAUACCAACCGGCAUCAGACUAGUUACAUAUCUGGCUACUUCUUUAUUUUCUUUUGUGACUCACAAAUGAAUCAAUAUCCUGGCAAGAAGGCUGUUUUUUUCAAAGGGUGUUUUGCAGGUAAAUACAAACAGGAUAACUUGUGUGUUUAAAAACACUUUUAAGUAACUAGAUUAUUCAAUUAUAUGAUUCUUAUUUUCAAUACUUCUCUUAGGAUUUAAAAAAUUCUAUCAGUUGAUAAUUUAAAAAAUUUAGCUAGUUUAUAGAAUCUGAAUAAGUCUUACUCAUACAUAGUAAAAAAUGGAAACAUUACAAAAAAGGUAUACAGUGAAAAAUAAAUUUAUUUCCUACCCCACAUUUUCAGUUACCUUCUCUCUUUUCUCCUCAGAGGUAACCUCUACCAUUUCUUGCUAGUAUUCUAUGGAAACAUUCUUUAGCUAAUCAAAUUUAAAUAUUAUUUAUAGACCCCCUUGUAAAAAACCCAAAUAUGAAAUACCACAUACACUUUGUUUCUAUUAUUAUUAUUUUUUUUUACCUUUAAUUUAACUGUGUCUUGUUUCUUGGAGAUUGGUCCAUAUCAGCACAUAUAACUUUAUCCACUUGUUUUUACUGGGUAUAUGAUGAGGAUAUGCUAUAAUUUAUCAAAUUAGCCCCCGAUUAAUACAUAUUUAGGUUACUUCUAGUCUUUCAAAAAACAAACCUGACUCAAUGAGGAGGGUUAUAUAUAUAUAUAUAUAUAUAUAUAUAUAUAUAUACACACACACACACACACAUAUGGAUUUGUGCAAGUAUAUUUAUAAUAUAUUUGUAAGCUGAAUAAUAGCAUGAAGAGAAAUGUGGUGUUGUAGUGGCCAAAAGCAUGGAUAUUAGACUUUAAUACCUACUACUUGCCUACCACUUAGUAGUCAUAUAACCUAGGGAAGUUACUUAACUUUCUUUGCCUAGGUUCCCUCAUCUGUAAAAUAAGUAUAAAAGCUAUUACACACCUUGGAGAUAUAAGUCUUAAUGGAGCUAAUGCAAGCACAGCAUUAUUGGAGAGUUAUUAGAGAGUAACUUUUUUUCCCCAACUUUAAUGAAGAACUCACUGCAAAACUUGUUACAAGUAUUGAUAUGCUUGAUGCUUAAUUCUGGCCAAAGAAGAUAUGUGGGAGGGUAAAUUGAGAGUAGGAGUUCCUGCUGGAGAUAGAAAUGGGAGGCUAAAUUUCGUUUCAUUUGUGUUUGAACUAUGGAUUAAAAAUCAUCAUUUGGGACCUCAAUGUCCUUGUCUCUGAUAUGCAGGGAUUCGAUUAGAUUAUCCCUAAAGUAACUUCUAAUUUAAAUAGUUAUGGCGGUGCUUAUUCCAUUCUCAAAAUGAGUUGUGAUUUAUAUAGUUUUGAUAAUUGUGGGAGAUAAAUUUAACUCCUGAUUUAUGUAACACUGUCACUUUGCACAUAUUCUCCCUUUGUGUAUAAUGACCUUCCCCUUGUCUAACUGUAGCUGAGCUCUGAGUCAUCCUCAGAGACUUAGGUCAGGCUGGGCCUUCAAUGUGAAGCCUUUCCUGAGUGCCUCAGCUGAGUUAGGCAUUUUCUGCCUUUGAAUUGUCUUAGUCUCUGUGUUCUAUGGUGAGGAAAGAGUUUUCAAAGAUUAACUGAUAACUUUUAUUUGUCACCCCAGACUCAGCUGUGGUAUUGUAUUUUUAAUACAUUGAGAUAGAGAUGGCACAGUCUUUUCUUGCAUUUUAAGUCUCAAAAGUCUGGACCCUUCAGGGAAUGAAAAAGGCAAAGGGCAUAGAGAAACUAAUUGCCAGUAAAAGAUAUUCUGAGCAAGUAGAGUUUCCAUGCUACAGAAAAAAGAAAGCGCUCUAACCAGGGGAAAGCAUGGAGUGAGUAGACAGGUGGGCCUCUGACAAAGGAGUGAGGCUUCCUGGUGUUUUCCAGAGCACAGCACAGGGAUAAGGAGAGUGACAGAAAUCCCUCAGAGGUAUACAGAAUCUGAGCACACAGAGAGGCUAGGUUUUCUUUGCUGGAUAGAGCCCAGAUAGGUGAGAAGAACCCAGAGUAGAAAUGGCUAUAGGGUACCCAGGUGGACAGGCCUGAGGAAGCAUGCAGAGAGGUUCCACAGAGCCUGGCAUGCUGUGGAGGCAGGGAUAAUAUUCUUGUGCUCUGAGAGGAACAUGGAAAUGGUAAAGGGCUGAGGAUGGUCCUGCUGACUUUCCUGGGGCCCAUUGUGCUGUGGGAACCACAGGAUGGACCCCUGUACCUUAAAGGGGCAAGGCAGUUAAAGAGAGUUGGACCCCAAGGUACUGUUGACAGGGAACAUCAACAGAAUCAGCAGACAUUUGCAGAGACCAACUACUGAAGACAAGAUAGAGAACAUCUUAGCUACUACUCUAGGCCGAUACUCACCCAUUCCCAGCUUACCCCAGAGACAUUCACAAAUCCCAAUUCAAAUGAGAUCUAGUUCCAAAGCCUGGAGAAAUAGGAACUCCAUGGUAGAACUUACAUUCAUUAGACUUUUUAAACACUUAAGUGCAGAAGGAGUUUUAUAGCACCUCUAGUACUUCUCUAUUGCAUCAAAAAUAUUUGAUUCAUUAUCUGCUCCUCCAGAUCACAAACUCUUUGAGGGAAAGCACUAAGUGUUUAUUUUCUAAUGUAUUUGUUUCUGUACUUUGUAAGCACUCACACAGAGGAGGGGUGCAGUAAGCUUUUUGAAUGAGUAGAGGGACAUUUAUUUGAUGGCUGUUCUGUGCCACAACAUAUCCUAGGUACUUACACAGCCUGUGAACUAGGCAUUAUUAUUUCCAUUUUUUAGUUGAGAUUACUAAGGCACAGGGAACUGAUAGACCCCAUUCAUGGGCAGUAGGAGGCAGAUCUGCAUUCACAGUCUAGGUCCUCUGACACCAGACUGCCUUUAUAGGUAAAGUGAUUCUUUUAUUGUCUGAAUAUAACUGUGGAAUAAGGAUGAAAAUGAAUUUUUUGCUUCUUUUAGUAAAUGUUUACCAAUUUCUUGCUUUAUUACUUUCAAAAUAAAGAGUAGAGUUCUUUGUUCAUUUUACCUUUAUUAUUAGUUACAAACUAGGAAAAAAUAGUAUAGUAUAACCAUGAUACCACGAGAUCCCUAUUAAGCUAAAUAUUCUUGCUAAUACUGCCUUGUUUAUUUAUACAAGAAGUAUAUAUUCUUUGUAGACAAUAUGUAAACUCAAAGUAUAAAUAAAGGUUAAAAUUCACUUAUAAUUCCUCUUCCUGCAGAUACCCACUUUAAGUUAUAUUUCACCCUUAUUUAAGAAAAUUAGAAAAUUGAUAUCAGUAUUUUAUGUCAUUAUAUCAUGAGUGUUCUACAUAGCACAGGGUGUUUAGUGCUCAUGAAACCAAAUCUAUGUAGAUUAUAGUUCUUACUUCAGAGAAGUUACUUCACGGGCAAACUGAGACAUUCAGUAUGUAAAUUCUUACUUUAGAUAGUCUUCCAGAAGAUAUUUAUUUAUUUAUUUAUUUAUUUAUUUAUUUAUUUAUUUAUUCAUCUUUGAGAGAGGGAGAGACAGCACAAGUGGGGAAAGGCAGAGAGAGAGGGAGACACAGAAUCUGAAGCAGUCUCCAGCCUCUGAGCUGUUAGCACAGAACCCAACGUGGAGCUCGAAUUCACAAAUCGCAAGAUCGUGACCUGAGCUGAAGUUGGACGCUUAACUGACUGAGCCACCCAGGCACCCCUCUUCAGGAAAACUUUUAAAGACUCAAGGAAGGAAAGUAAAAAUAUACAUAUAAUCCAAUAAGACUAUCACACAAUAAACUUUAAUUGCAGUUAGAAAUACCAAAAAGAUAAUAAAAAUCACCUUAAGCAUUGUUUAUGAAUGGCCAAACAAUCCUGCUGGAGAGAGAAGGGGCCUUAUAUCCAGGAAGGAUUUGACCACCUGAUCCCAGUGUAGUCUUUAUAUCAAUGGACAGAUUUAUGACUUCAUCUGUUCUCUUGAACUAAAGAGAGAGAGGUUAGAAAAGUCAGCCAGAAGCAUAACAAUGAUUGAGCAAGUGUAGCAGCAACCUCCCUCCCACUCCAGAGGGGGUAAACACUGGUUACAACAAGGAGUAAGAGGUUCAUACUAGAUUUACCUUUCAUGCUUUCUAGAAAAUUAACGUAUCUGUUUCAGACCAAUCAAAGAAGAAAGGCAUCUCCCAUCCAAAGUUUUAGAAUCUUCUCAAUGGGAAUAGAAACCAUGGUAGAAUUGUUCUGGCUUGUUUCCAUAAUGUUUAAGAAAGGAGGCCUGGAGGGCAUUCUAAAUUGACUUGAUGGUUUUAGGUUUGUGACAUGUGGGAACUAAUAUUAUUUCCAUGUCAAUGUACCCUGUCAGCUGCUGCAGAUUAAAAUAUUAUUAGCCCUUCCCUUUAAUUGGCCAUGUAAUAAACCCAUCAUCUCAAAACCAUGGCUUGCUGGUUCAAACACAGCCUUGGAGCCGCACUGCUUGCUUGUGAAUCUUGAUUCUACUCUUUUUUUUUUUUUUCAACGUUUAUUUAUUUUUUUUGGGACAGAGAGAGACAAAGCAUGAACGGGGGAGGGGCAGAGAGAGAGGGAGACACAGAAUCGGAAACAGGCUCCAGGUUCUGAGCCAUCAGCCCAGAGCCCGACGCGGGGCUCGAACUCACGGACCGCGAGAUCGUGACCUGGCUGAAGUCGGACGCUUAACCGACUGCGCCACCCAGGCGCCCCUUGAUUCUACUCUUUAUGGGCUUUGAGACUGUGGUCAAACUCCUCAAGAUCUUUAUGCCUCAUUUUUUUGUAUGUUCUUAUCUCAGGGAGGUUUUAUGAAGGAUUAAAUGAGUUAGCAUAUGUAAAGCACUUCAAAUAAUGCAUGAUACAGAAUAAGAACUAUAAAGGUAUUAAACAAGAAGUAGUUUAAUUGGGUUCUUUGUGUUUGCUGGUGAAUGAGAGGUAAAAAAAACUAAUUGGGAGUGGGCUAAUGAUACAUGGCUGACUUGGACAUCUGAUAAUAAUGAGAAAGUGCCAAUGUUUUUGUGACAUAGUGGGUGAGUGGUUAAGCAAGAAACAGACAGGUUAGGGCUGAAUAUUGCAAGGGUCUUUAAGCUCAAUGGGUUACUUUACUAAUCAAGGUAUGUUGGGGCUGGUCUGGGGGGAUGAAUGGGAAAAAUGGGUUAUUUUAGGAACAGGAUGAAUAUUUGAAGGGCGGGGGGCGGGAUUGGUGAUUGGGAUUUCUCAGAUACUUAUCUGGGCUGUGAGUGAGUUUAUUAAAAGAAGUAAACUGAGGCUAUGAAUAGAUUGGAGAUACCCAGAAUUAUUCCUAUUUGCUAGGCUUUUGGAUAAAUGAGAUAGAAUUUUAAUAUACGAUUCACUAUUUUUGUUGCCAUUGUUGGUUGCUAGCACAUAAACCACUUCUGGCUAAUUGAAUCAGAGAAGUAAUUGUAUUGCAAGUGGGGAAGCUCAAACAACCAAGAAGAAAGGCAAGGCAAAAGAUGUAGAUUGCCUGGGAGGUACAGCCACUGGGGGACUGGGAAGCAGGGACUGAAGGAUGCAGGAUGGCCAUUUCAGGGUUAGUCAGCCUCUUGUCGCUUGUUCAUAUUCCAGAGGAAGGAAUCUGAUCAGCCUAGCUUGGGUCAGGUGCCUACACCUUGAGUAGAGGAGGGCACAGCAUCUAAAUAGGCAACCACACCUGACUGUAUCUGAUGGAGGAGUUUCCCCAAAACAAAAUCAGGGUGCUAUAACCAGAAGAGGGAAGAAAGGAAACAAAAUGGGCAAAAAACAACAAAUGUCCACUAUUCUAUAUUGCUACAAGAUACUGUGGAGGAAGACAAAAGGCAUAUGGAAUUAAGGAGACCCUGAAGACUGAUUUUUAAUCUUUCUCUCUGGUUGCCUACUCCUCUGACCUUGAAGCUAGACCCCAAAUCCUGGACUUCUACCCGAAGGAAUCUUUAUACUCUGAUGGAAUUUUCUUCUGAUCCUACCACAAUAUUAAGACAGUUUGAAACACUUCAUAGAUUUUUAUGAAAAUGGUGAUAUUCUUUCAUUAUAUACUUAUUGGAUGUCUACUAUCUAUCAGUAAAAGACAAGCCCUAUCUCCUGCCUUUCAGAAAUUUAUAGUUAAGGAAGUAAAACAGACAUAUAAACUUACAUUACAUGAUUCCAAGGUAGUGUGGAGAAUAGUAUUAUAGAGAAAUAAAAUAAGGCACUGUAAAAUCUGCCUAAGGGGUUUCAGUGAAGGUGGUAUUUGAACUAAGUUUUGAAAAAUGAAUGAAAAUUUAUAAUUUUAAAUUGAGACAUUUAGUAUGAAACCAAAAUUGUGACCCCAAAUUAUAGACAUUAUUCACACCUCUGUCAGUGGCACCAAUUUUAUCUACUGGCAGUGUAAAAAUUGUUCUUCAGUCUUCUAAGCCUAAGAAGUGAGCUCAUAAGUAAUGCCUUGAAAGUAAAAUACUGAAAAACAAAUAAACUAUUGCAUUUCUAAAUUACAACUAUUUGUAAACAAAGCCUCAUUCCUGAUAACCGUAGUUUCAGGAACUUAACUAAAUGUGAAAUGUACCAGGUCCCUCUACGACUCCUAGAACUCCUCAGCAGAUGUCACUCGUUGGUUGGGCAGCUUGAAGGUCAGAAUCUCCUCUGCAAGGCUCUUGGGUCAGCUACUGACUUUUUAGUACAAGGACUGCUUAUGCAUUUAACAUUCAUAUCUUGGCUAGAACUCAUUUCUAUUGUGCUUUUGGGUCUGGAUCUCAAUCUUCUCUAGAAACUAAAAUGAGAGUCAGGAAUAUAAUGGUAACAAGAACUAAAAAUGAGUAUGGACAAGAAGAAUCUCAUCGCAAAAUAGGAUGAUAAAGCCUCACUAAUUAGGAGAUUACUCUCAAUUAGUAAAAAUAUUGUCAGAAUCUCUUAUAAUGGAAGCAUAUUUUCCUGUGGCAAAUGAAUAUUUCUCAAGUGUUGGAAAAUAUUUUUUCCCUUAUGUCAAUAUGUAUGCUUUACCUUGUUUCAUAGCACAUAUCUCUGUAAACUACCUCAGAUCAACUUUUAGACCAAGUUGGGAAAACGAAGAGGAAAUGAAUCAAUAAAUGAAUAUACUAAUAGGCUCUAAAAAAUAAGGUCCUUUUGAAAAUUGCAUAAUUAUCUAAUUUAAGUUAAUGAAAACUAUCCAGAGUCCUAUAAAAUGCUUCUGUUGGCCCCAUUAGUUUGCCAAAAAUAAACCAGGAGUUAGAAGAUCUGAGUUGUGUGUUGGCUCUGCUCCCAUCUACCUGUGUAAGCCUAGGUAAAAUACUAGAAUGGCCCUGAUGGAUUAAGUGACCUCUGAGGAAAUUUCUGCAUGCCGUGGUUGGCCCUACCCUUCUGAAAUCCCUUCAAGUCACUUAUCAAUUUGCCUUAAGUGCUACCAUUACUUAAAGUAAAUCAGCCCAUACCAUAUAAUUUAUGAGAUAUUAGGAUAGACACAUUUGGAUGAGCUCUAUUUUUCAUUUUAGUAAACAUUCCUACUAUAUGUUUUGGUCAAAGCCUCUCUGAUUCAAAUUUAAUUUAAAGAACAUGCAGGCAAAAUUACUACCUCUAAAGGCUAUUGUAGGGUAGGGAUAGAUUCUAGGUUACAUUGAUUUCCCAUUUGCAGGAACUUAGAACAACUUGUUCAAUAGUUAUAUGAUUAACCUUCAUAUAACUGCUAUAAUAAAUAGUAUUCCCUAAGUGUUGGAGAGAAAUCCUUAACCAUGACAUUUUGAUAGAUUUGAUUUAUGUAAUGGAUUAUUUUAUUAUCAGAGGCUUCAUUUGCAUUUUCCCAGUCAUCUCAAGGUAUGUAACACAGAAAAGCUAAGAGUGUACAUGCUUUUAUUUAUUUUUUAACAUAUCCCACCUAAAACUUGGAACACCAAUUUUCUUAGGUCAAAUUUGAACUUUGAUUUAAUUACUUCCUUUUUUAAGGACUGUACAUUUUCUUCAUCUUUCUGUUUUUUUCCUAGGUUCUUGUUCAUUCUUGCUCAUGAAACCUUUCUGUAUACCGGAAGUGCAUAAUAGAGGAAAGGCUCAGUGGAAUGGAGGAAGAGAGAUAAUCAUAGAAACCCACAUUGAGCUAAAUGACCCCUGGGAUGCAAUUUGAAGAUGAGUAUUCCAAAUUAUUUUUUCUCUGUCCAGAUGAUAGACUAAUAAGGGAAUCAAUCAAUCAGUCAAUCAAACUCAAUCAAUAAGAACCGAGCAAGGCUCAUCUGAGCAAUGAUGGAUGGUACUUGAAAGUGAAUUAGUGACUGAUUUGGAGAGAUUUCAGAGAGGUAGAGCUAACAGUGGCAAAUCAAGUUAACUUGUAUAUAUUGCUGACAGGAUGUGGGCUGGGCAAUAGCAAAUUCUUUCCAAUAGCCUCCAACUGCUUGUGAAGCUGACCUAGAGGCUGCUUCAAAUCUGAUAGAUUGAAACAAUUCCAUCUGAAAUCAUUUUUUCAGCCUUGUAAUUUUUGUAAUAAUAUGUAUCAAGCCUAGAAACCUGCAUUUAAGCAUCUGAAUACAUCUGAACAGAGGCAAACAAUUCCCAACAAUGCCUCCAUGACAAUAUGCUGUUGGUUGCUAAUUGGAAAAAAGCACAAGUAGUAAUUGGAAGGCAUUCUGUUGCUUGCUGGAAGGCUUCUCCCCUAAAUGGUUAAAAUAUUCAGCUUUAUAGGGUAACAACCUGAUUUAAAUUUUUGGAGUGUUGCGUUAGCAAUGCAUAUUUACUUUUUUUUUUUUUCAGUCAUGUAGGAUGUGUGCACCAGCUUAAAAAUCAAGUCAUGCUCCAAAUGGUUACUAAUAUGGCCACUCCUGGGACCUCCUCUUUACUCCCUCUAGAGAUGAAAUCCCUCUCGUGUCAAUUCACCUCAAUGCCUAUCUAAGCCACUGCCCUUCCUCCCAGUCCUUUUCAGGCCAUGGUGCCAGCAGGCUCUUUUCCCCAGGUGUUGACAAUCAACCCUUCAGCAAGAUGAUUGCCAAACAGAAGAGGA